Molecule: long non-coding RNA, 122856 nt
Filed under: Citrus sinensis (sweet orange)
Lineage: Eukaryota; Viridiplantae; Streptophyta; Magnoliopsida; Sapindales; Rutaceae
Description: long non-coding RNA (CSIN_LNC002565)
Rfam family: tRNA (bases 70574-70644)
Source: RNAcentral
AUGAGUUAAAUAACACACUAUGGUACAUUAUCAAACAUUGUCAAUUUCAACCCAUUUGUAUGAUGUGUAUACAUAAUUAUACAUUUCACAUGCAAUAAAAUAGCACUUGGAGGUUCUGAUUUCCUUUAUCUUUUUCAACUUGUUCCAGUCCCAAGGUACUGCUUAUGUUGUGUCAAAUCAUUCAACCUUAGGCAAGACUCGUAACUGCUGUUGUUCCCCCAUCUGACUCCCUCUAGUCAUAAGAGAAACUAUAUUUGUGGCCAAUAAAAUCCCAUGACUCCACUUUCCCACUUCAGGAUAUAGCAAUAAUGUGUAACAUAAUUGCAAAGCAUUUGAGAAAGGAAGAUAAAUUGCAGUCUUGUCAACUUCUCAAAAGCUAUAAUACUUAAAUAAAAUAUCAAUAUUAUCAAAAAUAGCCAAAUGAAUCAAUUCAACCUCUUCAAAGAUAUCUCAGUCAAAACUGAGCAUGGUCAAUCAUUCAAUGCACAAUCUUUUCUUAAAUGGAUGAUGGAUCUAAAGGUAUGGAGGGACGAUCAAUUUCAACAAUCAAGAAGGGAAAUGAAAAAAGAUUAAAGAAAAAAUAAGUCACACAAGGAAACUUCACAUGUAUAACCCUUUUUCAAAUACCUUUUGAGAGGCCAGAUUCACAUCUCAAACUAGAUAAUUUAACAAGUUAGCAAUUAGAAAAAUUGAAUUUAACUAAGGACUAUCCAACAAAAAGGCCAGACACCUUGUCAUGUACUCAUUUCUUCUUCUUUAGGUUAGGAAUACCAAUUAUGCUUUCCACAAGCUUUUUUCUAGUAUAAAUCUUUUCAAAUGGAUUCCUUCAAUCACUUUAUGCACAUUAGGCUCCAAACUUGGCGACAUUAUCACCUAAUAGAGCUCUUUCUAUGGCUGUCAGACACUUUAUAACACUAAUAGUUGUGCAUAUAUUCCCUACUAUAUCACCUUUUACAAAAAGAUGAUUUUGUAAUCGAGGAUGGCAUUUACUCCCCAGCCACAUAAGAAUCUAAUUCAGAUAGAUUAAUUAUGGUAGAGGAAGCCAUAAAUUAGACAAUCUCUUAAACAAAUCACCAAAAAUUGACAUGCUUUAUUGCAACCAUGCAUCACAGCCGAUUGCAUGCUGGUUCAAGAAUCAAGUACUGGCCUAACACAUUAAAUAAUCAUUUAUUAUUUUUUUAAUAUUAGGACAAGUUAUGAAAAAUUAUAGCUUCUACAGUGACAAAAUUAAGCACGGACCAAUCAACAAAGCAAACAAUAAUCAACAAAGAAAAAUAUCAAACAAGCUAAAAAUGCAAUGAGAGGGGACAGGAGAGACAAUGAACAGUGAAAAUCAAAGUAGAGGACUUAAGCAAGCAAACCUCAUCAAGCAUUGAAAUUAGCCUUGACUUCUUUCUUCGAUUGUCACUCCCGUCUCCAUCAUCAACAACAAUUCCACUGGCGUUCAAAUUCACCAAUGGAGGGUCCAUCAAAGAAGAAUCAACAGUAUAAUUUUUCUCAGCAAAAACUCCCUGACCCACAUCACAAAACUCUUCAAGCAACUGCUGAGCAGGUUUCAAGAAUCUUGAUCCCUUCAAAAUCGAAGCAUAUCCCGUAAAUGGCCCAAAGGGAAGUGAUGAAGUGCUUCUCGAGACCUCAUUCGAGGUCGAGCCUGAUGCUCCGGCAGCAACAGUGCUGCUGCUUGGAACUACAUAUCCAGUGCUUGUAACUCUAUGGUCUCCAUAAAUAGCAGAGCCAUAUCUUUGAAGAUUAAGCUCCAGAGGGAGACUGUUGUUCUGAGUAGUGUGAUGAGAAGAUAGAGAUAAAGCUAACGGUUCUGGUUUAAACAAAACAACUUCACUACUGCCUUCACCACCAUUAUAGGAUUGAUCAAAGUCUCUGAGCUGGUUUUGAAGAUUAUGUGGAGCAGUAAAAAGAAAGGGGUUGUUGUUAUUGUUAAUAUCAAGAAUGGAGCUAGGGUUUAAAUUAUGCAAAGUUGAGUGUGGAUCCAAAUAAGGAUGAUGAUUAUGAUGUGAUGAAGUUGAAGCACCACCAACAAAACCCAUCAAAUUGACACCUUCUUCUUUAACAACACAAACUGGGUUCGUUGCUUUAUUAUCUUGUUGUUGCUGAUGCUGAAACUCGUGGGCAGUUAACAAAUCUGAUGAAGAAAGAAGUGAGGAAGCAUCAUACAAAGGGAGUAACCCAGCUGCAGGUGCGGGGGCUGAUGAGGACGAUUCAACACAAACUACAGAUGGAUGGUUUUGAGCCACAAUUCGUAGCUUAUCUCUUCUGCUUUGUUGUGGGACAUGGUAGGGCUCAAAACCCUCUGCCAUAACAAACCCUGAUCAAAUCUUUAACACACCACUUACUUCUUCUAAAGAGACAUAGAGAGAGAGAGAAAAAAAAAAGGAAAAGGAAGGGAAGAACGAAAGACAGAGUGGGUUAUUAAAGAAAAGAAAAUAGAUAGAUAAUACUUAGAGAUGGCGAAAGAAAGGGAACAGUGAAAGAGAUGUGGUUAUGAUGAUCUUAUUUCAGAGGCUGAACUGAAAAUAUGGCAGAGAUACGUGAUGAAUGAAGUGAACCACGCAUCUUCAUAACACAGCACAACACAACAACACUUGUUACUUUACUUCUAUCAGUCACACUCACUCGCAUACUGCGUACACACAACACAAUACAAUUACAUAUAUAAAUGAAUAAACAAACCAAAAUCUUGGUUUCUUCACUCCUAUCACUCACACUUGUUACUUUACACAAACUCUUGGUUUCAGUUGGGCGCUGGAGAUGAGUGAUGAGAGAUAGAGCAUAGGGUUUCGAGCGACCGGGUAAAAGCACCGGCUAUAUCCGGUAAUAAUUGAACUAGAACUGUGCUGCUGAUAUUUCUGACAGGUUUUGGGGGCUUUUGUCCUUUUCUCUUUUAUAUAUAUAUAUAUAUAUAUAUGAUUUUGGGGGCUUAUUUAAUUAUUUUAAUCAAUUAAUUGGAGUUAAAAUUGUGUUAUUAUGUGAGAAGGGGAUGUGAUGACGCACGUGAGCUAGUAGAACAGGCAAACAGAGUGUGAUGAAAGAAAGGCUGAUGACUGAUUGAGUUUUGCCGUUCUCAACACUCAUCCUUCCCACUUUUGAUUCUCGGUUUACGAGGUUCUUUUCUUUUAGUUUAUUGUUAUUUUAAUUAAGCUGCUGUACCGUACAUCCGCCUUGGCCGUACAGCAGUAUGUAUUUAAAUUCUUUAAACUUUGAUNNNNNNNNNNNNNNNNNNNNNNNNNNNNNNNNNNNNNNNNNNNNNNNNNNNNNNNNNNNNNNNNNNNNNNNNNNNNNNNNNNNNNNNNNNNNNNNNNNNNNNNNNNNNNNNNNNNNNNNNNNNNNNNNNNNNNNNNNNNNNNNNNNNUUUUCUCUUUUAUAUAUAUAUAUAUAUAUGAUUUUGGGGGCUUAUUUAAUUAUUUUAAUCAAUUAAUUGGAGUUAAAAUUGUGUUAUUAUGUGAGAAGGGGAUGUGAUGACGCACGUGAGCUAGUAGAACAGGCAAACAGAGUGUGAUGAAAGAAAGGCUGAUGACUGAUUGAGUUUUGCCGUUCUCAACACUCAUCCUUCCCACUUUUGAUUCUCGGUUUACGAGGUUCUUUUCUUUUAGUUUAUUGUUAUUUUAAUUAAGAGUAUUUUUUAUUUUGUUUAUUUAUAUCAGCAUACGUAUUCUGUAAUCCGGGUGUUCUUUAAUUUCUGUUUGAUACGGACGGCCGUAGUUAUUAAAAAAAAAUGUUAAAAUCAAAUUUGUUAGUAUUGAAAAAGCAUGACGGUAAUAAUUUUGAUUAAAAUAAUAACGAUUUUAAUUUUAAAAGUUUAAGUGUGAGGUAAAAUUAAUAUAAUUUUUAAGUUUGAGUUACAUAUAUUUAUCAAAUAUUUUAUUUUGGUAAUUUUUGUCCGCCCAUAAUAUUAAACGGGAUCUUAAUUACUUAAUUACAUGCAUAAUUAUUUUCAUUUCAUAUCAUGUAGAACCCCUACUAAAACUAAUAUUUAUUCUUUUCCCUAUAAGUUUUCUUUUUGUGAGCUGCUGUUUUUUUUUCCUUUUCUAAAGAAUUAGGCAGAUGAAAAAUCUUAACAUUAAAUACUAAUCAUUGUCCUUUAUUUUGACUUAAAUUCAAGUGACUAUAGGCACAUUUCUACGUCUAGCUGAACUACACCCGAAAAACGAAUCCAAUAUACACUUAGGUAGUGUUUACUUGCGGGAGUAUGAGUGUGGAGUGUGAAUUUUUCCCACUCCAGUGUUUACUUACCUUAAAAAAGAGGGGAGUGAGAGUGGAAAUCCGUGGGUCUCACUCAAUUUUGAAGUGGGGAGUGAGAUUCCCACUCCCAUGGGGGGAGGUGGAAGUGGGAAUCCACUCUUUGUACUAUAUUAUCAAUAAUAAUAUUUCAUUUGUGUUGCUAUUAUUAAUAAUUUUUAUUCACAUAAUUUAAAUUAAAAUUAAUAAAAAAUUAUGAUUUACAUAAUUAAGAAUAUUAGUAAUUAUUAUUAAUUUAUAAAUAUAAUAAAAUAUUUAUUUUAUUUUCUAAAUAUAUUUUUUAUUAAUUUUUUAAUUACAAAUUAUAAUUCUGUACAUAAGGAUAAAAUUGUAAUUUAAAAUAAUUUACUCCCAAUCUAAGACAAAGUAAACAAAUAAUUGGGAUUCUGAUUGACAAUUAUACUUUCAUUUAGCCUAAGUAAACACCCUACUCCCACUCCCACUCCACACUCCUAAUCCAAGGAUUCCCACUCCUCAGAAUUCUCACUCCAAUCCAAAAAGUAAACGCAGUAUUAAAUGAUUUAAAGAAAGUUGGUAUGACCAACAAGUGUAUAGAUCAACUGACAUGAGACUGUUUCAUCUUAAUUAAAAUUUUUAGUUCGAGAUUUAAGAAUGCAGCUGCGUUAAAUAUUUGUUGGAAGAGUUUUACUGCCCUAGUGGUCCUACCCUACUUAAAUUUAAAUUAGUCAGGACCAAUGUGAUCUUUAAAUACUAGAUGAUUUAAUAUUAAAAAAAAAAGCUGAUAUGAGCAUAGAAUUCAUUCUUGAGGGAGGAGUAGGAGUUCUUAUGUUUGCAAGGCUUGACCCAAUUCUUGACCUUAAGGUCCUGAUUAGGAAAUGGGUUACCACUUAUCACUCAGGCUAUUACGGAUUCUAAUAACAUAUUUUGUUUAUUGAUCAACUAACAAUUUUAGUCGUCGUUUUUUUACCAACUAAGAAUCAAUAAAUAUAUCCAAUUCAAUUUUUAUAUUGUACCAAAAAAUAAAAAUAAAAUAUUAUUAAUUGCGCUCUUAUCUUAUUUAAUUCUAUCUAAUUCGACCUACUAAAUGUGCUUUUGAUGUUGUAAUGCUAUGUUGGUUAAACUGAAAUUACUGUUCAUUAGAAACAAGGAAAAAAAACCAACAAAGUGUUGGCUCCACUGACAAUGGAGUCCCUUUAAGUGGUUUGACUGGGUUUGCUCUCCAGUUCGAGUCGCAGGGAAGUCGCCCUUGUUGAGAGAACCUGUGCCUCUCGGUUCGAGCGAGAACUUCUAGUCUGAGUUGUGGUACGGGCUUAAAGGUGCCUCCCACAGUUAGGGCCCUCCCCAAGAUACCUCGUGGUCAAAAAAAAAAAAAAAACACGGAAAAAAAAAUGUCAAAGUUAACGUAAAUGAUGAGGUUGACCAAAAGAGGAAGGAGCAAAAUAUUAAUUACAUUUUACAAUGCUAGGUUAAAAGUGCCAUCGAUAAAUAGUUAAAUACUCAUUUUGUAAAUUAUGGACUAAUCCAAACGACACCUAGGGAAGCUUUUGGUAACUUAAGGGCAUGUAUACGUUGAUCAUGAGUUAGGUGAAUUAUCCCUGUUGUCAAAUUAUACCUAAUUAUUACAGCUGUGGAUUAGCUGACUAUUGUACGUGUUUUUGCCUUUUUAAUUAAUUUAUUCUUUGUAAUGCAUGCAUGGACGUGUCCUCUAUAAUUAGAUUCUAAGUUGGACACUUUUUCUUUAAUAAUGAAGAGAAAUCCCCUUUGCUAACACUGCUUUUAAUAACAAAGUAAGCUAUAAAAAGUUAAUAACAAUAUUGCACUUUAAGAUGUACCACUGUAGGUGCUCAUCAAGCAUGGAUUUGUAAUAUUGCCAAACAGUGAUCACGUAAUUAUGAUCAAUGCAUGAAUUAAAAGCCACCUAAUUUAAGCAGUAAUUCUUUUCCUUAAUUAUGAUGUACCAAUUGCCAUGUUCAGCACAGAGGUCCCAGUUAAGAGAGUUUUGAAACUUAUAUUGUCAGUCUGUCAAUUAUUUCAAUUAGAUCUUUUAUAUUUCAAAUUUGCAGAGUUAUUGAAAUAAUUUUUUUUAGGUAUUUAAAAUCAUUUGUUGAUUUUAUUAAUUUUAGAAUACAUCAGAAAUAAUACAAUUAAUUAAUACAUGUAUAAUAUUCAUAGAUGAAUUUUAUAUAAUGACCAACUAUAUGUUGAUUUUUUAAAGUAAAUGCACAUAUAUAAUAACAUCAUUUACUUAGCUAACAUGGUAUUUCGUAGGUAUUAUAAAAUUUCUCAAUUUUAUCAGUGCCAGCCCUUGUAGUAAGAAAUUAAAAUAUAAUCAUAAGCAAUUCUCCAAACUUAAUAUGCAUUUUGAUUACUCUCAUCACCAACAUUAUUUAUAUGCAUCGAAUCUUUGGUAAGCCCCCCUAAUAUUUAGCAUCAAUCGACAUUGGUUUUGGUUGCAUGGUUUUUUUUUUUUUUUCAUUUUAAGCAAUUCUAGGCAUCUCAAUGUCGAAAUUCUAAUUUGAAUUCCAACUAAUGUGUCAUUCAUUUAUUAUAUGGUAGUUAAAUAAUUUUAUAAUUUAUAUGAUUCAUCAUCUAAUAAAUGAGUGAUACACAUUUGGACUCAAUUAUUAUGAUCUCUAAUAUUAUUUUUUCAUCUUUUUCUUUUUGGGAUGUUAUCACUUUUUUACCUAAGUUUUUUUGACAUGUCGAAUCAGUACUAUGGUUUAGUGAAAAUUGAAUUUUACCACCAAAUGUUUAUGCUGUUAAUAUUUUAUCACCAUUCAGUUAACACAAUUAAAAAUUAGCUAAUGUUAUAAGGACAUUUAAGAAAUUUCAUGUUAAAGCCAAAGCGCACCGUUCAAUUGUAAAAGAUAGUAUUAAUUUCCCCAAAAGUUUUCUAACAUAUCAAUUCAGUAUCAAAGUUUCCCAAAAAAAAAAACUACUUUUCAGAACCUAAUGUUAAAGUUGUUAUCACUUUACCGCCAAAACAUCAACACAUUAAAAAACUUGUAUAUCAUAUGCGCAUUUAAGAAAUUUCACAUUGAAGCCAAAACAUUAACACGGUUGUUGAAUGAUGAAUGUUAAAUUUGGAGUAUUUGAUUGCCACUAUAUUGUUUGAAAUAGCUUAUGAUUGUCGGUGUUGAAUGAUUUUAUCAAAACUGAAGCUUUGGGCAUGUAUUACUUGGGAUUUGACAUUUGGAUACACAACGUGGUGUUUGUAUAAUAAAAAAGUAACCAUUUUUUUUUUAAUAUAACGGGCUACUUUUCUAAGAUAAUUUCUCCUUUAUAAUUUCUUUAUUUUCAAAUGACAAAAUCAUCUUUUAUACUCUAAGUUAAAUAUUUUGUUAUUUGUGUUUUGUAGCAAAGUGAUAACAACUUAAAUAGUAGAUGGUAAAACAUAAUUUUUAAGAUAUAUUGAUAUUGAAUUGAUAUGUUAAAAAAAAUACUUCGGAAAUUAAAAGCGCUUAAAAUCAUUGUACCAUAACAAAGUUCCAGCUGUUAUUUUGGUCUGAACAGUGAAGAUACAGACAGUGAUCGAUUCAAGAGAAAAACUCUACAAAGAAAAAAAAAAAGUACCUUCACUGUUUAAUAUAAAUUUUACUCAUUCACAGCAAUGCGCCAGCAAUUACCAAUAAGAAUUUAAUGAUAUCCAAGGACAAGGCAUCAUUUGAUUCAAUGCCAUCUUCCGUAAUCAUAAUUUCACUAACCAUAUUUUAACUAACAAAAUGUUUUAGGCUAGCUGAGCUGAACUUAUGAAAAUGGUUGGUGCCUCGUUUAAAUUAUAGCAAUUCGUUUUUCAGCAGUAAAAAGCGGCGAAAGGGAUUUAUUCAUAACUUUCAAGCCUUUUGACUUUCCAUUUUACCAAGUUUCAUCAUUAAUGAAAUUUGUAUCUAAUUCCCACCCAUAAUUGCGUGCAAAUUAAGCUGGCCUGGCCGCACAACUCGCUACCCAAUCGAUGAUGAGCUCAAUGUUCUGACAUCACACCAUCAAUUCCAUGUGCCCCACUUAUUUUCUGUAUUGAAAUUCAUUUUGGAACUUUUUUUCUUUUUGAUCCCUAACAUUUUUGUUUUUAGAAACAUAAAACAACUGGUAAUUAAACUUAAUUAAUAUGAGCAAAAUUAGAAUCUUAAAUCACUUCUACUCAUACGUAUACUAAUGGUCCAUUUGAGAUUGCUUUUGGGAGGUUUAAAAGUAAUUUUAAAAAUUUAAAAGUUAAUUUUAAUAUUUGGUAAAAAAAAUAAAAUUAUUUUUGUCAAAAUCAGUCUUUCUUACAGUUGAUUUUGAAAAGAAUGGAAUAAAUAAUUUUUAAAUUCUGAUUUUGAGAAUUAAUUUUAUCCUUUAAUACAAUUCCAUAAAUAUCAUUAAAAUUAUUAUCUAAACCCAAAAUUAUCCUUAUUCAAAUUGGAAGCAAAAUCAAUAUUUUAAUAAAUUUUUAUUACAAUUCAUCAAUAUAAAUUUAUUAAUAUCAAUUUGUUUGUCAAAUUAUUAUUAAAUUUAUUUCACUAUAUUAUAAAUUUAAUAAUCAAUUGUCUUAAGAUAAAAAAUAAAAUCAAUAUAUUGUAAAUUUUAUUUUUAGUAAAAAUUAUUAUAAUACACAAUUAAAAAUAUUAUAUAUACAUGUUUCUAUAUGUAUAAGUAAAUUUUAUCAUACAUUAUGUAUAUUUUAGUCAUUUAUUUUCUCUCAACAGUUUAAUUUACCAAACGUCCAUAACUGCUUCAAAACUCACAGUAUUUCUAAAAACAAAAUUUACCAAACACAUAACUGGUUUAUUCACAUUUGAUUAUUUAUACAGCACUGCUAACAACAAUUAUUUUAAAAGUUACAACAUUCCCAAACUAGUAAGGAUGUUCAGAAUCCAAUUUGAUCCGCUCAAUCCAUCUGAUCCGUAAAAAUCUGAUUCGUGGAUUGGUGGAUUUGAUUGGAUUGGAUUAAAAAUUUGAUAAUCCGUAAUCGGUGGAUUGGAUAUAGAUCUACUUUUGUAAAUCCUUAAAAAUCCACAAAUCUGUAAAAAAAAUAAAAGUAUUUAUUUAAUUAAAAAAUAAAACUUGUAAAUAUGGCAUUAGUACUUACUACUAAAUAAAUAAGUUAAAAUAUAGUUACAAAUAUAGCUUAAAUAAACAAAUAUAGCUUCCUAAAUAGUUAAUUUCCAUGUUCUGAUCUAAACGAAUGAGAUUUUUUUUAUUUUGGUGUGUUAUAUUUUGAAACUUUAAAUGUAUUUUAUACCUUUAUUUAAACAAUUAAUUUAUUUAAAUCUUAUUUAAUUUUAAAUUUGAUCAGCAGUAAAAUUAUUUUUAUAUUAAAUUUUUUAUUUAGUUAGUUCGUAGAUUGGACAUAAUUAAAAAAUUUUUGUCUGCAAAUCAAUCCACAAAAUCAUGGAUCUAUAAAAUCCGAUCCGCGAACACCCCUACAAACUAGCCCUAAGGUCUCAUUUAGGAUUGUGUUGAAAAGCUAUAAUAGUUUAUUUAAUAAGUUUUGAGAAGACUGAUUUUUGAUAAAGUUUUUAAAAGUUGCUUGUUUAAUAAAUUUCUCCAUUUUGACAGUAAGUUUUAAAAGUAGAUAGAUGAUUUUUUUUUUUUUUAUAAACAACUUACCAAAUAAGGCACUACACCUUUUUAAAGUUCUUAUUACAAUCUUAAUAUUCUAACAAAAAAGAUAAUUAUAUCUUUUUUUCCAAAAAUCCUAAUAUACAAAUAAAAUACAAUUUAAACUUAAAUUUAUUUUAGUUAUUAUAUAAUAAAGCAACACUUUCAUAAUAAAAUUUACUAUAUGCAUGUAUUUUGGUUUUUAAACUUCCAACAAUUGCAGUAACAUAGUUUACCACACACCAAGUUCAUUUUUCAAUCAGCAACUUACUUCAUCUCCAAGACAUAAAUAAUUUAUUUCAUUAAUCAUUACAAUCCUAAAUGAAAUACACAAACAUUUUGAUCAUUGACAAAUAUUCAAAAUUUAAAACUUGUUGUUCCUUACAUUAUAUUCUCUAAGAUUUUUUUUUAUGAUAAUGCCUACAAAAUUCUCUUUUCAAUUGGGACUAGGAAGUACAACUUGUAGUUGGUCCUACGUUUCCUAUAUAAAGAAGAAAUCGUGUAGUUAAGGGGAUUCUUACUUGUACAAAUGAUACUUCGAGUUUGGAAUGAGUAUGAAGAAAUUAGCGAUACUUUUUUAUCUUUUGAGUUGUUCCAUUGGGUCGGUCGCUCAGGACCUUUGGUUUCUACCUAGACCUAAUGAAAAAUGCAAUACCAUUUCUUCUAGACUCAUUCAAAAUGAUUCUGAUCUAGUCCAUAGCUUGUUAGACGUAGAAAGCGCACUGAUGGGGUCUUUGCGAGUAGAAAAAGAUCAUAGUCGAUUUGAAAAUGAUCAAGUGGCAUUGCUUCUUUGGCCCGAAUCAAAGAAUCCGUUAGAUAUGAUGCAAAAAGAAUCUUAUUUUAUUGUUGAUCAUAGAUUUUUUUGAUGAAAAGUACGAUUCGUAGUUUGAAGAAGAGGAAUGAGAAUGAAUCCUCGACCCGCAACGGAUAAAGGAAGAUUUAUUCAAUCACAUAAUAUGGGCUUCUAGAAUAUGGAGCACAACUUGUAGUUGGUCCUACAUCGGCUAUACCAGAGUACCUUCGAAACAAAUUAGGAUAUUUUUAUUUGAUGGUAAAGAAAAAAUGUGAUUAAGAAAACCCAAAUAGAUAUAUAUUAACUUUAUUGGAAAUUAAGAAUAUUCGUCAAAUAUUUAGAUUAGUCCACGAUAGGAGACAAAACUAAAUAUUAUCAGCUCUUGUUUUAAGUGGAAAAUCAUCAGCUCUAGUUUGCAAAAAGAUUAAAAGAUGCAUGGCUGCUUACUGUGUGCCGAUAAGUGGAUGUACUAUUAGAAGUGAUGGCUAUCUACCGAUAUACAGCGGUAAUCAAACCUGCCUCUAUUUAAACCAAUAAUAAUAAUAAUAAUCAAACUCUAGCUUCAUCAAUUCAUGCUCUCACGAGUCAUUGAAAAGCACGUAUUGUAAAUUUGCAUGAAAGUCUUCGGAUAAUGCUUUUAUACGUGGCACGUGAUGACAUAAAAUUCAAGUUCAGGUUGCGAAAAGUCGACAUGCAUAACACAUGAUUAACUUGUGUGAUGUAAGUUUUGUGCCCAACCUAUUUAAUAAUUGUAUUAAAAAAUUAAAAUUUUAAAUUCGAUUCUAAAAAUAUAUAAAUAAGUGAUACAGCGCAACCCAUUUAGUAAUUGGAUAAUCAUAUCAUGUAAUAUAACACGGUUCAUUAAUAUGCUGAUACAUAUUUAACUCAAUUUACAUGAAUAUCACCCAUCUAUUAGCGCAAUUAACACAAAUUACAUUCAUUUAUAUAUCUAAACAAUUUUGUUCAAUGAUAUUGUAUAAUAUACAUACUAAAUUGUAAGAAUACUAUUUAAUUUUAAGUGAGUAAUCACAUCAAAAUCACAUAAUGGAAAUUUAAACAAAUAUAUACAUUGUUAAAUAUUAUUUAACACCGGUCUUUUUUUUUUUUUUUUUGAGUUGGAGGAUUAAUGUGUUGAUAUAAGACAAUUUUCUAUUUAAUAAUCAUAUCAUGUAUAAAACAUGCUAAAUAAAUUGUCAAACUUAAGUAAUUGCUUUUUUUUUUUUGAAAAAAUGGGGUUCUAAAAAGAGCUAAAGAACAACUGAGCGGGGAUACAAGACCCCGUACGAGUCAUGAGAUAAAAAGGACCUAACCCCUAGAGGAGGCGUAGGGUACACAAUAAGGCCAAGAGGGAGAGAAAAAGCGAGGUUCGCCAUAUAAUCUACAGCAAAAUUAGCUUCUCUAUAGAUAUGCGAGAGGGAAACUUGCCAGUCCAAAUUAAGGUAAUCCUUGAUGGCCUGGAUUAAGGGAGCAUAUUCAUUAGAUGUUACCGAAGGUCUAGCCACCAACUGAGUAACACACAGGCUGUCUGUUUCAACUUUCAAUCUUCGGAUGCCAAAAUUCCAUGCAGGUUGCAGCCCCUGAUACAAACCCCAAAGUUCCGCGACCGUGACAGAGCAAGAGCCAAUCAUCAUCCCAAAUCCGGUUAACCAACGACCUAGGUGAUCCCGAAUCAGACCUCCUGCGGCAGAAGUGCCAUGAAUCUUGUGAGCCCCAUCCGUGUUCAAAGUACACCAGGGCCAUCCAGCCAUACGGGGGGAUGCCAAGAAAUCCACUUGUGAACCCUUGUGUUCUUUAUGAUCAACAGAUGAUUAUGAAGCUUUUGAAUCUCCUCAGCUCGUGUAUGAACAUCCACCAACAAAGCUGACGGCACCAUUAACCUUUGGUGAAAGAGAAACUGAUUUCUCCAAAACCAAAUCCGCCAUAAGGCAACACCAAAGAAAAUUUCCUAGUUGGACACAUUCCCCACCAUACUUGCAUCACCCAAGUUCAACCGAAGCCAAUAGUGAAGUCGAGAGUUAAAAAAAUUGUGCCUUUUGCUUGUAGGAAUAAUAUUGAGCCAGAAUUGUUUGACCAAAGGGCAAUCACGAAGGCCAUGAAUAACAUCUUCACACACAGCUCCACACCGGUCACACCGAGAUGAGAUGGAUAAGUGACGCCUGAUCAGUUCAGCUAUUGUUUUCAAACCAGCGUGGAACGUUUGCCAUAAGAAAACUCGCAUGCUCUGAGGGCCUUUCCAAUGCCAUAUCAGCCGCCAAGCUCUAUCUGCAGCAGCUGGAUUAUGAACGGAGAGAGCUAAAUAGGCAGAGCUAGUGGUAAACUGGCCAUGCUUUGAGUGAGCCCAAAAGAUGGUAUCCGUGCCCUUCGCAUGUGAUGGGGGGUGAAGAGCAGCGAUUUUGAGAAUUAUGUUGCUUGGAAGAUAUUGCUCGAAACGUGACCAAUACCAACUCCCAUUAAUGUCCACGAGAUCAGCCACCUUGCAAUCUAAAAUAUCCAGAGGAAUGGUGUUUGUUGCAUACGCAAUUAAGGGAGCAUUACUGGUAGCCUAAAGAUCCCACCAGAAACUAACAAAUUUUCCAUUACCCAAACUUCAGCGCCUACUCGCAAGAACCUCGCUCCAAACAUGACCAAGAGAUUUCCACAAGUGAGAGCCAUAGUGGUUAGGAAGCACCUGAGGCAAAUUGUGGCGAUCCACUCGAUAUUUUGCAGAUAGGACCUGGACCCAUAAACUGUUGGGAGAAGAGAUUAUGCCCCAGGCUAGUUUCAUGUGAAGAGCUCGAUUGAUCAUGGCCAGCGAUUUAAAGCCAAGGCCGCCAAAAGCUUUAGGCUUACACACAUUACGCCAACUAACCAUGCUGAGCUUCUGCUAAGGAGAUGAGCCACUUCAAAUGAACCUCCUACAAGCUCUAUCAAUCCUCUCACGGACACCACUAGGGAGGGACAAAGUUUGCAUAACAAAAAUGGGAAUAGCUUGGAGAACUGACGAAGCGAGAGUGAUACGGCUAGCCAGAGACAGGUGGGACGCAUUCCAGCCCGACAGUUUUUUCUCUACCUUGUCUACAAUGUUUUGAAACAUGCUGGAAGAGACUCUUGAAUGAUGGAGUGGAACCCCAAGAUAUUUGCCAAGAUCAAAUGUAAUCGAGAAACCGAGGAAACCCAAAAUUUCAGAAAUGUCUUUAUCACCCAUGUUCUUGGAAAAAAAUAGCAGAGUUUUAUUUGCAUUUAUUUUGGCAUCCGAGCAAGUACAAAAAUCAGCUAACACCGCCGAAAUAACUCUAGCUUGCUCAACAGUAGCCUCUGCGAACAAGAGAAGGUCAUCAGCGAAAAAAAGAUGGGAUAGAGGUAUACCAUUGCGAGAUAACAUAAUCGGAUGCCACUUUCCAGCAGUAAUGGCGUUAUGAAUUCCAUUACUGAGGCGUUCAAUACAAAGGACAAGAGAUAGGGAGAUAAGGGGUAUCCUUGACGAAUUCCUCUCGAAGGGGAAAAUUCCUUAGUAGCCUCUCCAUUCCACAAAACCCUCAUGGUCGCUGAAGUAAUGCAAGCCAUAAUCACUUGAAUAAGAUCGGAAGGAAUCCGAGCUUCACGCAAAGUGUCAAUGAUGAAUUCCCAACUGAGGCGAUCGUACGCUUUCUCUAAAUCAACCUUGAUGGCCAAGAAACCAGUAGCGCCCGUCUUUCUGCGCAUAGAGUGCACAACCUCCUAGGCAAUCACAAUAUUUUCCAUAAUGUGGCGGCCAGAGACAAAACUGGUCUGAUGAGGGCCAACCAGAUGAGGGAGAAUAGACUGAAGACGGUUUGCAAUAACUUUUGUGAUUGUCUUGUACGCGACAUUGCAGAGGGAAAUCGGUUGGUACAUCUUAAAAGAAGACGGGCUUUCUGACUUGGGAAUAAGAGCAAGUAACGUUGAGUUCAGCCCCCCAGGAAGGUGUUUGUUCUGAAAAACUUCUUUCACCAAGCGACAAAGAGAAGAGCCAACGGUGUUCCACUGUGUCUGAUAAAAAAUGGCAUGAAAACCAUCGGGACCUGGGGCUUUCAGCGGGUACAUUCUGAAAAUAGUUUUUUGAACUUCAGCAUCUUCCACACCCUUAUUUAAAGACUGCAACAAAUCCUCCUCAAUAAUGGGAAAGCAGUUCGGAUGAGGGUAAUGCCGGAAGUCCAGGGAAUCGCAUGACUACAAAGACGAAUAAAACUGUAUACCAUGCGCUUUUAUCUCAUUUUGAUCAUAAAACCAGACCCCUUCAUUGUUUUGGAUAGCAGCUAUAUUGUUUUGUCUCCUUCGAGUGAGUGUUUUGUGGUGAUAAUAAGAGGUAUUGCGAUCCCCGAGAAGCAGCCAAUCCUUCCGAGACUUUUGGUGCCAAAUAAUUUCUUCUUGAGUAAGAACCUCUUCAAGAUCAGCUUUUAGUUUUUCCUCAAGACGCGAAAGACCCUUAGAAAAAUAACUCUCUAAAGCUCGCUGAAUACCUCCCAACCGAGCCAACAAACGGUUUUUCCGCCAAAAAAUAUUACCAAAGCUUUGCUUAUUCCAGACUGUAACCUUUGAACGAAACUGAUCAGCAGUAUCUAAAUGGUGGAGAUUUUGGUCCCAAGAUUCAGCCACGAAAUCCUGGAAGCCCUCAUUGGUGAGCCAAGCUACUUGAAACCUGAAAGGACGAGAAUGCAAAUUCCUCGAAGACAGCCCGUUACUCCUCACUAGUAUAAGUCUGUGGUCAGGGCUUAAUUUCGGGAGAUGAAAAAUAGUUGAAUCAGAAAAAAUACUAGCUCGCUCGCUAUUGCAAAUAACGCGAUCAAGGCGCUUGAAGAGGCUUCCACGGGACCAAGUAAAACGAGGCCCAUGAAACUGAAGAUCAUGCAUGCAGUUAAGCUGGAACCAAGACUGGAAAAAAUGACAAGCACCCGAGCCUGUAGGAGAGCCAUCUUUCUUCUCCGAAUCAUAAAGAAUAGUGUUAAAAUCCCCACCCAACAUCCAAGGGCCAUGCACCGUUCUAGUUAAAUUAUUGAGCUCACUCUAGAGGAACUUCCUGCGUUGAGGGUUGGGACUAGCAUAGACAGCUGUCAACCAAGAGGGAGCGGUAUUGUUAUUGGAUAACUUAAUAUGGACGAAUUGAGAGUGGCUGGCAACAAUCUCAACCUGAAAAAGGUCUCUCCAAAUGAUCCAAAUGCCCCUAGAAAAACCCUCUGCUUCCACCUGAAAGGAUUUGUCGAAGCCACUUCUCUUAAUAAAAUUAUCAGCCUUAUUGCCACUGAUCCGAGGCUCCAUCAACACAACCAAGGGAGGCUUGUAAUUCCGAACCAAAGCCAAAAAAGAACGUCGAAAGGACGGUAAUGCUGCACCUUGUGUAUUCCAAAACAUGGUUGUGAUAAACAUAGUAAAUAAUAGAAAGAGGAGGAAAGGAGUUUUACUGCGAGGACUUGAAAACCUCAACCUCCAUUCCAUUCUCAGCUCCAACUGAGCAGUCAUUGGCAACUAAAGGUGAUCUGUUGCGGCUUGUAACUAGGGGUUCCUCAAAUUCAGCAGAAGUUUCCCAACUGUUGAAGUCACAAAAAGUGUCUUUGUUAGGUGGUUCAUCAGCAAGAGAAGGAUCACCAACAGGCUGCGAAGGGUGCUGAGCGAUAGCCUGCGGGGCCAAAGCCACCUUGGGGAAAGAGACGACCUUGUGAUGGAGAGGGUUAAGGGUUGUUGGAACGGGCACAAGAACGGGAGCUAGAGAUUUGGAAUUGGACUAUUUGGGCCAUGCAUGUGGAAGGGCCAUUAGGUUCGAUGUGAGGUACGGGCGUGGGGAAAGUGUCACGAUUCGCAUGCAUGCCAUGCACAGUUGGGGACUGACUGCUGGGGUUGGAAUAUUUGGAGAAGAUUUGAAUGUUUGGAUCAAGGUUUUCAGUCGUGGGUUGGCUGGGAUAGAUGGGAUUAGUGGCUUUACGAGUAGGGAAUUUCCGGAUGUGAAGAUUGGUGGGUUUCUUUUUCAUAGUUCGAGAUUUUGGGCCAAGGGUUUGGGUGUUUUCCGGAAUAAAUAUUGUAGGUUCCCGUUGAGAAAUAGCAUCUUUAUCAUAAGCCUGAGGGUGCAUGUCCUCGUUCGUCAAAUCAGCCAACGCAAUGAAACAGGACUGCGAAAUUCCAGACCUGUUUCGGUUCUUGUCCAUGGCUUUGAGUGUGUCUUUGUCUGUGAUUAGGGGUGGGCAUUUUACCCGAUCCGACCCAACCCGACCCGACCCGACCCGAUAAAUUUUGGGUUCGGAUCGGAUCGGGUCGGGAUCGAUUUGAAAUUUACAAACCCGAUCGGGUUGUGAUCGGUUCGGGUCAAACUUGACCCGAUCUGAAUACCCGAUCGGGUUCUAAAAAAAAAAAAACGUAAGCUAACAGUCUAAUUGUCUAACACUGCACACACACAGAGCAAUGGUUUCAAACUUUCAAUCACUUAAGUUAACACUAACAGUAGCAGCAAACUUGCAGUAAACAAAUUUAAGAAGAAGAUGUUUAACACUUUAACAGUUUAAGCUACAGUCAAUGAGUCAACACUCAACAGCAACUACACAAGUCACACACAUACGCUGCUCGCUCGGCUGCUGCACAACGCACACACACACACACAACUUGUCACAAGUUGCACAGCACACAGCCACACGGCCCAUACACACAUACGCUAGCUGCUGCACACACAUAGGGAUGGCAAUUGUACCCGCAAACCCGCAAACCCGCCUAAAUUUAAUAUUUAAUUGUAAUGUUAAUCAUCCGUUAAGUUGUUAAGUACAAGUAACUUGGACUUGAAAUUAAAGGAUUCUGCUGUACGGCCAAGGCGGAUGUCCAAAUAGCAAAAGGCUCAAAGUUGUGUAUGUGUGUAUAUGGCUCAUCUCUUAUUCUAAAGUCAUAACCUAAAGAAAACUAAAGGUAUUUUCCUUCGAAUUAGUAUUUGAAAAUAUUAAUCUUAAUUAUUAUUUUAGGCAUUGUGUUAGAUGGGUGCUUAUGGUGGUGAAUAAAAUAAAUAUAUUCUCUUUGAUCUUGUUUUAAAUGAUAAUAUGAAAUGUAAUUAUUAUUUUUAGAUAUUAGUUUGUGUUUUUUAAAUAGAUUUGUAUAAUUUAUACUUAAAUUUGAGAAUUUGUGUUGAAUUGAUGUGGAAAUUUUAAUUUUUCAUUUACACUGUUUAAAUAUAAAAUUGAAUAUGUUAUAUGGAACUUGAGGUUAUUAUUAUAAAUUUAUUUAUUAAAUAUUUGUGAUUUUAAAUACGGAAACCCGCAAAAAAUCCGUCGGAUACCAUUGCGGGUUUGGUAAUUGUUAAAACCCGCUGCGGGUGGGUUUUUUUAAAAAAAUUAAAAUCCGCUGCGGAUUGCGGGUGGGUUUGGUAAUUUAAAUUUUGUGCGGGUUUGGGUUUGGUAAUGGCAAACCCGCUGCGGGCGGUGCCCAUUGCCAUCCCUACACACACACAACACAACUACACAAGUCACAAGCUGAAGCUGCACACUUGCACAGCACACACACAGAAUGACAGAAUAGAACAGAACAAAACAGAACAGAACACACACGAGCUGCACAGCACACACACACGUUGCACAGUCACUCAGGUCUCAACAAUUCACUCGCAAACCUAACACACACACACACACACGCUGUCAGCCACAACUCACAAGUUCAAACAACUAAACAAACACAAACAACUUAACAACAGAACAAGGCAGUCGCAACCCGCAAGUCUGCAACCACCAACCAGCCACCACGAGACGGAUUUGUUGCUGCCAGCUGCUGAAGAAAUCACGAUCUGUUGCUGCCAAGUGAAGUCGCAACCAGCCGUGAGCCGUGAGCCGUCCGCAUCUCCGCGAUUUGCUACUGCCAACUCCCAAGUGAAGCCGCGAUCUGCUGCCAAGUGAAAUCCUGUCCGUCCAGCAAUGAGCCGUGGCCACCGAUCUGCUGCUUGAAGGCCGAAUCCUCUCCACUCGAACCCGAUUUUGAAGCUUUCUGGUUUCCACCUUCCAUUUUGAAGUUUCAAGCUUCAAGCUUCAAGCCUUCAAGGCUUCAACUUUAUUGAAGUUCCCAAGUCGUUUCAGACUUUUAAUUUACCUUCAGUUCACUUCACGACUUCACGCCUCACGGUAUAUAACUAUAUAUACACUAUAUAAUUAAUUAAUUAUAUAUAUGCUAAAUAAUUUAUUACUUUAUUAUGUAAUUGAGUAAUUGGUUAAUGGUUAUUAUUUAAUUGUUGUAAUUAACUAAUUAUGUAUUUAUAAAUAUUAGUAAUAAAAUCAAGGAAAUUUUGUUAAUUAUUGAGCUCAUCAGAAAUUAUUUUUUUGUCAUAUAUAAAAAGGAAUUGAUGAUUGGUUUGGUGGGUUUUGUUUUUAUUUCAUUGAUUAUUAAUUUUUUAUCGUUGGCUCUCUUUAGCGAAUUAACCUAUAACAAAUUAACAAUCAAGCACAAAGAAUAUAUUUGAUUUUUUAUGAAUAAAUUAGCACAUUAGGUAGAUUAAAUAUUAAAAUUAAGUAUUAUGUUGUAUAUAUUUUAUAAUUAUAAUGUGUUAUGUAAUUAUGUGUACUUGUGCAGUAGCUUCAAGCUUUCAACCCUAAAAAAAUUAAUUAAUUCAAUUAAUAUUUUAUUGUAUGUUAAUCAUCUGUUAAGUUGUUAAGUACAAGUAACUUGGACUUGAAAUUAAGGGAUUUAAUUUAUAAUAAGAAAUAAGAUAUAGAUAGACAAAUAAUAUCAUAUUAUUAUGGGGAAUAGACAAUUGGAUAUUAUAAAUUAAUUAAUUAAUCAUGAAUUUCUUACUUUUUGUUUAUGAAGCAUGAACAACUUGAAUUGAAAUUACUAAUUUUUGUUUAUGAAGCAUGAACAACUUGAAUUGAAAUUACUAAUUUUUGUUUAUGAAGCAUGAACAACUUGAAUUGAAAUUACUAAUUUUUGUUUAUGGAUUAUGUUAAUAAUAUUUAUGUGUUUUGAUUUUUGAAUUAAUGAUUAUUAAUUAUUAUUUUGAAUAUUCAAAUGCUUGGACACUCAAUAUCGAAUUCAAUGAGUGACGAUGAAGACCAAAGUGUACAAAUGGAAGGAACCCAUAGAGGAAAGGAAAAGGCGAAGCGGAAAAGACCGCCAAUGAAAAAAAGAUCGGCAGUAUGGAAUCAUUUCACUUUACUCGAAGAUAAUCCAAACAAAUGUAUGUGCAACUAUUGUGGUAAGCAAUAUCAAUGUCAUUCAAGGCUUGAUGGGAUUACAAAUAUGACAAGGCAUAUAAAGACAUGUGAAUCAUACAAGACAUUUCAGACACAACAAAGUGGAAGUCAACAAAAUUUGACAUCCGAGGGCGGCAAAGAAAAUGCAAGUAAUUUGGUUUUGGGUAAAGGAUGGAGUCAAGACGCGUGUCGAAGGGCAGUAACUAAAAUGAUUAUUAUGGGUGAGUUGCCGCUCAGUUUUGUAGACAACAAAGGCUUUAGGUAUUUUUGCAGUGUAGCUAUCCUUCAGUUUGUUAUGCCAUCUCGAAGAACAAUUGGUAGAGAUGUUAUGGAGUUAUUUUUGGAGGAAAAGGCAAUGUUGCAGAGUUUGAUUUGCAACAACAAGCAGCGGGUGUCUCUUACAACUGAUUUAUGGACUUCUGUUCAAAACAUGAGCUACAUGGUGAUUACAGCUCAUUUUAUUGAUAGUGAUUGGUGUUUGAAUAGAAGGAUUAUUAGUUUUAGCGCCAUCGAAUAUCAUAGAGGGAAGUCUAUUGGUAAAAUGAUAGUGAUUGAUGUUUGAAUAGGAGGAUUAUUAGUUUUAGCGCAAUCGAAGAUCAUAAAGGGAAGUUGAUUGGUAAAAAGAUUGUGGCUUGCCUACAAGAUUGGGGGAUAAAGAGGUUGUUUGCAAUAACUAUUGAUAAUGCCACUGCAAAUGAUGUUAUUUGAUGUUGAUGACUGCGCUGAAAUUUCAAGCGGCAUUUGAUAGAAUGGCAGAAGUGGAUAAACCUUAUGAGGCAUUCUUUGCUGAGAAAGAAAAUAAUGUUAGAAGGGUGGGCCCACCUGGACCGGAUGACUGGGAGAGUGCUGAACGGAUUGUGAAGUUUUUGAAGGUAUUUUAUGAUGCCACAUUAUUGUUUUCUGCCUCUUUGAGUGUGACUUCUAAUCUUUGUUAUGAUACUAUUGGCUUAAUUGAGAGUUCAUUGACUGCACUGCAAGAAAGUACUGAUCCUUGGGUGUCCUCUAUGGCUUAUAGUAUGAGGGAAAAAUUUGACAAGUAUUGGGAGUCCACAGGAAAGAUAAACAAAAUGUUGAUUAUUGCCUCUAUUCUUGAUCCACGAGCGAAAAUGGAUUUUGCUAAACAUAUUUUUGAGAUCAUUUUUGGCAAUGAUAGUUUGAUGGUUAAACAAAUGACCAAAGCAGUGAAGGACUUGUUGAAUGAGUUUUAUGAUGCAUAUAUUCAUUCUCCGUACACCAUCGAUGUAUGGUGAGAGUGGUUUUAGUGGCAGCUAUGGAGGUACAAGUUCUUCUCAACGUUUUACAACUGAGACUAAUUUGGUGGAUGGAUGACGGUUUUCAAGUAUCUCGCCCUUUCCUUGGAUAUGUCAGGAAGGUUUCUAUUCAGAAUGAGAGUAGAAGAGUAGUAUCUGAGGUGGAAAGGUACUUGAAGGACCCAGUUGAAGAUCCCAGCAAUCUUAAACUUAAUGUUUUGCUUUGGUGGAGGGUGAAUGGAUCGAGGUAUCCAAUUCUUGAGAAAAUUGCAAGAGAUGUCCUUGUUGUUCCUAUUUCCACAGUGGCAUCUGAGUCUGCCUUUAGCACCGGGCGUCGUAUUAUUGAUGAGUAUAGGAGUUCUUUAACUCCGGCUAUGGUUGAGGCAUUGAUAUGCACUGAAAAUUGGCUGCAGUCUAAACUUUUUGCCAAUCCCAUCUACAACCUCCAAGAAGAUAUCAAGGAGUAAAUAUUUCAUGCAGUCUAAACUUUUUGCCAAUCCCGUCUACAACCUCCAAGAAGAUAUAAAGGAGCAAAUAUUUCAUAUGGAAUUACAAGAAGGUAAUGUUUUUAAUUUUUUAUCAUACAUUAAAUACAUAAUAUAUUUAAAAUGGAUUAUAAUUUUAUAUAGAACAUCUACAUAUUAAUUUUUUGAUAUUAUCGUACUAUAGUUUUUUGUUGUAAUUUAAGCUCCUAUAAUUAUAGUUGUUAUAGUUUUAAAUUUUAAGUCUAAUUUGUAAUUGUUUUAGUUAGACAAGUUGAAGUUGAUAGAAUGUUAUUAUUGUCUAAUAUUAUUAUUAACUUGAUUUGGUGAUGAAUGCCAUAAAAUAAGCAUGAUAUAAUAGAAAUAUAUAAUCAAGUGUGUAUUGAGAAAUUUGGUAAACAUAUAUAUUUAUUUGUAAUUAUAAAUUUAUAAUGAUAUAAUAGAAAUUAGAAAGAUUGUAACACCCCUUAGUUUAAUUAAAGAUAUGAAUUGGAUUUAUUUAUUUGUAUUUGUGUUUGAUGUGUAACCUUAUGAAUUUGGUAUAUUUGCUCAAUUUUUUAUAUGAAUUGAGUUUGUUCAUUUGGAACGUGGCUUAAGGAAAAUAUUUAUUGUACGUUUUCUCAAUCUUUCUCUAGGCAAUCGGCACUUGAACUUGGAGUUCAAAAUUUUCAAUUUAGAAUUUGUCAAAGUACUUGCAUGGAGCCAUGGAGGAACCAAGGUGGAGGAACCAAAAAAGCUUAUUUAGUUUUAAUGUUUGAACUUUGAAUUUUGUGAUUUAUGUUUCUAAACAAUUUAAUUUUGUGACUUUGUGAAUUUGUGUUUCAAACUUUUAAAGACUAAUAUUUGGAAAUUGUGCUUUGGACUUUGUAAGUUUGUAUUAAUUUUAACUUUUAUUAAGUUUGGAACUUUGGAUUUUGUUGAUUGAGCAAAUAAUAGUCCUAAUUCUACCCUCCAAGUCUAAGCCAAUAGACAAAUAAUCCUAUUAUAGCUUUUUAACUUUAUUCAUUUGAAUUAAUGACAUUUUCUUUUCUUUUUUUCAGUUGACAAUUAGUAAAAAUGACUACGAUUAAGAAAAAUGUCUUAAAACUUUCAUAAAAAACUACAAUAAUAGGAAAAAAAGAACUCAAAGAGUCAAAAUUGUAUUAACCGAAUUUGACCCGAAUUGACCCGAUUUCAACCGAUUCGAACUGACCCGAACUCAAUCCUGCCCGUUUUAAAUCCAACCCGAUCCAACCCGAAACCCGAUCGGGUUGACCUGAACCCGAUUUUGCCCACCCCUAUCUGUGACUUUGCAAGGGCGCGAUUGACGGGCUACUACCAUCCAUGACCCAAACUUUGGCUUCUGGCAGUCCAAAUCUUCAGUCAACACAAUGUCGUGCUUGUCAGCCUCUGUUAAAGAAUGCUGAUCAUACUUAGCCAUGUGAGUAAUAUCUGCACUGUCAGGGCAUGCUUCCCUAUAAUGACCAAAUUUACUGCACCCAAAACAGAUUGUUGGCAAGUUUUCGUAUUCCACCUUCUGAAUUCGACCUUCAAGGUUAAACUGUGAUAUAAGAGGCUUCUGAAGAUCCAACUCAACCGCAGGACGAGCAAAUUUACCCCUCUGUGCCGUAAUUGUGUUGGAAUCAAUUUUAACAACUGGGCCAAUAAUUUGCCCUAGACGCCGAAUGAUAUGUUUAUGGUAGAAGUGGAUAUUCAUCUCGGAUAAACGGAUCCAAGCCACUAUGUGAUCAAUUUUAUUGUUGACCACAUCAAAAUCUGGAGUCCAUUUCUGCACUGACAAAUAUUGACCCAUAACUGUCCAUGGUCCCUCCAUAAGAGCAAACUCAACGUCCUUUGCAUUGUUGAAACGGAUUAGGAAAUAGUCGUUGGCUAGGUCUAUUAUAUCAAAACUUGUGGUGGAGCUCCAAACUUUGUUCAACCGGAAACUUAAAGCACGGUACCCCAAGUUGCGCCCUAAUGUCUUGACCACCACGAAGUGUUCCCAGGGUUCCACUAGACGAUCAUGAAUUCGGCUAGAAAAGGCUAUGUAUGGCAUAGGUUCUUCCUCCCUGAAAGUCACAUCUUCCUCCUCCAACUCCCAAUCAUCCUGCCGACCAAGACUUACAUUCUCUGAAUGCCCCUGAGUAUCCAUUAGCACGUCACGGAAAGAUAAGGGAGAAGGGUUAUCUCCAUCCACCCCUUGGGCCCUAAACUUUGCCUUCGUAGCGGAGCGGUCUCCCGCCAGCAGCGGUUGAGCGACUUUGCCAGAGCGCAUAACCAUGAGAAACCCUAACUUGUAAAAGCUUUUUAACAAGUAAUUGCUUAUUUAUUUAGGUCUAACUCAUUUACUGACGUAUUUUUUUACUACAAAAAAAUAAUUAUAAAUUAGAAUAAAUACAAUAAUUAAAAAAACCCAUUUAUUAUUGAUUUCCGGUAAAUAGGUAAUGUCAGAAUUUGCCAUCUCUAAAUUCAGGCAUACGGUUUGGAAAAUAAAACCACGAAAUUAAAAUAAAAAAUUAAGAGUACAUCUCGGGUAAUGGGGAUUGGUUAUGAAACGAGUUAAAGUAUUGACACGUGGCGAUCAUACACUCUGACAAGAGAUCCAAGAUCCAACAGUGGAAAAUGCUUUUUUUUUGAUGGAUUGAUUGAUUACUGAUUGAUAGAUGGAUGCUAAAGCAGGAGCAUACGACGUCGUCAUGGCGUCGAUCUCUUUCGCUCCUCUUUUUUUUCCAUCUUCAAAUUUCUGUACAAAAUCUUUUGCUUCAUCCAAAGUCCAAACACACACCAUCAAAGCAUCCCCCACCAGCCACCAGCCACCAGCCACCAGACCCAGACAGACUCCCCCGAGUUUGCCGCCGCUCCUUGACCAAACGGAUUCCCAUAAUCACCGUACAGUAUCCGGGGAGUGAAAGCCACUCUCUCCAUAAUAACGGCUCGUGCCUUACACGCGCUGUCGAGUGAGCUUUUUGCUCUCCACUUUUGACACUAUGUAUGCAUACGUAAGUACAAAGUACACAACUAAAACUAAAAAAAGCAUCUGAGCACUAAUCUUAUUGACUAGUGAAGAGCUGCUGCAACUGAUUAAUGGCGUCACCUGUUGCGUGAAGGAGAGAUCUGUACAUUACACUCGCGCUUACACAGCAUGUAAUAAUAAUAAUGAUGAUAAUAGAAAAUAUACUAUAGCGUCACUGUACAGUAAUUUUUAUUUUUUUUUGGGCUCAGGGAUACGUCACUGUACUGUAAUAAAAGCUAAAGGAAAGGUGAAAUUAACAAAUAAAAAGAAAUGAAUAUAUAUUUAUGUAUAUGAGAUAUGAUGAGAAAGUGGAGUACUUUCACCUUACGUUAGCAGCACCGUCGGAUGCGCCUCGAAUGUCGUAUUCAAACCUGAUCAUCUGUUGCUGUCUCAAGUGACUGUCCGCAGCCUGGCCCCCUGCGGGAUCCUAACACUUCAGCUACUGCUACGUGUUACUAGGCCUACAUCUAUCUAGUACUAAUGAAAGUGAUGUUUCGUCAUUAACAACUUUUGCUUAUAAUUUUUGCUGCUCAUUGAACAACGAUUUUCACUUUUUUAAAAAUUUCUAGCUCCUCUUAAACAUGAAUAAUCAAUGUCAAACACUAAAUUACAUUAAUGUAACUUGGUGUUUGCCACUUAAUUAAUUAUAGAGCUACGCAACAGUUGAACAAAUUUAUUUUGGUCACAAAUUCGUAUGGUAAAAUAUGAUUUUUUGAUUGAAAAUAUUCUUUAAAUAUAGAGUUAUUACAUUUUUCAAAUCUAAUUUGAUAAUUUUGAUUCUUAAGAGAUAGAUAGACAUAUUGUAGACAUAGUAUAAUAAGCAAGUUUAGUUAUCUUACAUAAUUACGUAAGGUAUAUAACUCUUUCUCAAUUGGUUGGUGAAAAUUUAACAGUCGUAGAAAUAUAAGAUAACAAAAUCUUAUUAUGUAAGAUUACAUAAUAAGAUUUUGUUAUCUUAUAUUUCUAUAGUCGUUGAAUUUUCAGUAAAUGGUUAUGAAAAAGUUAUAUACCUUAAAUAAUUAUGUAAGGUAAUAAUACCCUUAUUAAACUAUUGUAUGUGUUUGUCUAAAAUAAAAUUUGUCUAAAGAAAAAAAAAAGGGAAAGAAGAAGAUUUGAAUUUAAAUUUAAAUUUAUUGAUAUUACAGUCAUAAAUUUAUUAAAAACGAUUUGCAUUGGCAUAACAGUGAUAACGAGCGAAUCCCGAAGACAUCUACUCCAACAAAUUAUGAUGUAAAUUUCUCUUCAACUUAUCGAGUAAAGUCGCCAAUCUUAAUUGAUCAAGACAGGUCUCGUCAUAGUUUUAUUAACAUUUUAGUUUCACAGAAAGAAAUCAUAACGAUGGUAUUAAUUCUGUGCCGAACUUGCAGGUUGAGGAUGAGGAAAUAAAUGGAUAGUUUUUGCAAAAGAAAAAGUCAUUGAAUGAACAGAUUAAAAAACAAAAUCAAGCCUGCUACUACUGUUUUUUCGGGGUCCAAAUGGCCCACGCCUGAUUCAUAAUAAAUAACAAGAAGUAAUCAUAUAAUUUUUUUUUCUAAUAUGAUUUUCUUUUUGAAAGGCAGAAUAAUUUAAUAAAACAAAAAACCGAUGCAAGACAAAUUAUACGUACAAACAUUGUAAUUUACCCCCAAAAAAAAAAAUCGAAUUUAAUCGAACCAUUGUAAAUGCCUGUGCCUGUCGUGAUAUUUUAAGCUUAUGUGAAUACUGUCAAGAAAAAUAAUUGUUUUUAUUCUUACAAGAAUUUGGCGGGGGGAAAAUGGGUAACAUGUGCAGCCUGCCAUAAUGGAGGUUUUGAACUCCAUGGACGGAAGCCGCUGAUGAGACUUUGGUUCCCUCAUUCAGCGACCUUCAUAAUUGGCACUAUCAGAUUUGAAGGAUUCUGAUUUUAACCAAAGGAUGCCUUUUUGAGGAUAAAAGACAACUCUAUGAGACUAUGACAUAUCAUCCAAGCAAUUUGGUAAGUUAUAUAAUAGUGUAACUUACAUUCAUACAAGAGAGAUGUUUUCAAUAACUUAAGUGUAAUUUAGUUGUCACACACUCUCUAAGAUUAUUGAAAACAACUAUUGGUUGAAUAAAAGUUACAUUAUUACGUAAUUUAACUACACUUUAUAAAUUAUGAAGUUAAAGUAGAAUUUGACAAGAAAUAUAUAUGUAUAUGUAUAAAGUAAAAUAAAUAAAAUAAAAUAGGUUCUAUGCGAAUUGAUAAAGCUUGUGUUAGCUUGUUAUUCAUGAAUCCAGACGCCCAGUUAAUGUUUAGUUUAUUCAGAUUUAGCUUAAUGGUUUUUAAAUAGUAUUUUUCAAGUUGACAGUGUGUGCUUCAAUUUUAGAUGAGAUAGGGACAAAAAAAAUAAUCAAUUUAAAAUUUUCUCACGAUUUACCCUUCAAAAAAAAAAUAAUAAUAAUAAAGAUUAAUUAGUAGAAAAAUGUUAAAUGUACCAAAAGCAGUGAAUAGAUAAGUAAUAAUAUUCUAUCAACUUUAAGGCUUAUAGUAUUGGUUUAACAAAGAUAUAAUAUUGGUUUUACGUUAUAAUUAGGACUAUUUUCUUAUUCAACUUUAAGGCUUAUUUAAAUAAUAAUGCACACAUGUUAAAAGAUUUUCCAAAUCCUAAAUUAAUUUAUGUUAGCCACUUGUCACGGGCUCGCUUGGCACUCAAGGUGGAUACACUUAGAAGUGGGAGUUAACUUAGAAAUUGGGCCACCAAGACAACUAACUAGCUGGGGUGCACUUAGCAAAACCCCCACCAAGGCCCAAAGUCCACCAAGGCCCAAAGGUCUAGAACUCUCUACAUAUUAUCCAUUCACUAGAACUUUCUAGGACUCACCACUUGGGUCCCUUAGUGUUUUGCCACUUGUAAUAGAAUUCUCUAGAAUUAGGCAUUCCACCCCCUAUAAAUAUGGGUGAACACCCAUCAUUCACACAACCACCAAUACACCCACACAACACACCUAGCACACUAGCUCUCAAGCUCUCUUGUACAAACACUCUUGUAAUUAUUCAAAGUGUAAUACAAUCAUCUUUGGCCAUUCCACUCUUACUUCCCUUAACAUUUUCUCCAAGUGUGUGUGCUUGGCUUGUUUAGGGAGUAAUCUAGGCUUACUUGGCGACUCACACGCUAAGGUCGCUCAAGUGCCGCACGGGAACUUGCUGCGCAAAACUAUCACCCCGUGACACACUGCCUUCAUGUUAGAGUUAGGAUUAGCUUCUUAUUUAACUUUAAAGCUGAUAAACUUGAUGACAAAUUAAUUGUUUUCUACAUUUGAUUGAAAAAGUUAAAAGAGCAAUGUUUUUUUCCAAGUGUAAUAGAGUAACAGUUGCUAAAGGAAGCACUUUCUCAUUUAGUUAGUGCAUUCAAUUUACGGGUCUUGUCUGUCUCCAGGGAAUUUAAUUUCAAGGGUUUCAUACUAUUAUUAGUAUUACAUUAAGAAAUUACCGGCCCCUAAAAUUAUAUUUAUUUUUAUAUUAAUUAUGAUCAUUAAAUUUAAAACAUAUCAACGGCUAAAAUUUUGUGGGACAUAAUAAAUUUUUUAUUAAGAUUUUUCUUGUCUCUUAUUUAUUAUUUCCCCUACGCCAACAUUUUAUUCCUUUUUUUUUUCUCAUCAUUAAAUUUUUUUCUCUCGAAAUCAAAACAAAAAUAACUCUUAAGAUCGUGGGUGCAAAUGCCUAUAUCCGUAUUCAUUUGAUAGAAAACAUCUCUGUUACCAACCCUUACCCAUUGUGGGCUUAAACGGGUGUGGGUUGGAUUCCCUAAUAAAAAUUAGAGAUACCCAUCUCUUUCACCUAUCCUUUAUAUCCCCUUUUAUUUUUUAACAUCUACAUAUAUUUAAAAAAGAAAAAAAUGAUAUCUCAACUAUUUAGCUUUAGAUGAACAUGCUACACUUUAUACUAAAAUAUUUAUAUAAAAAAAAUCAAUUUUAGGUAAAUAUUAAUUAUAAUUUAAUGGUUGUUAGGUUCAAUUUUAAUCAAUAUAUUACUAAAUAUUUAGAUUGAGAACAAAAUACUCCACUUUAGCAUUUCCUUAUCCAUCCUUCACUUUUUUCAACUAACCUUAGUUUGAGCACUGUUCUAUCAUUUGUUUCUAAUUAUGUGAAGAUUUAGAUGGUUUAGUAAUGUCUAGUUCACUAAAUGAUUAAAAUCUUCAAGUAAAUGUUUAGGAUAAUAUCAUAUUAGAUCGAUUUUCUGAUUACUAAGUUAUUAAGUGCUAAUAUCAAUGUUUUAGGGUUUCAAAAUUUCAUUUUAAUAUUUAUUUGAUUUUAACUUUUAAGACAAAAAAAAGAGUCAAUAGCCAAAUAUGUUUAGUGAGCGGUACGAGUAUUAGUGUUUUACACCCGACCUGACCCGUCCAAUCAAUGAGCAUAAAGCGUUAUACUUGUAACCAAUCUUUUUUAUAAAAUGAAGGUAAAAUUAGACCCCAUAUCCAAUUUUCACAUAACGGACCCCUACACCAUCAAGGAUUUUUGCCAUCCCUACAUUCAAUGGAUAAAUUUAGAGGCCAAGCCAUGAGAAUAGAAAAGUGAAAAAAAAAAAUGCUAAGAAAACUUAGGAGAGAGAUAUCAUGUUUUAAAAGGAAACUAAUGAGGAGUGGAAAAGUACAUUAAUUAUAGUUGUUAGUAAGCAUUUGUGUUAUUAAUUUCACAAAAUCUUGACCGUUGAUAUGUCUUAAAUCUUAUAGUUAUAAAUUAGUGUAAAAAUAUGUGUAAUUUUAGGGAACUGCUGAUAUAUUCUCAGGAAAUUAAGAUAGUGGUUAGCUUCAAGUAAUUGGCAAUAAACAAAAAAAUAACAAGAAUAGUGAGAACAAUAAUAGAGGAGAUGUCCAGCCUAAUUGGGUCCAUAUAUAAUCGCGUAAAGAUGAAGUAAUUCUGUCAUUAUAUUGAAAAUCUCACUCCCUCAAUGUUUUCCACAUCAAAUCAGGAAGAUAUAGACACCAAAUAAUAAUGAAAGACUUUAUAUUGUAUUUCGAUAAUUAAGCCAUAAGAUUAAAGUGAUUGAUUCCCAACUACCUGUAAUGAGAAUAUACAUUCGCUCCAAAUAGCCCAGACAAGAUCACACAAUAUGUUACAUGUCAUUUACUCAAUAUCCUUUUUAGUGAUCUUCAAAAAAAAAAAAAUAUGCUUUUUAGUGCGGCCAUGAAAAUGCCACAUGACCUAAAAAGAAAAGGGUAAAAAGAUAACGUUGGAUCUAGAAAGAGAAAAGAAAUUGUUUUGCACGUAUGGCGGGGGGGGGUACUAGGCUUGACUUUUUCGAGAAAGAAAAAUCACAAUUUGUAUUGUUUUGCUACUUUUGUACGUCCCUCUAAGAUCUCCGAUUUUUAUGUAGCCAGAGGGCUAACUAGAUGUAGUUCUCACAAAAUCGAUUUGUCAACCUUAUCUUAAAAGCCCAUUCGACCCCUGCUGCCUCAAUUUCGUCGUUUUCUUGGAGCUAUUUGGGCAGGGCGGCCCGAAAUUUCUACGAGCCAACCUUGUUUGUCAUGGAUCAUCAAACUCUUGUUAUUGUGGGUGCGAAAAUCUUCACAUCCAAUCAAGUUAUCCCUAAAGGGUAAUAUCCCUUGGAUAAUUUUAUCCCUGGUCAUUGUGUUAUAUUAUAGCUAUCUGCACUUAUCAAGAGAUUGUUACGAUUUAAACAAGCUCAAAUUCAGCUAACAGCUUAUACAAUGAAAAUCCACUUGGACUUUGGCUUAGUGAUGAACUACUACUCUCAAAGUUAAGUAGGACUAUGAGGGUAGUGGUUCGAGUCUCCAUAUACUCAACCUCCCUCAAUUAAGUAAAAAAUUGUGUGAAAUUAAUUGUAAGUCUUUCUCUCUUACAAAAUCCGAGUGGAGUAGAGACAUCCCUCGUCUGUGAGGGUCAUAUGUUUGAGCAUGUACUUCAUAGAAUUAAUGUAAUAAUGUAUCAUAGAACUAAUGUAAUAAUGGAAGUCCAAGUUAUAUAUCUGAUUGUAAAUAUUAGUGUAAUACAUGUUCUAAUGGCAGUUGUAAAUAUUUGUGUAAUAUAUUAAUAUGAUGUGUAAUCAGUAUUAAAAAAAAAACUUAUACAAUGCAAGCUUGUAAGAGAAGAGUACUUGUCUAGCUACUAGGGUAGUGAUAUUGUGGCUGCAAAGCUAACAUUGAGUGCCUGAGCUUUAGCCUUUUUGCUACAACUUGUGUCAGCUUAUUGCUCGGCCCUACGGCAGGACAAAGCAAAGCUAGCGCAUGCAGGAGGUUAUUUUGCCCAACGCAAUAUAUUUACCGUGGGCUUUCAAGAUGAAGACACAACCUUCAGGCCCAUUAAUGCCCAUCGACUCUUUGGUGGCGAAUUGAGUCGAGUUCUUCUAUAUCAAUAUAAUACUGUAAAUUUCUAAAUCUUUUCUUAGCUUUAAGGCUACCGUUUCCUAAGGUCCUUGAUCGCUUUACCUUUUUUGGCCAACACAACGAUGCUCAAUUAUGCUCCUGAAAGAAAUUAUAUGAUUGCAGCGAAAGCACUAACACAAGCCGCAAAAUCAAAUUGAUGAGGCAUCUUCUUCUGUAAUACUCUUUCCUUCUCAAUUUCGCUUUGGUUUUACGAUUCCAGCAAAGUUUAACAAUAUUAUAUAAUGUAGUCCUUUUACUUUAUUUUCCAGGACAAAAGUGUACUUAAAGGUUCACCAAAAUGUAUGUAAAUUAUAAUUUCUGAUGAAAAAGAUUCACUUAAGUGAUAUUUAUUUAAUACCCGUGUUAGCGUUUGUCUUGGCUUUGCAAUCAUCAAGAAUAAAAGCAUGAAAGCAUCUUUUUUCCUUCGUUUUCAAACUUUUUAAUGGUAAGAAUAUGGCAAUUUAAGAACUUAAAAUAUAGGCAAAGCAGUUAAAUUAGGCCCCCACACAUGACCCAGAUGGUUUCUAAUUUGGUUAAAGAGAUUAGGUGAUCUCAAAAUUUGAUCUGGCCUCUAGCUGUAUUAAAAGGGACUUUCAGAAGACAAUUAGUAUUGAAAAAGAUAAAAAGAAAAAAAAAAUGAAAUUUUUUAUUUCAGCUCAAGAUAUGUCGUUUAUGGGAAACUGAUGAUAGGGGCCACUGUCCAGUGACAUUAUAUGUAUUUAUUGUUUAGUAUUAAUAUUUGUGAUCAACUUCGCCGGAUUGCUCAGGGUGACUUCUAAUUAUCUCUCCAUGAUCAUUGUUGCAGCUGAUUAGAGCUGGGUAAUAAGCAAAAUAAUACAUCAUAAUGCAAUAACACCAAGAUAAUGACCAAACUAAAAGAUAUAUUAAAAAAUGGCAGGGUUAAGGAAAAGACUGCAAAUUAGAUUCUUACACUUCAUCAACUACACGCCACUUGGUGUAUAACUUGGCACCACUAAUUAUUUCAGAUGGAGUUAAUCACAAGAAGAAAGUUCUAAAGCUUGCUUGUUAUAUUUAUGUUGAUGAAUAUAAUCAUGAAUCUUGAAAUGGAAAUCUUAUGAAUUAAUUGCUUCAUGGGUAAGAUCAAUUACAAAGAACUUCACUGGCUUCUCUUCAAACCAAUCACAGUACAUGGAUGUCAUUGGCGGUUUGGUUUUAGUUAGAUGAAUGCCACUACACCAGAGAUAGUGGAGCUUGUUAAAUGGAGUAAUGAAAUAUCUCCUCCACUCUUUCCAUUCUAGUCUACAGUCUAAUAAGUUUAUCAAAAUCUAUAAUAUAUAUAUAUAUAUAUAUAUAAAAGAAAAAUAGUUGUUUAGAGUCUAAGAAAAGUAAAGGGCAUGGUAAAGGUGAAUGAUAACAUAUACUAUUCAGCUCUUUCCAAGCUAAAUGUGAUUAUUUUGUAAUUAUAGGCUGUGUUAAUUUGAUCUCUCCUCAUAUGAGUUAAGUAAAAUACAAUACACACACACACACGCUAGGUAGUGUUUACUUUCUGGAGUGGGAGUGUGGAGUGUGGAUUUCUCCCACUCCAGUGUUUACUUACCUUAAAAAAGAGGGGAGUGGGAGUGGGAAUCCGUGGGUCCCACCCAAUUUUGGAGUGGGGAGUGGGAUUCCCACUCCCAUGGGGAGAGGUGGGAGUGGGAAUCCACUCCCCUCUCUUCCCAUUUUAUCCUUAUAAAAAUAAAAUAAAUAAAUAAUAUUUAAUAAAAUAAAUAAUAUCAUAUUUAUUAAAAAUAAUAAUUAUAUCAUAUUUAUUUUAUUAAAUUUAAUAAAAUAAAAAUAAAUAAAUAUUAUAUUUAAAUUAAUAAUAUUAAACAUUAAUUUUAAUAAAUAUUAAUUAUUUAUUUAAUUAAUAAUAAUAAAUAUUUUAUUCUAAAAAAUAUUAAUUUUGUACUAUAUUAUCAAUAAUAAUAUUUCAUUUGUGUUGCUAUUAUUAAUAAUUUUUAUUCACAUAAUUUAAAUUAAAAUUAAUAAUUUAGUCUAAGUAAACACCCUACUCUCACUCCCACUCCACACUCCUAAUCCAAGGAUUCCCACUCCUCAGGAUUCCCACUCCAAUCCAAAAAGUAAACGCAGCAAUAAAAUGCAAUAAGGUAUGCGCCACUACACACCUUAUUGUAUGCGACAGUGUGAGUCAAGAUCAAAACUAGAGAGUUGUGGGUCCCACAACACAGCUCUAUGUUUCAACUCUUGACACAUUCGUUAUCAAAUGCCACAUGCUGGCUACUCACUCACACACACAUAAAUGAGUCAUUAUCUAAUAAGAGACUCCUUAAAUUAUUAAAGUUACUCCAAGACAAAUAAAACGCAUACUCUAAUGCAGUGUAUUGUAUCAUAUAAUAUAUUAAAGAGUAUUUUAUUUUGUCUUUUAACUUAUUCCUUAUUUUAAUAACUUAAGGGGUCCCUCAUUAAAAAAUUGAUGUGUGUGUGAUUAGGAUAUAAAUAACAAUAUAAAAUUAUUAAAUUUAAUUAUAUAGCAUUAUAAACAUGCAUGUGCCACAAUACCUUGAGGGAGUGUUGGCAUACUUUAUUGUAUUACAUUAUAAUGUAUUGCAUUAGGUUAUAUUAAGUUAUAAUGCAAUAUAAUGUUUAGUGCAAUAUGGACUGUACUAUAUGUAAUAAUAUAUUAUAUCAUUAUUUAGUUUACUAUAAUUUUAAAUUAACAUUAUCUAGACUUAUUAGCACUAAAGUAUUUAUUAUUAGUUAUUGUAAAUUAUUUAAAAAUAAUUAAUUCUUAUAUAUUAAUUAAUGUAAUAUAAUCGCAUAAUGUAAUAUUUUAUAAUAUUAUUAGAUAAUAUAAUAUUAAAUUACAAAUUUAUUUUUAUCCAAAAACACAAAAAGAAGAAGUAGAAGUAAUGAGGCAUUUUGCCGUAUUAGCCAAACCCUAUAUAUACAAUGCACCACAAUACAGUAGCUGUCGUAGGCAAAUAUGAGACUGUACUACAUAAUGCUAUGCAUCUCAUGUUAUGAGAGGUGCUAAACGCACCCUUAAAGCAAAAACCGCAAGAGAAGAUUCUAACUCCAAACAAAUAUUUUUUUUUCCAUGUUACUGAUAUGAAUUGUAUAUUUAUCCAAUUAAAAUCUCAUAACUUUUAGAAUUUAACUCAAAAACAAGAAAUCACUCAUAAUUGGAUUAUAAAUCACUUUCCCUUCUGAUGUACUAUAACAAUUUGUUUAAAAAGUUCUUACAAAAUUUUAAUUGUUAUAGGUGAUUUAUGUAAUUCUAAGAGGAAAAUCUUCAAAAAGCAACAAAAAAAACUAUUAAGACAAAGUGCCACUAAAGUAUUGGCUAAUGGUAGAUUCAUGUCCUCUAUAAUUUGAGUGUUGAGCAUUCAAUAAAAUUUUCUCCAACAAAUGAUAAUAGUCUCAAUCAAGCAUUAGUCAAAAAUUUAUAUUAUUAAUUCAAGUCCUAUUAGGUAUUGAAAUUGAAUAUUGAAAUUGGACUCCUAUAAUUUCACAGUAUUCAAAUGUUUGAUAAAUACUAACUGCUGUAUUUUGAAAACUACGAUAAUUUAAUCUAUUAUUUAUAUAACUAAAAAUUAUAAUACAUUUACUUUUUUUGUAAAUUAUUAUUUACAAAUUAUAUUUACUAUAUAAUAUUAAUUUUUAUUUAAUAAUUAUAAUUUUUUCACAACAACUGUAACUUUUAAACUACAAUAUCUCUAUAUUCCAAACACGACCACCAUAACUAUUCUGGACCAACUUCGGAUAAUAUCCACAACAAUUACAAAAAAAAAAAGAAAACAAUAAUCAGCACGUGGUGGCCCAACUCUAUCUAUUGGACAAUUAGACUAAUUGGCUCUGCCUUCCCUUGCUUGCGUUCGCCACCUUCUACAUCUACAAAAUACCAAAAUGUCCUUUUGCAACGUGUCACUCCAAUGCUCCAACAGCCGACACUUCAUUUACCGGGGACCCACCGUAUACCGUUGCCGUUGAAUUUCAAAGACCCAUCACAUUAAAUUCUUCACUUGCAUUUGACGAUCAACGGUCGACAUUUCACAGUGCUGAUUUCUCCUUGGCGGACACUCUCCAGUCUCCUCUCCUCUACUUCGUCGUUUUGAAACUCCUUUUAAAGUGCUCAAACGAAAUUCAUCACUCUUCAGUUUUCACUUCUCCAGUUCUCCUCAUGGAUUGUCUCAAUCUCUUCUUGCUCUUUACUUUCACGUUCGCAUGCUCCAGUAUUAUUUCCACCCGUGCUGACCUCCCCGGCACGUGGGAACUCGUGCUCGCUGACGCGGGGAUUUCCUCCAUGCACACAGCAGUAACCCGCUUCAACACUGUCGUCCUUCUAGACCGUACCAACAUCGGGCCAUCCCGCAAAAUGCUAGGCAGAGGCCGCUGUCGUUUGGACAGAAACGACCGCGCUCUCAAACGCGACUGCUAUGCCCACUCAGCCAUCCUCGACUUACAAACCAAUCAAAUCCGUCCCUUAAUGAUCCUCACCGAUACCUGGUGCUCAUCGGGUCAGAUUUUAGCCGACGGAACGGUGUUACAAACCGGUGGUGACUUGGACGGAUAUAAGAAGAUCCGAAAGUUCAGCCCGUGCGAAGCAACCGGGUUGUGUGAUUGGGUUGAGCUUGAUGACGUGGAGUUAGUCAACGGCAGGUGGUACGGUACGGACCAGAUAUUACCGGACGGUUCGGUGAUUAUUCUUGGAGGUAAAGGAGCCAACACAGUCGAGUAUUAUCCUCCGAGAAACGGUGCCGUUUCAUUCCCGUUUCUCGCUGACGUCGAGGAUAAGCAGAUGGACAAUUUGUACCCGUACGUUCAUCUCCUUCCUAACGGCCACCUUUUCAUUUUCGCUAACGACAAGGCAGUGAUGUAUGACUACGAGACAAAUAAAAUAGCAAGAGAGUAUCCACCGUUGGAUGGUGGCCCGCGUAAUUAUCCAUCGGCUGGAUCAUCAGCAAUGUUAGCUCUCGAAGGGGACUUCUCGACGGCUGUGAUUGUCGUCUGCGGUGGGGCCCAGUUUGGAGCAUUUAUCCAGAGAAGCACCGACACCCCCGCGCAUGGUAGUUGCGGUAGAAUAAUUGCCACGUCAGCUGACCCGACUUGGGAAAUGGAGGACAUGCCAUUCGGGCGGAUCAUGGGUGACAUGGUUAUGCUCCCAACGGGCGACGUUUUGAUCAUAAACGGAGCUCAAGCUGGGACUCAAGGAUUUGAAAUGGCUUCGAAUCCAUGCUUGUUUCCAGUUCUUUAUCGACCGACUCAACCCGCUGGAUUACGGUUCAUGACUUUGAACCCGGGUACCAUACCCAGAAUGUAUCACUCCACUGCUAACCUGUUACCGGACGGGCGGGUAUUGAUAGCUGGAAGCAAUCCCCAUUAUUUUUAUAAAUUUAACGCAGAAUUUCCAACUGAACUACGGAUCGAAGCGUUUUCUCCCGAGUAUUUAUCAUCGGAUCGGGCAAACCUCCGACCCGUUAUCGAGGAAAUCCCCGAAACGGUACGUUAUGGUGAGGCUUUCGAUGUGUUUGUAACGGUACCAUUGCCCGUGGUGGGAAUUUUGGAGGUCAAUUUGGGAAACGCGCCAUUUGCUACGCAUUCGUUUCAACAAGGUCAAAGAUUGGUCAAACUAACCGUGACGCCUUCGGUACCCGACGCAAAUGGGAGGUACCGGGUCGGCUGUACAGCGCCUCCAAACGGUGCCGUUGCUCCACCUGGUUAUUACAUGGCUUUUGUAGUUAAUCAAGGCGUGCCGAGUGUGGCACGGUGGGUGCAUUUAAUUGCUUGAUUAAUUUAAUUUUGUAUGUAAGGACUAAGAUUUCCAUUUUUUUAUUUAAGACCCUGUGAUGACCAAAUAUAUAAAAGUUUCUGAGUUAAUUGUUGAUAAGACAAAAAUUAUUGGGAAUAAAGGGAAAACUUUACCAUGAGAAGAUGUUCAAAUAUUUAUUUUAACUUUAGAAUGAAGUGCUCAUUUUGCCCAAAAUUAGUGUAAUAUAUAUCAGAAUUGCAAAAUCAUUUCAACAGAAGAAAUAAUAUUUAGUGGCAUAUGCUGAAUAAAGAGAAGAAGGAGAAGAUUGAAUGGAUGCAUACAAGUCAAGUGGGCAUAAGAUAUAAUUUGCCACUCUAGCUAUGGAUUCCUUUGGGGCCCCCCAUUGUCACUUUUAGAUGAGCAUGAUCCGAACUAAAAUUGAUUGAAAGUAAUGGCGCACAUAAGCUUCCAUUAACAAUAGCAGGAAUGUUGCUUUCAUACGUACAUCCGCCUUGGCCGUACAGCAGAGAGAUAUGAUGUUAAAUAUAUGAAAAGCCGUCUUCAAGUUUUUUUAUAUUAGAUCAAAUUAAAACAUCAAUUUUUAUAAAGUUUGCACACAUCAGCAUCACACGGCCUUUAGUUUGGCAAAAUCAGGACAUUUUCUUGUGAGCCAAACCCACUUAAAUAUAUAAAAAUGUUAGCAGAGUAAAACAAUUAAUUAGUAGACUACAGCAAAUGGAAAUUUAGUUAAUUUUUGGGUUUAGGCUUGCAGAACUUUGAUGUCAUGUGUGUGAAAUUUCUCGUUGCAAUCAAGAUAGAGUUACAGGAACUAUAAAUUACAAAUUGAAAGAGUGGUCUCCAAGUUACAAGUAGGGAUGAUAAUUGGCAGUUUGCCAUUAUCAAACUCAAAUCCGUACAAAAUUUAAAUUAUUAAACAGACCCGCAACCCGCAGCGGGUUUUAAUUUCUUUAAGAAAACAUAUUCGUUGCGGAUUUUGACAAUUACCAAACUUGCAAUAGUAUCCGAUGAGUUUUUUGCGGGUUUGUACACUUAAAAUUACAAAUAUUCAAUAUAUAAAUUUACAAUAAUAAUCUCAAAUUCCACAUAAUAUACUCAAUUUUAAAUUUAACCAAUGUAAAUGGAAAAUUAAAAUUUCAACAUCAAUCCAAAACAAACUCUCAAAUUUAAGUAUAAAAUACACAAAUCCAUUAAAAAAAACUACAAACUAGUAUCUAAAAAUAACAAUUACAUUUCAUAUUAUUGCUCUUAUUUUAACUUUAGAAUGAAGUGCUCAUUUUGCCCAAAAUUAGUGUAAUAUAUAUCAGAAUUGCAAAAUCAUUUCAACAGAAGAAAUAAUAUUUAGUGGCAUAUGCUGAAUAAAGAGAAGAAGGAGAAGAUUGAAUGGAUGCAUACAAGUCAAGUGGGCAUAAGAUAUAAUUUGCCACUCUAGCUAUGGAUUCCUUUGGGGCCCCCCAUUGUCACUUUUAGAUGAGCAUGAUCCGAACUAAAAUUGAUUGAAAGUAAUGGCGCACAUAAGCUUCCAUUAACAAUAGCAGGAAUGUUGCUUUCAUAUAUAUAUAAUUCUUCUAUAUAUAUAUAUAUAUAUAUAUAGAUAGAGAGAGAGAGAUAUGAUGUUAAAUAUAUGAAAAGCCGUCUUCAAGUUUUUUUAUAUUAGAUCAAAUUAAAACAUCAAUUUUUAUAAAGUUUGCACACAUCAGCAUCACACGGCCUUUAGUUUGGCAAAAUCAGGACAUUUUCUUGUGAGCCAAACCCACUUAAAUAUAUAAAAAUGUUAGCAGAGUAAAACAAUUAAUUAGUAGACUACAGCAAAUGGAAAUUUAGUUAAUUUUUGGGUUUAGGCUUGCAGAACUUUGAUGUCAUGUGUGUGAAAUUUCUCGUUGCAAUCAAGAUAGAGUUACAGGAACUAUAAAUUACAAAUUGAAAGAGUGGUCUCCAAGUUACAAGUAGGGAUGAUAAUUGGCAGUUUGCCAUUAUCAAACUCAAAUCCGUACAAAAUUUAAAUUAUUAAACAGACCCGCAACCCGCAGCGGGUUUUAAUUUCUUUAAGAAAACAUAUUCGUUGCGGAUUUUGACAAUUACCAAACUUGCAAUAGUAUCCGAUGAGUUUUUUGCGGGUUUGUACACUUAAAAUUACAAAUAUUCAAUAUAUAAAUUUACAAUAAUAAUCUCAAAUUCCACAUAAUAUACUCAAUUUUAAAUUUAACCAAUGUAAAUGGAAAAUUAAAAUUUCAACAUCAAUCCAAAACAAACUCUCAAAUUUAAGUAUAAAAUACACAAAUCCAUUAAAAAAAACUACAAACUAGUAUCUAAAAAUAACAAUUACAUUUCAUAUUAUUGCUCAACACAAGCUCCAAGAGAAGAUCUUCAUUUCAUUCACUAUUAUUAGCACCCAUCCAACCCGAUGCCCACAAUAAUGAUUAAGAUUAACAUUUUUCAAAGAAAUAAUACUUUUCAAAUAUUAAUCUAAAGAAAAAAUUAUAAUAAUGAAAUAAUUCAUGCAUUAAGUUAAAGAAAAAUAGUCCAUACAAAAACACUUUGAUUAUUUGGCACUUUGCAUAAUUGCAUUAUUUUCCUUAUAUAUUUUUUAGAUUUAAAAUUUUUCAAGUAAAAUUAAAUUUAAAAUAUUAAAAAAAAUUACUGGUCUAGCGGAUAUCCAUACAGGUAUCCACCGAAUAUUGAACUAAUGUUAAACCCACCCGUAUCUAAGUGCGUGUUUCAAUUUGUAAUAUCAAACCCGCCCGCAACCCAUAAAAUUAUCUACACUUGAUGGAUUUUUACGGACAAGUUUGGACGGGUUUACAGGCACAAUUGCUAUCCCUAGUUACAAGGGAUGGAUCAAGCUGCCAUUCAUAUUUUUGAACGAAGAUAGGUUACAUUGAUGGUUUGUGACCGGACCAAGUUUGUUGACUUGCAGAUUUGUAUUGAGGAGAUCAUGUGCUUGGCCUUGAGCGCAAUUACUUAACAAACUCUAUGGACAUUUUAGAAGGCUUUACAUCGACCAAAAACCAAAAAUAACAAGCCCAGCACGGGACAGUGGGCUUAGCCUAUUCACAAUAAAUACUAAUGUUAAGACAUAUUACAUGCAAUAUUUGAAAUUUUAAAAUAUGAAAAAGUCUAAAAAAAUACAUAAAUCAUACGAUUUAUGGUUUUAAGUUUUAACCCUCUUAAACCCUACAAUUUUAAUGUUUUCCUGUACUUUCCCACACUUUAAAAUCUUGAACUAGAAAACUAUUAUAUAUAACAAAGAUCAAGUCAUCUGCAGCAUGCGUGAAAAUUAAAAUUUGAAAUGCUAGAUGUAAUAUCACUAAAAAAUAAUGAUUCAUCAUGUCUAAAGUGAAAUUUUAAAAUAGUUAUUUUUUAUUAAAAUAAUAGAACAACACUAUUAAUAUUUUUUUUUUAAUUUUUUGCAAAGUACAAAAUUUUCUUUAUUUUUUUUUUAAGUGUAAUUCGGGACAAACUGGCUAUUUUUUAUUUUAUUUUGGUUUAGAUAAUGGUCUUUGAAUUUUCAAUUUUUAUAAAUAGCUUUUCUAUCCCCUUAUAUUAAUAUUAUGAAAAUAAUAAUAAUUCGAAUAAAAUUUAUACAAUUUUUACAUUAUUGGACUAAAAUUUAGGAUCAACUUAAUGAGAGUCCAAGUGGUGAUUUUUACUCAAAUAUAUAAAUAACUUAUUUUUACUUUGGAGAAAACAAACAUGCAAAAAUAUAUGAAUAAUUGAAAUAGCUAAUUAUUUUAUUUAAUUGUUAAAAUAGAAGCGAUCUCUAUAAUUUCAUUAAAAUCGUGCAGAUUUCAACGUUGUAGAUGACAUGUCGUUGUCCAACAAAAAAAAGUGUAUGUCAUGCCGUCUACUGUUAGUUGUAAGAAUGACUUGUCUUUUUGUUCCAGAAUCCAAAUAUGACUAGUAAGGAGCAUGCGCCAACACAUACUGUUACGCUUGGUUGUUUAUGAAAUUGGAGCGGAUGUCAUCUCAUUUCUUAACACAUGACAAACUCGACUUGGCAUCCGGGUAAGAAAAUGACAAAUGCCCAAUCAUCUUAAGCAUGCUUGCAACUUAAAACUUAAAUAUUGGACGUAAUGUCCUUGAAAAUAAACGACUUGUUAUAUCUAAAGUGAAAUUUUAAAAUAGUUAUUAUUUUAUAAGAAAAUUAAUGUUGAAGGUGUUUUUUUCUCAAAUUUUUGCAAAGUGUUAAUUUUUUUAAUUUUUUUUAAGUGCAAUUGGGGAUAAAUUGGCUACCUUUGAUUUUAUUUUGGGUUUACACUCUCCAUCCACAUAUAUUUAAACUAUAAAACAUAAAUAUUUCAAAUAAAAUAUAUUACAUAUAACAUGUAUAAUUUUUACAUUAUUCGACCAAAUUUAGAAUGAGCUUAAUGAGAGGUUGAGAAAUGAUUUUCCUAUAUAAGGCCCAAAGUGUGUGUGUGUAAAUGAGAAAGAGUAAGGAGUUUAUAUACACAUUCAACAUGGUAUAUAUUCCCUUUAGUUUCAAGUUAAAGUUUUCCCUUUAAUUUUUACUUAAAUAUACAAAUAACUUAAUUAUCAAUCUUGGAGAAAACAAACAAACAAAAAACGAUUAAGAUCAUGCAGAAUUUAAUGAUGUAGAUGAUAUAUCGUUGACCAAUAAAACAACAGUAUGUUAUGUCGUUUGUCUGCUAUUUAAAACACGCACAUGUUUUUCUCCAGAGCCCAAACAAUAGAAGGCAACUAUUAUACGCCAGCGCAUACUGUUUAGGGUUUGUCAUUUAUAAAAUUUAAGUGGAUGCUAUGUCGUUUGUUUGUGAAUUAAUGAUCUGACGUGUUGUCCGAACAAGCAAAUGACAAACGACUAGUCAUCUUUAGCAUGCUUGCAAAUUAAAAAUUAAAAUAUUGGAUGUAAUGUCGUUAAAUAAUAGAUGACUUAUCAUGUCUAUAGUGAAUUUUUAAAAUAUUCAUUUUUUAUUUAAAAAAUAGAAAAUAAUGUUGAAGGUACUUUUUUUUUCAAUUAUUUUUUUGCAAAGUGUACUUUUUUUUAAAGUGCACUUCAGAACAAAUUUGCUACUUUUGAUUUUAUUUUAGUUUAGCAAAUUGUCUUUCCAUUUUUAAUUUUAUAAAUGGUCUUUCCAUCGACAUAUAUUAAUAUCAUGCAAAAAAUAAAUAUUUCAAAUAAAAUGUUUACCUAUAACACGAACAAUUUUUAAAUUAUUAGACCAGAUUUAUAAUGAGCCUACUGAGAAAUCAAUAGAUGAUUUUCUUAUAGAAGGCCCAAAUUUUGUGUGUGUGUGUGUCUNNNNNNNNNNNNNNNNNNNNNNNNNNNNNNNNNNNNNNNNNNNNNNNNNNNNNNNACAGCAGAUAUAUAUAUAUAUGAAAAAGAGUACAUAUAUGUAUAUAUUAGGGAUGGAAAAAAUCGGGUCUAGGUCCGGGUUCAACCUUUCCAGUUUCGAACCUGUAUACCAAUUUGUCUUAUGGGGUAUGGAUUAAAACCCAGAUUUUUUAAUUGCAGGUUUGGAGCGGGUUCAACCCGGAAAAAGUCCGGGUUCCCAAAUUCCAGAUUUUAAACUUGGGUUGUUGGGUGAAGGGAGGAAGAUGAAUUCUCCAAGCAUGACACUUUUGGCUCUUUAGAAUUUGCAGAAAUAGUAAAAGGUAGAACAAAUGUAUGAGAUCUUAACUAAAUUUACUUACAUCAAUAAUAAAGUUUACAAUUAUAUCGAUAUUAUGUGUUUAAAUUUUGUAUUUGUCUAUUCACAACAACAACAAAAACUUUAAUAAUUACCAAAGUACCGACGAAAAAAGGUUAGCGGUUUCUUUGAGAUGUCGGCUGAGGCACUGGCGAGUCUAGGAGACAGCAGCUACGAGAGCGACAAGCAGUGUCCGAGAUCCAACAUCCACGAAGAAGAUAGGUACCUUCCGAUCCCUUGGUUGAUGACGAUGAAUGAUGAACAGUGGCAGAGCUUGGUUGUUACUCUUGAUGAUUUAAAUUGAUGUUGAGGAUGAUAUAAAUUGUUGCUGCUCUUGAUGAUGAAUUGACGAUGAUGGAUGGAUGAUGAAUUCAUGUUGAGGAUAAGGAAGAUUGGGGUGGCGGCUGGUGUAGGGCCUUAGGGUUUGUUCUGUGUUUUUAUUUUUGUUUUUUUGUAACUUUUUGCUUUAUAUUUAUAUUUAAUAAUGAAAAUUAAUUAAUUAUAAACUACUGCAGUCUUGGUUCGGGUUUCGGAUAUCCAGAUUUAGCUGAACCUGAAACCGGACCUAGAUACAUCGAGGUUUUAAAAAAUGCAUCCGAAUUUUGCAUUUUUUUUUAUACAUUUGGGUUUAUCCAAGUCUAGGCCGGGUCCGAAAAAAUUUGCCAUCUCUAGUAUAUAUUCAUUCAACAUAAUAUAUAUUCAUACUUAAGCAUGAUUUUCAAGUUAAAGUUUUUCCCUUAGUUUUUACUCAAAUAGACAAGUAACCUAGUUUCAGUAUUGGAGAAAACAAACACGCAAAAUAUAUGAAUUAUUGAAAUAUUUAAUUAUUUUAUUUAAUUGUUAAAAUAGAAACGAUCACUUUAAUUUAGAAUGAGCCUAAUGAGAGUCUAAGAGAUGAUUUUACUAUAUAAUGCCCAAGGAGCAUAUAUGAGUGUGUGCACUUCUCUCUCUCUCUCUCUCUCUCUCUCUCUCUCUAUAUAUAUAUAUAUAUAUAUAUAUAUACACACACACACGCGUGCACGUGUGUUUUGUGUAGGAGCGUGUGUGUAAUGCCCAAUACAAAUUGGAACUUAAACCCAAAAAAAAAACCCACUGUUUGGAUUUGUUCUCAUUCGUGUUACAAUUCAAGUUAACUUUUGGACUUUAGUGUAUAUUUACUUACUGGAGUAAGAGUGGAGAGUAUAGAGUGCUCUCGCUGCAGUGUUUCCAUGUUUACUUAAGGGUGAAAAUGAGAAUCCUACUUUGUGAGUCCCACCCACUUUUAGAGUGAGGAGUGGGAUUCCUACUUCCAUUGGGGAGGUGACAGUGAGAAUUCACUUCCGCCUAUUCUUUUUUUACCCUUCCCUUUAAACAUGACUAUUCUUUUUUUACAAUUCCCUAAUUAAAUACAAUAUAAUUAUAUUUAUUAAAAUAAAAUAAUGUUAUAUUUAUUUAAAACCAGAAUAUUAAUAAUUAAUAAUAAUAAAUAGUUAAUUCUAAGAAAGUAUUAAUUUUAUGCUAUAUUGUUUAUAAUAAUAUCUCAUUCAUGUUGCUCUUAUCAGUAAUUUUUAAUUUACAUAAUUAAAAUUAAAAUUAAUAAAAAAAUUAUGAUUUACAUAAUUAAGAAUAUUAAUAAUAAUUAUUAACUUUUAUGACUAAAAUUAGUAAUAAAAUAAAUGGUUUAUUUUAAAUAUAUAUUUUUUGUUCACUUUUUAAUUAAGAACUACAAUUCUUUAUAUAAGAGUAAACAUGUAAUUUGAAACAAUUUAUUUCUAAUUCAAGAUAAAGUAAAUACAUAAUAAGAUUCUGACUCCUAUUCCACACUCACAUUCUAAUGUAAGUAGAUAGCAUAUUCCUUCUUCCACUUAACAUUCUCAAUCCUAUUAUUCACACUGCUUAUGAUUCCCAAUCCAAUUUGAAAAAUAAACACUAUCUUAUUUCCAUUUUCAAUUGACUCAAUUAGAUUUAAAUAUGCCAACCUUGUUUUAUUUAUAUCAAUGAGUAGAACUUCCUAAGUUAAAUGUGUGAUAUUGUGAUUCAAAUUUCAACUUAAAAAACGUAUUAGAUCUACUUUCAAAUAUUUAAAAAGAAAAUAUCAAUAUUCACAAAUACAAAUAAAAGACUCAAACUCCUUUUUAUAUGCUUGAAAACACGGUGAUUUACCUUUCAGUUAUUAAAUAAUUGCUAAUAGUUACUACCAAUUAAUGGGGCAUUUUCGGCCACAUCCAAGUUAAUAUCCAGAAUUAUAAUCAUACAAUAUUUAAGUAUUGAUUUGCAAUAGAGAGCAAAUUAAUACUCAUAGGUGGAUGUGAUUAAAACCCUUCGAAGAUAUAUAUUUUUUCACAAUGAAACUUCUAUGAAAUUUGAGACUUAUAAAUCUAUUUAAAUUUGGACAAAAAUGAAAUGGAUGCCGCGAAUAUUAGUCUAUAUUAACAUAUAAAAUUAAGCAUACAUCAAAGAGAUUAUCAUGCGCUACAACUUGAUUCACACGUGCUUGAAUGCUAAAUAAGUUAAAAAUAUGAACUAUUUUUAGCAGCCAUGCUUAUUGGUUAUGCAUAAGAGUACAUGAACAGAUAUAUAUAUAUAUAUAUAUAUAUAUAUAUUAAACAUGUGACCGUGACCGAUCACCUUGGUAGCAAUCAGCCACAGCCACACUCCUUUGCACAUUCUUGUAAGAAUACCGUCGAGCCACAACCACAUAGACGAACAAAUUGGCCGCAACCAGGGCUGCUAGUAGCCAAUAGAAUUUGUCUAAGCGGCUGCUGUUCAUAUCUUUCCCAAACCAACUGCGCCCACUCUUGUCGGUAACAUGAUCAACAACUGUUAUCAGAAAGCUGCUAAGGAAAUUCGCUGCUCCAAUGACACUGAGGUAGAAAGCUAUGCCUAGGCUUCUCAUGGAAUCAGGCACUUGGUCGUAAAAAUACUCUUGCAAGCCCACAAGAGCAAACCCAUCGGCAACUCCGCUGAUGAUGGAUUGCGGAGCCAACCAAAAGACACUCAUUGACAGUGAACCCUUUGUCGGGUUUUCCUCGACGACUCCGAGUCUCUUUUCCUCGACCAAGGCCGCGACGACCAUCGUAGCAAUUGAGAAAAGCAUUCCAAUGCCGAUUCUCUGGAGGAUUUGGAUUCCUCUUUCAUUUCCGGUUGCUCUUCUUAAUACUGGUACUAGGAUUUUUUCGUAAAACGUGACGGAAAUGAUCAUUCCGACGGCAGUCAGCCCGAAAACGGAGGCCGGGGGGAUUAGGAAUCCGUUGCCAAUUUCUCUAUUCAUAGUGGUGGCCUGUUUGAUGAAAAAUGUUGUGGAUUGUGCUACACUAAUUCCAAAUGGUAAGCUAGCUAGCCAAACGGGAAUCACGUUGAGCACGAGCUUCAUUUCCUCGACUUUGGUCACGUUUGCAAUUCGCCAGGGACUUUGUUGAUCGACAGGAGUUUCGUAGUCUUCAAGAAUGGCAGCUUUAUCAAGAAAUCUGCAAGUUUAAUUUGGUACUUGAUCUGAUUAGGAUGAGAAAAUUCACAAACUGCAAUUCAAGCUGAGUAGAGAAUUAUUGAUCCAUCAAAACAUGCUUACUCGAGGUUCUUGGUGUGACACAAGAGCCUCCCCUUGGCUACUACCUUUGGAUACUCAAACAAUUGAUCAGGAUCUGAAGGAUGAGGCAGGUUUCUUUUGGCAAUAGCGGCGACUAGCACUUGAAGCAUUGGCGUUAAGGGGCUUCCUUUAGGCACCCUGUAACGAUAAAAUGGCCUUCCAAUGAUGAAUAUGAGUAGCGAGACAGCCAUAACUAUUGUGAUGAUAACAUCUGCUGCACCCCAGCUUACAUGUUCUUGCACGUAAACGACUACAGUCACACCAAGUAAAAGUCCAGAGCAAAGGCCAGAAUUCCACCAGUUAAAGAAGGACAUUUUCUUCUUCCUUUCUUCGGCAUGAUCAUCGUCAAAUUGGUCUGCUCCGAAGCUCUCUAAAGAGGGUUUGUGGCCCCCAGUUCCGAUGGAGAUUAAGUAUAUGGCAAGAAAGAAGACCACUUCAUGAACUUUCCUGGGCUCGAGGCACAUAUCGGCAUGGCAAGCCCUUAAGCUUGGCACGAACCAGGACAUUGUUAAGAGACCUAACCCCUGUUUUUAAACAUCAGAGAAAUAUGGUUAAGAGUAACAUAACCAAUGGUUUAAUAAAACAUAACCAAUGGUUUAAUAAAAAAUUGUCUCAACGAAGUUUACGAAAUUAAUUAAGGUGAAGUCUGGUUUGUUUCACUGGAGCCUAUUGUGUCAUGGUCAUAAUUUUUUUUUCUUUUUUGAGUUAUGGGUGAAAAUGUAAAUAUGUAACAGGGGUUUGAGUAGAUUUUUAAAGAGGUGCCAAUAGUUCAACUCUCAAUUAAAACCAAUGAGCAGGGAAUCACCAAGAGGUAGACGAUGGAUGAGACAAGAACAGUCCAGAAUCUGCCCAAGUAAGCAUCGGCUAUGAAUCCCCCAAGUAAUGGCAUAAGUGUAGUCACACCGGACCAGCAAUUGACACUCUUUGCUGCUGUCUUCAAGUCUUGAUGAAUCACUUUAGUAAGGUAAAGGAUAAGGCUUGUUGCUAUUCCAAAGUAACUCAGCCUCUCACCGAACUCGAUUGCUGCUCAAAUCCAAAACUCAAUACAGUUAAAAAAAUGACAAUUGUAAAUAUAUACUACAACAUUAAUUUUAAAAGAAAUUACAUUAAAAAAAAUACUAAAGCACUACAAAUUUUUGUCUCCCAAGUUUUGUGGCUUCAAAAGAACAAAAUAAUUUUCUACUUUUUGCUGACAUUUUGGACCUUUGGGGGCUGUUGGGCACGUAUCUGUAUAGCCAUUGGAGGAUCAUUAUUUACGUUAGACAGUUGUAGGCCCUUAAACGUCAACAGAGAAAUACUUGUGAAGGGGAAGUAACUGACGGUGGAGAAAAUCUUCCCUUUAACUUUUCUUUUUAUGACUACGGACGACAAAGUCGAUGAAGGAAUAUAAUCAUUAAUUUGAACAAAUAGAGACUAAGGUUACAAAUUGGACUAGGCUAAAGAUUUAGCUCCCCAUUUCGAGUAUAUAUGCCUUGAUUCGAAUUCUCAAGAAAAGAAAUAUUUUAUGUACCAUUUAUUUAUCGAAAUGCAACUAUAUAGUAAACCCAACUCAUAAAAGAUUGAUCCACUACAUAGAGUUAAUUCAAUCCACAUGCAGCCUGUUGACUCUUAAUGGGAUUUUUUACUUUCUGUAGAAUGGGACAUAAAGGUAGAUAGGGUAGGGCUAUUUAAAUGGAGCAGAAAUCACAAACUAAGUGAUGAAAUGACACCUCCGGCCCCCAUUUUUCCCACUCAGUUGAUAUUAUUUACUAACGUAUGGCUAAUAAUGUUUUACACUUGAUACCAUUCUCAUUCUCAUGACCCACAAAUGUUUAGUGAUCGUACGGUAAUAAGAAUAUUGAUACACAGACACGAUACUUUAUUCCCUAAAGAACACCCAAAAAAAAAGAACUUAAUCAAUCAAUGUUUAUUUUAUAAUCUCAUGACAAUUCAAUGAUAUACCCCUAUAACAAAUCUUAAUUAGUGGCUAACAGAAAAUUAAUAGAUUCUCUUCUCAGAUUACUUUAUUUAGGAUUAAUUUUUGUUUAUGACACAUGCAAGGAUUAGAAUAUGAAACUGUGAAAGUAAAAUCUGGGAAUAGGGUUUCCAAGCCCUCCUUACACCUCUGGUGUUUACAGGCUUUUGUUAAUAGUUUGAGAUUGGAGCAAGAAAGAUAAAAAGAAAAUGAACCACGCACCAAUAUCCAAAGAUAUAGUUAUUAUCUGGUGCAGACAUUCACACUUUAUAAGUUGUAAACUGGCACCUUUACAGUAUAAUGAAGGGUUUUUUUACAUGCUUUUAAUUUAUAAUGUUGUAAAGACUUUUAUACUGCUAUAUAGUGGUGUGAGUUUAAACUUUAUAAAAAUACAGACAUCUUGAAGGACUCCCAAGAUAAUAGGAAUGGCACAUUUAUGAUUUUUUUUUUGAGGCAUGAUGUUACUUGAGAAUAUGAGGAUCACUAGUUUAAAAAUUCAAAUAAUUAAAUUGUGUGUGUGUGUGUGUUUGUGUCUAUAUAUAUAUAUAUAUAUAUAAUCUUGUCUUGAAGAGAAUUAAGAAAAGGAAGGAAAAAAGAAGGUAAAAAAAGAAAAAGAAAAAGAAAAAGGAUUAAUUCUAUACGUGAGAGAUAGCUAUCCAUGCGCAGAGGAGCUAGCAUUCAGAAAAACUAAGAGAAGCAGCAGAAUUGAUGGCAUCGAAAACCUUGUGAAAGCCUAAAGCACUUUUUAUAUUAUUAACUGAAAAUCUAACAGGACAAUUUCUAAUUCACUUUCUUGGCAAUCAAACCAACUAAAUGAAGCAUAAAGAAUAAAUAAAGUAGAUAUUGUUGAUGAUAGUAAUAGCUAGUGCUUAUUCCAUACCGAUAAUAAAGAGGGAAGCUUUCCAAACUCCAGUUGAAGAACGAAAAGGAACCCUCCCUUUAUGAUCCACAGAGGAAUCAAAAACCCAUUUCUCUUGAUCAUCAACAAGAUCUCCAUUUUUUCCUGCUGCUGCUGCCACCUUUUUUGGCUCCAUCUUCAAUUUGCUAGCUAACUCAGAAACAAAUACUUACUAUAAAUUAUUAACUUCUUAAGCAAAGAGAAAAUAAUAAGAAGAAGAAGGAAUUGUUGGUUGUUGUGGUGAUGGCACUCCUUCGCUUUGUACCUGCUUAUAUAGGCAGAGAAGUAAGUGGAGUUGCUUUUGACUCACUGUCGUACUCAGUUUGGAUUGUUCUAUUUUCUAAAUUUUAAAGAACUAGUGAAACAUCUUCUAUUAAAAAAAGAAGUAAUGAAACAAAAAAAUAGAUUACUAGGUAAAUGGUAUAUAUGAUGUCAAUGAAAAUUUUUUCCUGGAAUAAUAAUUGUUAUGAGAGAAUAUUUUCAACAAGUCCACUAGUUUACGAAAGUGUAACAGGCUAACAGCUGUGUUGUUAUCAUCAAUUAGAUUUGAAGCAAAUGUCUAGCAUCAAUAGAGAGGAGCAGCAAUCCUACGAUUCAGGUUAUGGGUUUGAACUUCAAUGAGUGAGUGUGCUAUUAAUAAAAAAAAAAUUAAAAAAAAAAAUCAUCAAUUGGAUUGAGAUGUUUGAUUAAAGAUACUAUUAAAUGGAUUGAGAUAUUUGAUCUGUAAUCAGUUUUUAUUCCAUGUCUAAAUUUAUGUUUUCUCAGACCUCUAAAUUCUUAAUUUUCCUUUAUAUUCUUAUAGUUAUUAUGUUUUCCCACCAGUGUAAUUAGGUGGAACCAGGAUUAAUUUUGAUUUGGGGGUUGACGAAAUGCAUAAAAAAGUAUUGCAACAACAAUAAAAGAAUGCUAUUCAAACCUUAAAUUAAUGAAAAUAAAAUAUAAUUUUCUAUUAUACUAUUUAACUCAAUUAUAGAUGAAAAGUGAACUUUACAUCUUUUUAUUCUAUAUGUUCUUGAACCUUAAGGUACAGCUGGUGGCUGUCGCCCUUGUGGGAGAGAAUAAAAGAAUUAGGAAGAAAGUAGAAUGGUUCUUUUAGUUGUGUUAUGUGAAAUAAACUUAAAAAAAUAAAUCGAAUAUGAAGACGCCAAUUUCUAGUCUUGGGAACUUGAGGUACAGUUAUGCCACUUUGAUGGGAGAGGCAAAAAUUAAAUAAUUUAGAGUUUAUAUAAAUAAAAGAAAAAUAAUAAGUAGAAGGGAUAUUUAUGUGUUUUCAAAGUUUAGGAGUUUCCAGCUAUUAACAUUUUUCUCAAAUUUUACUUUUUACUUAAUAUUUUCAAAUUUUCCAUAGUAUUAAAAGAAAUUUUCUAAAAUUUUGGAGGUUGUCUAGGCAUGAAACUAGUUACACCACUUAUCAUAUUGUAACACAAUACAAAGUGUAAGAUAAUUAAGGUCUUGUAUGCAUGAUAAAUUACAAGACAAAAAUGUGUAUGCAUUAAAGUGUGUAAGAUAGAGACUUAUAUAUAAAUGAUCGAAAGUAAGACGUAGACUUGUAUGCAUGACAGAGUGUUAGACAAAGACUUACAUACACUCUAUUAGACGAGUUAAGAGAUUGAAAUUAAAAUUUUAAUAAUUAUGAUAUAAAGUUACUUUUAAUUAUCUUUUUACACGAUUGUGGUCCAAAUAAAUGAAGUUGGUCAAGGAGGUUAAGACUCAUGACUUAUGAAAAGAGCUGGAAGAGUCUUCCUUUGCCAAAUACUACACUACAUAAAUAUUUUUUAACUUGAGCGCUUUUUAAUUUUUAAAAAUGUCGUGUUACCGACAUAUUUAUAUAUAGUGUAAAAAUAAGCAGUUGAAAUUAAUUUCAAUCAAUUUUAUAUUUUUAUCUAACAUUACUAGUCACAAAUUUAGAUUCUCUUAUAUAUUCAGGAAAAACUCAUGGGAUGAUUGCUGUCCAUUUUUAAGAUGAAAAACGGCAUCCGUCCUAAAAUUGGAUCGACUUUUAUUUUUAAUGGGGACCAAAAACAACGUAAAUAUAUAUAUAUAUAUAUAUCUGCUGUACCGUNNNNNNNNNNNNNNNNNNNNNNNNNNNNNNNNNNNNNNNNNNNGACUGCUGUACCGUACAUCCGCCUUGGCCGUACAGCAGAUUGCCCCGGGCACUCACCAAAAAGGCUCUCAGUGCUUUUUAACAUUAGAAAUUUUGUUCAGAGAUUUUAAAAAAAGUUUUUAGAUAAAUGCUCGUUUAAUAUUUGUAUAUUGAUUUAAGUAUUUAUUUAGUUCUUAUAUUUUAAAAAAUACCUUAAAAAUUUUAUAUAGUUAAAAAAAAUUACAUUUUAUCAUUUCUUUUGCUUUCUUUUUACAAUAAUAUUCUUCCAACAAUAUUCUUGACAUAAUUAAUUUAUCUAUAAAAAAUUUGAUUAAGAAAUUGACCAAUAAAUUUCAUUAUAAGAGAAUUAUUAUUUUUUUGUACUUGUGCAAUAAUAUUAGUAAUAGUUAUUUAUAAAUAAAUUAAUAUUAGUCAACUUAAAUCAAUGGUUAAUAUCCUUCCAACAAUCUUACUAAUAAUUAUUAUAUAAAAAAAUUAAUUUACCAAAUUAAUAAUAUUAAAAUUUGUAAAAUUUUAUGUUCCCUUUAAAGUUAAUUUGAUAAAUUAUCCUUUUUUAAUUUAAUAUCCCUAAUAAUAUUGUUGCAAGGUUAUUAUUGUGUUAAAAAAAAGAAAAAAGAAAAAGUAAGGCUAGGAUUUUAACAUGUUUAACAGUAAGGGCGGCUUGGGUUGAGCUAUGUUGCAACGGUUGUCACGUACCCUAAUUUUUGUCUUUUAUGAUUUAACUAAUGUUAAAUUUCAUCGAGCUCCUUAUACUCCUUUUUACUCAUAAAAUACUAAGAAAUAAUAUGGUAUUUUCUACUUAAAUACACUAUUAAAAUUCUAUUUAGCACAUUAUUCUCUUUUUAUUUAUUAUUUUUAUAAGUAUUAAAGUACUUAUUUGGAUUAAAUCCAAGACAUCUUAAUCCACGUAAAACACUAAGAUCAACAAAAAGACAACAAUACCCUUAAAUUUAUAAAUUAAAAAUAAAAUUUAAGAUCUUUUUCCUCUUUCCUCUCACCUUCAUCUCCAUCAUCAUUACUUCUCACAUUCAUCUUCUUCCAUUGUCAUGAUCUUCACCUUCAUCUUCACAUAUUUUAAACUUACGGAAUAUUAAUAGAAAUGACAUUUUUGCCUCUAAAUGUUCUAAAAAUUUCAUGGCAAUCACUUCAAAUCUAAACUCAAAUCGGCUACUCCUAUCAAAGCGAAUUGUAAAUUGUUUCGAUGCCAUCUUCUUCGUUACAAUUAAGGGAAUAUAGUGGAUAAAAAUUAUAAAUUUUACAAUAACUUAAUCCUUAAAUUAAAGAAUACUAGAAAAUCAAAAUAAAGUUUAAUCACAAAAAUUAUUAUUUCUCAAUAAAUAAGAACGUACACUUUAAUAAUAAAAUUUCACAAAACAUGACAUUAACAAUCUAAUAAUAAAUUUUACCACUUGUUAUUUAUUAUGUAAUAUUUGUUUUUAUUUUAUCAGACAUUAACAAUCUAAUAAUAAAUUUUACCACUUGUUAUUUUUUUAAUUAUGUAAUAUUUGAUUUUAUUUAUCGUUUUGGUAGUUUUGCGUUAUGUUGUCUACUUAUAUGCUUAAUUUUAGGGAGAUUGCCACUUUCCCCCCUACAGUAAUCAAUAUAUAUCAUUUUUCCCCUUUCUGUUUUUAUAAUGACCAAACCCCCCCUAAUAUUAUAAGUUUACAAUAUUAGUGUGUAUGCUUUAUGUUCUAAUUUCAUUAUAUGGUAAGCAAAGUUUUGUACAGGGCCUAAUAUGACCAACUUGGACUGGGUAGGUGUCCAAGUUGAGUUAUUAUUGAUCACUAGUAGAGUCUCCUACUCUUUCUAUGAUGAGCCUUCCAUGUGGGAGGAAUUAUUUUUGUAAAUAAGAAAAAAAUUUAUGUUAUUUACAACAAUAUUUAUUUAGUUUAAAUUUAUUUUUACUGUUAUUUUCAUUUUCUAACUAUUGACAAUUGAUUACGCCGCAAAAAAUUUAAUGGUGAUCUUUCACUUAUUUGUGUUCAUUUAUUUCAUUUGAAAAAUUUGAGUGUUGGGGUUUUGUCCAUAACCCAUGGGUAAACUAUACCCAACCCAUAAUGAAAUAGUUUUCUAUAUAAAACUCAUAUCUAACCUAUUUUCAUGAUUUACCCAACCCAAACCAUUUAAUUUGAUUUGGGUUUGGGUAAACCCAUGUGUUGUGGGUUUAUGCCCACCCCUAGUUACAAUGUCAUCAAAUCCCUUAGUUUCAGACCCAUUACUCCAAAUCCCCAUCCCAAACUCAUUAGCCUUCAAGCUAAAACCUUUAUUUUGAACUCAACAACUCUAAUUUUAACUAGUAGCAGCAAGGAUAAUCAAGAAUCCCUUCUAAUCUCAAUCUCAAAGUGCAAUAAUCUAUAGGAGUGAUGAUGGUGGCGUUCAUUUCCAUUAGCAUUGACAAAUCCAAAUCUUUUGAAAGUUUCGUUUGUUGUUGCUCUCUUUUUUAUUUUGGUGGGGCUAUUUUUAUUCUUGUUGUUCAGUACAAAUAAUUGGUCUCUAGCAAAAGAUUUCGGAUCUUAAUCAUUUACUAAUGGAGACAACGAAAUCAUUAUUCGUUGGACGUGACACUCAACAUUAGACUUUGAUUAUUCACCUGUAACAAUAACGACGCCGGAGGUGGCGACUCACCUUGGGUACGACGGAGCCGUAGUCGAUGCGUGGUCUUGUAAGGAGAUAUUGUUUGUGUUGCUUGCGGGUUUUUAAGCAACUUUAGACAUGGUUGUGGGUCACUAACGUUGAUGAAGAUGAGACUUGACAAUGGCGUGCUUUUGUUGCUGGCUAUACUGGUUAACUUCAUUUUCUUCAUUUUCUUCCACCUUUGUCGAGAAGGAUAAUUUUGUCUUUUUAAGACUCAUAAACAAAUUGUAAAUGAAAAGAGUGUAAGGUGCUCAAGUAAAUUUGACAGUAGUUAAAUUAUAAAAGACAAAAAUUUAGUAUCGUACAAUUGUUGCAACAUAGGCAAUCUGACUUAAGGUAUUUUUUAAAAUAUAACCACUAAAUGGACACUUAAAUUAAAAUAUAGGGAUUAAACGUGUAUUUUCUCAUAUUAUGUGUGUAUAUAUUGUAAGAAAUUUUAUAAUUUUUUUUCCAAUUCAUUAGGGGUUUAUAAGCAAUAUAUUAUUCUAAUCACAUGAUUUAUUUUCCAAGUAGCAAUAAAUGUUGGGGGGAAAAACCAAUCAAAACUAAUGCAAUUUUAUUACGCUUGCAUACACAUUUAUAUAGGCCAAAUUAUGUUGGCGCCUGGAUUUUUCCUGGCCCUCUAAGCAGGAAAGAAAUCUAUAGAAGUUUACACAGCGUUGAGCGUUCAAUGAAAUUCAAUUUAUUUUCAUUUUCUAUGUUUUAACCCUAUCACGUUUACGGUUUUUAUAAUAUGUCCCUUAAUAUUUAUUAGGUCUUGCUAACAGCUUAGGGUUCUUGUUUCGACGGAUAAUUGUUUAAUAAUAUAAUUAAAUCUUAUCCUAGUGGCCGAGAAAGUAUUUUAUGAAAAAAAUAAUUGAAAGCUCCAAAAAUCUCGGACAUGGCGAAAACCCUAUUUUCAGAGGUAUUUUUCCUCCGCCGUUUAGGGAGGCUAGAACGACUAAGAAAGCAAGGUUUCGUGAUGAGGAAAACGCUGGUGACAACCCUACGCAGGUCGCGUACAAAGAAAAUCUCGUGAAUGUUUUGCAAGCACUGGAGCAAGGUUUUGUAGGUGGAAUAGAGGACUGGGAGUUUGAGGAAGGGGAUGUGAUUGAGAAUAACGAGGGACCUAUGCCGUCCAUCACUUUCUCGGCUAGGGUUCAUGAAAAGUUAAGUAAACCGUGGAAGAACUCAGUUGUUGUGAAGCUGCUUGGUCGCACAAUUAGAUACAAAACUCUCUGUGCAAGGUUGAAUGUAUUGUGGAAAACAGCCAUGAGUUUCUCGGUGAUUGAUUUAGAGAACAAUUACUUUUUGGUUCAUUUUUGCUCGGCGGGUGAUGCUGUUGAUGCUCUAACUAAGGGCCCUUCGCUUAUAAUGGGUCAAUUUUUAACGGUGCAGCCAUUGAUGCCCUCAUUUGAUUUCACCAACACGGUUUUUGAUCAAGUCAUGGUAUGGAUCCGUUUACCUGGCCUUGCUGUUCAUCUUUAUGAUAAAAAUCCUACAUAAGCUCUAAUAGUUAAUGGGUAUUGUGAUUAAAAUGGAAUAGAAUACAACCUCUUCUACUUGUGGAAGAUUUGGCCAAAUUGCAGUAAAUAUCUCCUUGGCCAAGCCGUCAGUAUCUCGUUUGAGUUGGAUGGGAAGGCUCAAAAGGUAGAAUACGAGGGAUUGCCAGUGAUUUAUUUUAAGUGUGGAAGAUACGGCCAUAAUAGCAAUAACUGCAAAAAAGCUGGUACUUCGACAACCUCUGGAAAUGUUGGGCAGCCUCAACAUGUUAUGCAGUGUAACGAGGCCCUUGCCCAACAAGAAGUUGGUCAUAAUGAUGAUAAUAUUGUAGAGCCCUUUAGACGUUGGAUGAUUGCCACUAGGAGAUGCAGGAAAUCUAAUAGUGGUAAGGAGAAUAUUAAUGAUUCAAACCGAAACUGUAAGCAUGCUGGGGCUGGUACUUCAAGGUUCCAAAUCUUAGCUCAGGUCACAGAUGAAUGUGAAAAUCCUGUGCAUGCAGCUUUCACAGAUAUCUCAUCCACCUCACGUCAACCUCUCUUAACCAUCUCAAACCCCACAUUUACUUCCAAUGAAGAUAUCACAACAAAAGACUUUGGCACGAUGCAAGUCACAUACCAAGGCUAUGGUUGCAAAAUCUCAGAGUAUGAAACCAACUGUCUCAGCGAAUCCAAUCUAAAAUCCCUUCCAGUUGAGUGCUCUUAACAUCAGAGAGAAAGAUAUAAAUUCCCCACCUCAUGCAAACCAUAAUCCCAACUCACACUUUACUCCAUAGCUUGUCUCUAGUAAUCAACAUGUUUCCCCUCUCGCUACUACCUUGGACCCUACUAAGCAUACUGUGGUGUUUUGUUCUUCCCAAACCCUUAUUCACGGGGAUGUGAGGGAUGUGGUCACGUAGCAUAGAGAUCGGUAGGGACCAGAUCCACAACAUUUGGCUUACCCUUCAGAUGUUCAUAACACCUCUCAUGUGAAGGAAGUUAAAAAUGCUCAUACUCAUCCUACUGUGCCUAUGAGUAGUGUUGAUGGGGAUGGGAUGUCUGAUGAUGAAGACUCGAUGGUUUAAGAAAUGCCUUUGGCGUUGAUGGCUGAUGUCAAUGGUCAACAGCAGUAGGAUUUUUCUUUCUUUAUUUGGACUAUUUUUAUGUCGAUAAGCAUCAUGUAUUGGAAUGUCCAAAGGGCGGCCUCGGGUAAUUUUAGGCUCUCUUUCAGGACAAUUGUUAAAAAUUAUAACCCAUCUCUAGUGGUUUUGAUGAAACCUCAUAUUAGUAGGAUUAAAGCAGAUGAAUUUAUCAAGAAAAGUGGCUUUGAUAAAUCUCAUUGAGUGGAAGUUGUGGGCUUUUCUGAAGGAAUUUGGCUCAGUUGGCGGAAUUUUAUAGAGGCGGAGGUUUUUUUUAAUCAUAGGCAAUUUAUUCAUUUCUGAAUUUGUAUGAAUAAUGUCUUUGUGCCUUAGGCAACACCUGUUUAUGCUAGCCCAAAUCCAAUGUUGCGGAGACAGCUGUGGAAUCAUAUGGAUAGCCUUGCUAUUUCAAUUCAAGGUCCUUAGUUGUUUGGCAGAGAUUUUAAAUCUAUUUUGUAUGCUUAAAAAAAACAUAGGGGUGUUGCAAGGAGUUCAGGAAUGUGUAACUUAUUUCAGUGGUGGUUUGAUGGGCAUCAAAUUUUUGAUUUAAAGUUCAAAGGUCCAAGGUUUACCUGGUCACGUGGAUUGCUUCUUAAAUGGCUUGAUAAAGCCUUUUGUAAUAAUGAAUGGUUACUAAAGUUUGCGUACAAUUCUGUUCUCCAUCUUUCGAAGGUUGCCUCAGAUCACAGGCCAGUGCUGGUUCGGUUUGAGAGAGUUGUGUCUAGACACCAAGUGAACUAGCCUUUUCAAUUUUUGGCUUCUUGGCUAACACAUGAGCACAUCAAUACUUUUGUAAAGCAUGCGUGGGAUCCGCAUGCCUAUUAUAGUGCUGCGGCUUCUCAUUUUUUCCAGGCAGUUCAAGCUUGGAAUCAAAAGGUUUUUGGGAAUAUCUUUCAACGAGAACGAUAGCUAAUGGCUCGGAUUAAUGGGAUUCAAGCAACCUUAGAGAAUUAUAGUUCUAUAGGGCUGAUGCGGUUAAAGGCUCGCUUGUGAAACGAGUUGGAAAUGGUGAUGGGCCAGGAGGAGAUUCUUUGGUUACAAAAAUCUAGAAAAGAUUGGUUCUUGCAUGGCGACAUAAAUACAAAUUUCUUUCAUAAAAAAACUAUUGUUUAAAGGCGGCAGAAUAGAAUUGAGGCCAUUCAGGAUAAUUCGGGGAAUAGGUUGUACGAUGAGGAAGAUAUUCGGAGGCAUGUAGUUGGGUGCUUUUCUUUCUUAUUUAAAAGUGAAGCUACAAUUUAUCAAGAUUACCAUGUUCUAAAUUUUUUUUCCAGUCUUAGAUGCUUAUGAUAUUGAUUGUGCUACUGGCCCAGUUUUGGGGAGGAAAUUAAAAGAGCUGCAUUUAGUAUGAAGCCUCUUAAAGCUCCAGGUAUUGAUGGUCUGCCAUUUUUUAUCAGUCUAAAUGGCAAAUUGUUGGUCCUUCCUUUUGUAAGUUUAUUACUGAUAUUUUUAACACGGGCAAGAUCCCUCAAGAAAUUAAUACUACCCUUCUGGUUUUGAUUCCUAAAGUGGAGCAUCCUACCAGCUUAAAAAUGUUCAUGCCUAUAAGCUUAUGCACAGUUGCUUACAAGACAGUGACUAAAAUAGUAGCUAAUUGCUUGCAAGCUUUGAUGCCUGACCUUAUAGGCCCUAAUCUGACAAGCUUUGUUCCUGGGCGGCAUAUUGUAGAUAAUAUUGUUGUUGCUUAAGAAGUGGUUCAUCCCAUGCGCAGAAAAAUUGGAAAAAAAAUGGUUUAUAGCCAUCAAGGUCGACCUCGAGAAGGCGUAUGAUCAGCUUAAAUGGGAUUUUAUUUUUCAUACUCUUCAACAGACUAGUCUACUAAUUCAUUUAUCUAGGCUCAUCAUAGAAUGUGUAACUUCAGCUAGUAUGAGCAUUCUGUGGAAUGGUGAGGCUACAGAGUAAUUUUUUCUAGGGAAAGGUAUCCAUUAGGGAGAUCCUCUCUCGCCUUAUCUUUUUGUUCUUUGUAUUGAGCGGUUGAGCCAUAGUAUAACCCAAGCGAUGAUGGAUGGAAGAUGGAAGCCUAUUCAUUUGGCCAAACAUGGAACUCCUCUAACGCAUUUAUUUUUUACAAAUAAUUUACUUUUAUUUGCGGAAGCUUCAAUUGAUCAAGCUUAUAGCAUUGAUGUAGUUUUGGAGAAUUAUUAUAGGGGUUCUGAAGCAAUAGUCAAUAAAACGAAAACCAAAGUCUUUUUCUCCAAGAAUGUCUUAUCUAGAGAUGCUUAUUUCAUCGGUGAUACCUUUGGUUUUUUGGCUACAAAUGAUUUGGGUGACUAUCUUGGAAUGCCUUUAAUCUAUUCGCGAGUGAAUAAAGCUACUUAUCAAUCAAUCACAGACAAAGUGGACAUGCAACUCACUAGCUGGAAUGCAGCUCAAUUAAUGCUUCAAACAAUGCCUUCUACGCUAUGCAAAUGACUUUACUUCCUUCCCCUGUGCGUUAUAAAAUAGAUAACUCUUGUCGGCAUUUUAUUUUGGAUGGAAAGUCGAAGAGUCAAAAAAUGAGCUUGGUGGGGUGGGAUAAAAUUUGCAUGCCAAAAAAUCAUGGGGGCCAGGGGUUUAAAAAGAUUGACGUGAUGAACCAAGCGUUGCUGAUGAAAUUGAGUUAGGAAGUUGUUUCUAGGUCGAACAAAUUGUGGGUGAAGGUUUUUUGCUCUAAAUACGGUUUUGAUCCUAGUAAAUUAUCGAUUUUCCUUCCUGAUAAACCAGGGUCUCAAAUCUAGAUGGCUAUUAGGAGAACGUGGUCAGCAACUGCGCAUAGAGCUCGCUGGUCCAUAUGUGAUGGAGCUAAAACUUGGUUCUGGCUAGAUUGUUCGGUUACGAAGCACAAUCCCUUGAUUAGUCUCACCCUCCAGCCGAUUCCUUAUGACCCUAGUAAUGCCCCUGUGAUUGAGUUUACUAAUGUGCAUGUGGGCUGGAAUUGGUCGAGAUUUGAACAUUUGCUACCAAAUUUUAUUCUCAUGCAAAUUGCUUCGGUAAUGCCUCUUAUUUUUCAUCUUGGUUCUGAUAAAAUUUACUGGUGUUUUUAUCCAAAAGGCAUGGUUACUGUUUGGUCAGCCUAUGACUCUUUUUGUCAUCAAAACCUUGCCGAUCAUGACAAAACUUGGAACUUACUUGGACUUGGAAGGGGCCUCAAUCCAUCUGCCUCUUUCUUUGGCAGAUUCUGCAUGGUAAACUAAAGACUCACAAUGAGCUUGUUGGACGUUAUAUUCCCGUUUCUGUGGGCUGUGAUAAGUGUGAAGGUGCAGUUGAAGAUAUCCUCCAUGCCUUGAGAGAUUGCUGUUGUAUUAAGCAGGUUUGGAUUCAGCUUGUUUCGAUGGGUAAUCACAGCACUCUCUUUCACUCUAUUUUAUGUGACUGGCUUGUUGCCAACUUACAAAAUAAGUGGAAGAUUGUAUCUCCCCUCCCUUGGGAUUCUAUCUUUGGCAUGGCUGUUUGGAGGUUGUGGUUCUGGAAGAAUCACUUCAUCGUUGUUGGGAAGUUGGUGGAUAGCUCAACAAUCUAUCUGGAUACUAUGGCCAUAGCUAAUGAAAUUCAUAGAGUGAAUAACUCUCACAUAAGCUAGCAGCUGAGGAGAAAAGAGAUUUUUAUUGGCUUGAUGCCUCCGCCAUGGCUAUGGUACAAAUUGAAUUCCGAUGGAUCUUGUAAAAUUACAUGGGAAGCAGGAGCUGGUGGUGUUAUUCGCAACUCUAUCGGGCACUGGAUUUCUGGAUUUGUUAUGAGAAUUGGGGAGAGUUCAGUGAUUAUAGCUGAGCUUUAGGGUCUGUAUCAGAGCUUAAUUCUUGCCUAGGAUGCAGGCAUAAAACGGCUAUUGGUGGAAAUAGACAGUCUUUGUGUUACUCAGAUGAUCUCUAAAUAGGUGGUUGUACCUAAUAUUUUCUAUGCUUUAGUUGUUUCUGUUCGGGAAUUAUUAAGCAGAAACUGGCAGACUGCUAUCACUCACAUCUUUCAUGAAGUAAAUUCAGUUGCGGACUUCAUGGUUAAUAUGGCUCAUUCAGUUCCUCAUGCUUUGUAUUUAUUUUCUAACCCGCCUGUGAGUAUUUAUUUUAUUAUUUUGCAAGAUAUAUUUGGAGUUACUCAACCCUGUUUUAUUCUUAUUUAGCUCGUUCUGAUGAGCACCUCUAAUAAAAAAGAAAAAAAAUCUUAUCUUGUUAAAUUAUAAUGUUGCUGGAUAGAUAUGCUUGAAAAAGAUGGCAAAAGAUUUGAUCUAUAUUGAUUAUAUUUAUUUUAUUAUCAUAUCAUAGGUCAUGUCUUGGGUAAUGCAGAGUGACGACACACUGGCAAAAGUAGUAAGCAUUACGACAAAUAAUGGGCCAUUUUCAGCCACAUACAAAUUUAACUAGGUCCCCAACAAUUGGAUCAAAUAGUGUCGCGUUUAUGGGGCUUAUUUACAAUCCUUCCUCAAUUAUCACAUAAUUAAGUGGAGCCAGUCUAUUCCUCACGAAAUGUGAGUAGAGUGGACAACCCUCGAAUAUUUGAGAUGGUUUGAAGAAUUUGGGCAGCGCUUCAGAGGAGUACAUGCCACGAUGAAGGUCCCAAUUGUAGAAUCUGUGUGUAAAUAUUAAUUGUAAUACCUACAGUCCUGUAUAAACAGUAUUCAAAAAAAAAAAAUAGUGUCGCGUGAUUGUAUAUGUGUUUAGGGCUUAUUAAUUAGCGCGUAAAAUAUAGUGGCGGGACAGCUAAUUAUGUCAAAAUGCAUCAAAGUUCGGUGGUUAGGGUUUGUGGAAGGCCACUCAAGGAGACAUGAUUUUAUAUUAAUUUUUCUAAAUUUAAUUGGAAAAUUAAGUGCCGAUAAAAUUUUGCAAGUGGAUAAGUAUGGUUAGGUUAGGGGAUUUUGAUUCAACACUGAGCCGACAUUUUUGAUAACUUUUUAGGAAUAUAUAAUUAGUAAUUACUGAAUAAAUUUUUUUAAUUUUAUUUAUUAUCGCCAAAUAUAACUGUUCAAUUUAAAUUAUUUUUAAAUUUAGUAGUUUAGAAAAUAAUUAAUUAAUUAAUUUUUUUACAUAUUUAAAGUAAAAUAAAUGUAUUAUCAUUUAUUCAUUAAAUAUUUAGGUUUACUAAUUUUUAUUAUUAUUUAAAUUAAAUUAAAUUUUAUCUAGAUAUGAAUAUAAAAUUAAUAUUAAAUAAAUUUACAUUUAUUAUAAAUUAUUGAAUAAUAAAAGUAAAUGAUUAAAAUUUAAAAUAAAAACAGCGUUUUAAUGCGAUUCAAUACAGUGUAAUACAAGAUGUCAAAAACACCUUAAAUGUAUAAUUUAAUGAGCGGUGUUAGACAUCCAAUGAAUUUUUCAAGGUUCAAGUCAACUACAGGCCUCAUAAUAAAUACAAAGGAAUUAAUUUUAACUCGGCGCCUAUGCUUGAUGAACUUCUAUAGUGCUUAGAGCACUCUCUCAAUUGCACCAUGUUUAAACAAUUAAACUAACUAAAAAUGGAAAAACGACAAAUAAUUUGGCAAUUUAAUAUAUAUAUUUUGCUCUAGUAAUAGAGAUUAGCGGGCAUCACUCUAAUCAGCAUUAAGCAAUCCAAGAAAAAGUUUCAUGGAUGUAAUUAUGAUGAAAUUUAAAAGCUUCUCUUUUAAAAUGAAGCACGUGAUUCUCAUUUCAUUUCUUUGGUUGCGUAUUUUCUUUCUUUCAUCUCUUCAAUUUGGUACCUAUUAAAAGUCAAAACUCAAAAUGUCAAUACGAAUUCUUGAUAGCUGCCCAGUACACACAGCUGGCCACUGCCCACACAUUCUAUUUGCUGAGUUUCAGCUUUGUAUGAUUUUUAUUAACGCAUGUUAUUUCAUAUUAAAAGAAAAAAAAAAAAAAAGGAAUCUGAAGAUGUCGAUGGCUUAUUUCCACGAAUAUAUUCGAAACUUUGCAUUCACAAAUAAUAACGAGACGCAUAGGCAGCAAUGAUUCACAAGCUUUUUGUAAUAUUUGGAAGAAAUUAGGGUUUUGGAUUGUUGAUCGAUUCUUCAUUCUUCAAUUAUUACUCAUUGCACCACAAAAUAACCAGGGCUUGUGGGCAACUAACAGGCACGCACCCAAACGUGGAAAACUUACUAUGAGAUGGUCUCAUAACAUCACAAUAUAUUGUUUAAAUUUUAUUUCUCACUUUUACAUAUAGUAUUGAAGCUGUUUAUUGAUUGAAUGUAUGAAUAACGUCAUACACUCAUACCUAUACGUACAUGUCAAUGUCAUUUGAGACUUUCAUUCCUUAGAAAUAAAAAAAUUCAAUAACUAAAAUGAGACAAGUAAGAAUUUGGAGAUUUGCAAAGAUUCGAGUUGACAAUUUAAAGCUUUUGCAUUAGUGGAAACGAAAAAUAAUGUAAUACGUGAUUCAACGUUAUCUGCCUAGCUUCUUUUUCACAAAAGAUUAAAAAAAAAAAGGGCACUGAUGAAUGUUCAUACUGAAAGUCAGUGGAUAGUCAUUUCGACAUGAUCCCUUUAAUUGUCGAAUUACAACUUUAAUUUGUUUUAUUGCCAUGCUUCAAUGUCUAUCUCCACAUGAUUCCUCAUAAUCUUCACGUGUCAUAAUUAUUAGAUUCUGUACAACAAACAAAGAUUUACUUAUAUUUCAACUUUUGAUAGUGAGUUAUCAUGUCAUGAUCAGCUGCAAGCCUACGACACGAGCCACGAAAAAUGAGUUCGAUCAAAACAGGUUUCUUAAUCAAUACAGCUUGCAUGCGUUAAAAAGGACCUUCGCUACAUCUACAUCCGAUUCAAAUGGAUGAAAUAUACUUCGUUUUAGAGAUAUUUUUCAAUAAGAGCUCCCAUGUGUUAGCCUAAAGAACUAUACAUAAUGUAAUUUUGAUGAUAACAAACAUAUGUAUUAAAGUGAUUUAAUAGAUAUUGUAUUUCACAUUUUCACUAGUUUUUUAAGGGUAAUAUUUAUGCAAUUAAAUACUUUUCAUAAACUAAAAUGUAUAAUUUAAUUGAUGCAUGAUUUAGCAUUUGAGAAGCUCAAGAGAUUAAUUUAAUUAAAUACUUUUCAUAAACUAAAAUGUUUUAUUUUUAUAAAAUAAAGUAUUUUGUGGAUUUGAGUAAUUUGGACUUAAAUGCUAAGUUUUGAAAUCUUUGAUUUUAAUAAGUAUUAUUAUUAAAUUUCAGAGUUAGAUGUUUUUACAAAUAUUUGAAAUGUUUUGGGCCAUACUAUAAUGUAUGAAUAUUUUAGACUAAAGUGAAAGAUUUUGAUAACUUUGAAAAAUAUAGAUAUUAUGUUGAAAAAGACCUUUUUGCGAAAUAAUAAUAUCUUUGAGGCCAUAUCAUAAUUUCAGAAAGAUUUGGAAAGACAACUAUUCUUAGGAAAUUCUGAAAUUGGACCUAUUUGAAAAAUUUUAUAACUUUUGGGGCCUUAGUAUAAUUUUAGUGAACAAUAUUACUGUAGUAAAAUUCAAAAAUAACGGUAAUAUCACUGUUCAUGAAUGGCUAGCCGGAUAAAUCAAGCGGCUAACCACUUGGGCACGGGAAUUUACCUAUAACGGCUAGUUUUCGGGCUUUAAUUAUAAAAAACUCAACUCCAACUUCAUUUUAAGAACCAAUGCAAGCAAAUAUAAGAUCAUACAACAUAUAUUGAGCUUCCAAAAUGCAAAUCAUCAUAGAUUGAAUCAUUGUUGAGCUAUUAUUUGCAUAUUCACUCUUAAAGAGAGUUUUUGUUGUAAUUUUCAUUUCUUAUCAAAUUGUGAGUGUGUAAGUGUGAGAAAUACUUGGGGUGAAAAGAUUGGGGAGAUAAUUUCUUGAUUGUAAAGGUUCAUUGACACCUUAGAAGUCAAUUGUAAGAACUUGAAGCCUUGGGAGGCUUGGAUAGUGAAAUCCUCGAGCUUGGUUGGCUUGGAGGCGUGGACGUAGGCGGGGAUUGCCGAACCACGUAAAAAUCCAUGUGUUUGUUUUUCUCUUCCCUUACUCUUUUAUUUUUAUGCUUGUUUGAAUUUAUUAUUUUCUAUUCCAUUAAGGCGUUAGAUUAAUUUGUUAUGCGAAUUGUAUUGCAUAAUUUUUAAAAACCAAAUUCACCCCCCUUCUUGGGUUGCGUAACUUGCAUUUCACCAUGUAUAUAACUUUUUAAAGAUAAAAUUUCAGUAAAUGUUAUGAGAUUUUAGAAACCAGCGCAAUGGACAACCUACCAUUAAUUGAGUUCUAAUAUGUUUCCAUGCUAGAUCCCCACAUAGGUUAAAAAUACAAAAAUUAAAUGAACACAUAAGCUUAUGAAUACUCAUUCCUACAAGUUAGUUUUCAAGAGUGAGUUCUAUCAAUGAAUUCAUACUAUACACAAUUAAGGUCGAGCUAGCAUAGCAUUGUUGAGUAUGAUCAAAUCGGUAUGUACAACUUCAUGACAAUUGCGAGUGUGAUAUCAAAUGCAUCAUGUUGACUAUGAGAUUUAAUAAAGAUACAGAAUUUGUAAUGUCAACCAAUUGGGAGAGGUGACGGAUUGUCGUAAACGAUGGUUGCAGAGCGUGAUGGACUUCUACAAUCCUAAACUAUAAACAUAAAAACUAAAUGGGUUAUAUAAGUUUGAUAAAUCACAUUUAAUUUCAAGUUAACGAUAUCAAUUAGGGUAAACUUGAAUUUACUCCUACAUAGAAUGAUAAUCUUCAAUUUAUCCUAUAAAAAUGUGAAAACAUCAAUUUACCAUUAAAAAAAAAAAAUCAAUUCUUCCCAUAUAGUCACAUUUGCCGUCAUCUUCUAAACAAAAAUAGUAGAUAAAUUAAAUUUUUUGCAUUUUUGGAGGACAAAUUAAAAAUUGUCACUCUACUAGGGGAUGAAUUGAAGUUUACCCAUAAAAGAAUUAGGAAUGUAACAAAAAGAAAAAAAAAAUUGUGGCUGAUUGCUAGUAUACCGUUGAAGGCGAUGCAGAAAGCAUAUCAAUGAUGCAAACUUUAAUGUUAUUGUAGAUUGGAUUGCAUUUGGAGGUGGUUUUAAGAGAAGUAGACCAUAUCAAAAAAAAAAAAAAUUGUGCUCGUAAAACAGUGGUUUUAAGAGAAGUAGACCAUAUCGGUGGUUUUAAGAGAAGUAGACCAUAUCAAAAAAAAAAAAAAUUGUGCUCGUAAAACAUUGGAGCCGAUACAUGGUUGACAUAUCCUCUCAAAUGCAUGCUAAAAGUAAAAGAAUUUUGGACAAAUUUUUAAGUUAUUAGUAGUUGUUGAGUAAGAAUUAGCUUAAAUUUGAAGGUGAUAAUCAGGAGAAGAUUAAUACAAUGUACAAACGGUGCGGCGGGAAGCUGAUGCUUGGUAGUAUUUGACCCUAAACACAUCUUGAAAGUACGUAGAUACAAAUGAUUCAAACUUAUGAGUAAUUGGUAGUUGAGUCAGAAUUAGCUUGAACUUGAAAGGUCAUCCAGAGAAAAGGGUUCUGUCUACAGAAGGGUUGUCGCAUCAUCAUCACCCUCUACAAUUUUGCUAAUAAUGCCCACUUGGAGCUCCAAUGUGAACCAUGUCCCUUCAGAUCUGUCGAUUAGUUUCACUCACUCACGAAACUAAAUAUUCUGCUCCACAUUUCUCCACUAGCCAUAGUGGCUUUUUGUAAAAUCAUGUAAUAUGCUAAUAUGUUUUCAUAGAAAGUUCAACUCAUUGCAUUAACGUACACAUGUGCAUACCUGAAAAUACUCAUCUAAACACAACCAGAUCUGCCGAUACCAGGGAUGUAGCCAAAAAAUUGUGUCAUCUAGGGCACAUUCAACGUAUAAUAUAGACUAUGAGUGUAGCCUAACCGACCAUGAAAGUGUUUUGCACAGUUGGGGUAACAAUAGAGAGUAAGGACUAGUGUUUAGUGAUGAGGUUACUCAUUUUUAUCCAAAAUUUUUAUCUUUUUUUCAAAAAAGAUAGAAUACAAUUUAAAAAUAUUCAAAUCACAAUAUAUGACACUAUAAUUAUAUUAUAUUAUUAUUUCUUGAUAGAUUUUUAUUGAUUACGGUUGUCCUUAUAAGGUUUUGUGUUUUGGAAAUGAUACAUGAUGAUUUCAUUGGUAAUAAAAUAAUAUACAAUAUUUUAAUGUAUACAACUAAGAAGAAGAAGAAGAAGAAGAUGAUGAUGAUGAUGAUGAUGAUGAGGGAAAAAGGUCAAAAAACCUUAUUUUUUUAUAGUUUCAUAUAUUUUAACUAUUAGUGUGGCUAAUUCAUGUAUAUUGAAUCAAAAUAACUAAUAAAUUUUAAAAAAUUAUUUUUUCAAUAAUGCUAUGUUUACUCAGUUUGGAUAUUUAAUUGGGAUACUCACAGAUGCGUUACCAAUCAUAUAAUGUUAUGUGUAUAAUAUUAAUUGUUUUAUUAUUAAUUAUUGAUAUUAUUUUUACAAUCCACUAAAUGAAAUGACGUAUGAUUAAGUGUCCCAAUUGAGUAUCCAAAAUGAAUACGCAUAGUAUUACUCUUUAUUUUUAUUUUUUUUGGAAGACUGUUAAAUUUAAAACUCUUUAAAACUCUUAAGACAAUUUUAGUAUUCUUAACACUAAGCUGGAGCACUAUCACAAAUUCAAAGCAACUAUGGACUGAUUUGAAAUUGCUCUUCGAAUUUUUUCGAAGUUAACUGUGGCCUGUGCAUCAGCUGGUAUCGUACUGGCAGAGCUGGUCGAUACGAAUAAUCACCCCUAGUCAUAUUGGCUAUCACAAAGCUACUACUUAAUCGGUCGAUAGAACUUUUGAUUAGCACUAAUCACAUAAUAUAAUUAUUAAUGAUCAUAUAGGUCAAUAAGAAUGUAUGAGUCACAUUAUUGUAAUUAGUCGCCUCAUUUUCAUGAGCACAAGAUUAAAGAUAAUGCUUGAGGCAAUACUGAAUAUAAUAAAUCUUUCAAUUGUGUAUGAUGGAUCGAUAGGAUAGAUGGGAAAAUAAGAUGAAUCAAAAUGAUAGCAGUAAACAGGGAACUUCAUCAUGGAAUCCAUCGUGACCAUUUUACACUAACCAUAUGGAAAGCACUAUGUAUAUAAAAGUCAUAAAAAUUUAGAAACACAUAAAAGUAUGUCUAAUCAGGGAAAGUGGAAAAGAAAGUUCAAGCUUAAAAGUUAAUAUCAAUGAAAAGGGACAUAGAUGAAUGAGUCCUUAGUUGAGGCAAGUAAACGUCGUGCAACCAAACAAACAAGCAACGAUUUAACGCAUAGCCUUCAGUACUUUCUGAGUCUUUAGACCAAUAAUGCUAGCUAUAUUAUAGAUAAGAGUUUUAAGUGGCUUAGAUCAGAAGAGUGCAACAAACAGCGCACCACACCACUAAUGAGGAGAAAUCAAAUAUAUGUGGAACUGAGAAUGUUGAUGAAAAAGUGACCCUGUUGACAAAUAGAAGAGAAAGGGCUCAUAGUGCUUCUCCGUAUGAUUGCUUUUGACUCGACAGGUAUCAAAGAAGUGAAAGCAACUAGCUACUGUAGAAGAUCUCCAUGCACCUAAAUUAAAGAUAAAACAUAUCUUCUGGUGGAGGAAAACCUAAUAUGCUGAUAAGAAUUCUCCUAUUCCAGCACCUGUUUGUGUGUGUAGAAGUGGGUGUGCACAUUUGCUCCUAUGAGAUAGUGAAGAGUAAAAGCAGGUACCAUCGGUCAAUUCAAAACAAAUGAUUGAGACCAUUUCCACCAGAGAUAAUGUAAAUGCAAAUAUCUGAUAUUUACUUUUUCAGAAUGAUAAUUCAGUUGGUAAGAUGUCAGCAAUUAACAAGUAAUCUCAUUAUAAUGCAAAUAUCUGAUAUUUACUUUUUGAGAAUGAUAAUUCAGUAGGUAAGUUGUCAGCAAUUAACAAGUAAUCUCAUUAUCUGAGACUCGUAAGACUUUUCUGAAAUUUCUGAGUUUUCGUUUUCAUUUUCUUGUUGAAGGCUGAAGCUUAGAGUUUUGAAGUCAAUAUUCAGUUACACAACCUUAGUACAAUCAAUCAGAAUCCAGUGUUGAAAAAUACAAAGUACUAUCUAUAGGUCAAAGCCUCGCCCCACAGAUAAAUAAAUAAGUAAUUGAAUAGAAUUUAUACUCAUAGUUGCUCAUAUUGACAAUAUAUAUAUUUUUUUGGCUCAAAUAUUACAGCAUUCAUCCAUCCAUUUGGGAUACAAUGCAACAUGCAAGUCAUCCAUUAAAUUGAAAAGGCCACACAAAAACAAUUACAUGCCCUGUUGUUGCAGACUUGAAAAACCAUACAAUUUAUAAAUCAUGGAAGCCCAAGUACUAUAUAUCUCAACAGAUGAUUAGGCACCACAUAGGAGCUUCUAAUGAUGCCAAGAAUCCUUACAGUCCUGCAACUAAAAGCAUCAUAUGAAUUCAAUUGCAGUUUUUUGUGUAAUCUAACACAUUCGGGAAUGUCAUGAAAUUUAAAUGCAGUUACCAGGAAUAAAUUGAGCUGCAGUUCAUAGAAUUCACAGAAGACCUUUGAGAUAAUUUCUCUGUGAUAUUAACAUAAACAGACCAUAUAUAAAGCCUCCACCUGAGCUUUGGGGGAUUUGAUUUCUGAUGUUCUAAUGGUCUACAGCAUUUACAACCUCUAGCAGAGUUGCCAAGCUUACCAAUUUACAAGUAAAUGCAAUAACCCAAAUGCCAUACAUUUCUCUCCCUGUGUGCUUACUAUCGGAACUUGGUGAAGAAACAGAACUUCAGUUAGCAAAAAGAUCAAGAGAAGCCAAACAAUUUGAUUUAUGAACCCUUAUUACACUUCCAUGCUAUUGAAGAGCCAACAAACUCAGAAGUCAUCUCUCAUGUUUCCAUGUCAUAACCUUAUUUAAAUACCCUCGUGUGCCAUUUAUGUCUCCGUUUCCGAACAGAAAAGUAGCAGAACAUAAUUGUAUGCCCCUAGGGGCUUGACCAAGUGGUUUUCAAGCAACUACCUUUCGCUAGCCACCUGAGAUCGAAUCUUGGGGAAGUAAGGGGCUAAACUAUUGAUUUGGGUUUUGCCCACCCUCCUACAGUCCUACAUCUUCCAAACAAAAAAUUAAAAACAAAAUACAGAAAAAAAAGGAACAUAAUCGCAAAGAAAUAUUCUCUUGAAAAAGAAACUAGUUGGUGGACAGGGAGAGAUAUAAGACAAGAGUUGGAAGGUGUCCUGAUGGGCUGAUAUUAAGCGUCUCUUAUACAAGCUAAAAGUUCAUUUGAACAGUCCCAAAAGCGUGGCAUGAAAAGCAAGCUAAAAUUAUGCAAUUUCACUUCAUACAUUAAACAUAUCAUUUUAGAACCUUAGUCUGAUUCAGACUUAACACUAAACCUCUGGUAAUGGCAAUUCAACAGGAAAAUCUUGCAGAGUAUUAUUCUUCUUUUACACAGGCACGUAAGCUUGGAAUUUCAUGGUUCAAAGACAGUUCCAAUAAGAAACCAACUGAGCAGUUUCUAUCAUUAACACACAAGUAAACAUGGGUGUAGAUGUAAGGAAACUAAGGAGGUCUGAACUGAAAUCCACCAAAAAUUAUUAAACAUGGGUGUCUGUGAAUCUUACAUUCAGGGUCCGCUCCUUUUAGUUGAUCACUCAAUUAAAAGAUGAAUGCAACCUUACUCAGAUUAUCUUGUAAUUUAUGCUCCCACCAAACAUCAGCAACUAGCAGUUACAUCAAACUUCUGAAAAGCAUACACGACCAUCUCAGCGAGUUUCAGGUUGAAGCUUAUUAACUAAAAUUAACUCAGUAUACAAAACGAAAGCCUAAUAAAGUGGGGGAAAAAAAAAGCACCUUCAAUCUAUUAGCUUUAUUUCUUGAUGUGUAAUACUACUACACAGUAGUCAGAAAGUACCAUGUAGAAUGAAAUCUACCAAAUGAAUAGAGGCUAUUAAUACAGUAAUUUAAGUCCAUAAGGAAGACUGUUAAUUACAGAAAUUACAACGCGUGCGAAUAAAAACCCCCAUUAUACAAAUUCACACACACAUACAUCUUUACUCAUCUUAUCAUACCAUAUGCAACAAAUGCAUUAUCAAUUAAACUAACUUUUAACCUAAAAAGGAAAAAAGAAUUACCUAAAUAAUGUUUCAUUCAUUCUAAUCUUUGUUUUGCUUCCUAUUCCCCCUCUUCCUCCAUCUUUUCGGCGGCUUUCCGUUGAACCCAUUUGUGCUCGAAACCUCCUGCAAAUUCCCAUUUCCAUUUUCGUUAUCUUCUUUACUCUGUAAGUCAUUGCGCUUCGACGCAAUAAGCCCAUAGGGUUUCACGCUGUGAACGACUCCUUUGGGGAAAAACCUAGCGGAAGGCAACCCGUCGGGGGUCUCAAACAUUUGCGGGCCGUCGCUCUCGGUCCAGAGGUCAAACCCGCCGGGUCUUUGAAACCGGUCCGCCAAGACUUUGACUUGCUCGUCGGCGCUGACAGAGAAGAGGUUGGGGGCUUUUUCGACGGCCUCCCAGGGGCGCUCGAGCUCGGAAACUGCGGCUUUGAGUUCGGCUCUCUUUCGCAUCUCGUAGAUAUGUCUCUCGCGGCAGAGGCGGGCUUUGAGGAGCUGCUUGCCUUUCUUGGCUUGCAUACGCUUCCACUGCCACUUUGAGACCCCGCCUGGAUACGUGCGGGGCCCACCUCCCAUUCGGAUUACUGUUGAUUUUGGGUGGUCGUGAUUGUUGUUGAAAGAAACGUAGGUGGGUCUGUUGGCGAGGAAGAGUUGGGUCGGUGAUGAUAGUGAUUGUGAGAAAGAUAGCACAGAAGCUGAAGAAGCUGUUAUUGAGAGAGCCAUUUGCAGAAUUGAGGGCAUUCAAUUUUGCUGGGAAUCAGACAAACUGAAGGAGCAGAAACAGGUCUUCUAUCAUUGACACAUUAAUCAACUGAUAGAUAAAAAUAAAUUACCCCAAUUAAACAACAGGCACCAGUGGUCUAGUGGUAGAAUAGUACCCUGCCACGGUACAGACCCGGGUUCGAUUCCCGGCUGGUGCAAGCAUUUUGUUUUUCAAAUAUACGUUUUGUUGAGGUCUGCGCGUGCAAUCGCCAACAUUUUGUAAGCCGGCACAAAGACAGGAUCUGUAUUAAGUUACUAACUGAUGCCCCUCAUUGUGCUAUCAAAAGAAUUAAUCAUCCACGCGUUGUGUUUCGAGUUUCAGUGGCAUUCAACCGCAAUCGUAGAUUAGCAUCAUUGACUGACUCUCAACAAAAUGGUAUAAUAAUAUCCAUAGGCUACCCAGAGCUUUAUCAUAAUAGAUCGACUCACUUGCAGACAUAUGUACAUAUAUAUUCGAGAAUCAAAAUAUGCAGCCUCCAUAUCAUGGCACCAGCCUUUUUUUUUUUCCCCCAAUAACAUUACUAGUUCUAUAUAUGCAUGCAUUAUCAGUCUGCGGCGAUACAAGAACAAAUCGGGGCAUAAAUGCUGUCUGGCGAGAGUUUGCAAACAAGAAAACACUUCUUAGAUUCUUCAAUUUAACCCAUGUUCUUUAUGUUAUCAUAAUUUCUAAACUAUAGGAAUAGAGUGGUCUAAUUAAUUGAAAGGGAUGAACUGAGACAAGAGAAGGAUAGCAAAAUUUUGGUCUAAAUUUUCCCCAGGAAGCACGUUUACUUCUUUUUUCAUUGAUUCUGAUAUGAUAAGGCGAGAAAGUUAAACAAUGCUCUUUUGUACCCUGCAUAUCAACAGGGCCACGCUCAAAUUAAUUAAAUUAAGCUGCAGUAUAUGCCAGGCAUGCACCUAAAAACAAGAACAAAACAAGUUUGGUAAAGAAUUAGUGUAUGGCGAUAGCUUUUAACGAGUAGUCACCCUUAAUUUAAAUAUUUACUUGAUUGCUUUAGGUGAUUUGCUGCAGAAGCUUUUAAGUUACAACUGUUAUAAAAAAUAUAUAAUUAUUAAAUAAAAAUUAAUAAUACUUAUUAAAUAUGAUAUUUUAAAUAAUAAUAUUGGUAAAAAUAAUAAAAAUGAUUAAUUAGACAUUUUAGUAUUGUAACUUAAAAAUUACAACGACCAAACCUUAAUUACAAACAAAAUCUUAGUCAUAUAGUAUCAAAGAGAAAGAUUCUACGAUGUGACUAUGAAUGAACGGAAAAUAUGUUAAGUUUGUUCUUCAGGCCAUGGAAAUGAACUUAUACUUUGUCCCACGAUUAGCUGCAAUCCUUAAGAAUUUGAAGAAACAAUCGUUCGCUUGACAAUUAAUUAGACAUUAUGAUUAAUUUUGGCAUUUCUUGGAACCUGAGACACCUUGCUGGCAGAUUAAGCAACUUGUUGGAAUCUUCUAUUAUUACUUGAGAAAUUAUGGGAUCUGGAGCCCGUAUUUUAAUUCACUUUUCUUCAAUGAUCCGCACUUAUAAUAAUUCAAAUUAAAUGCAAUUGCAGCUUACAAAUAAACAUAUUAGAGAUCUUGUACCCUUAAUUAAGAUCUUAGUUGUAUUUCUACUAUUCUAAUACCUCCUUCACUUUCCCCCAUUCAACAGACAGCCCCAUAAACACCAACUUAAUAAAAUCAAUUAAAUUCAUCCAGGAAUCCUACCCACCUGGAAAUUUCCUUCAAACCACACGAUUGGAGGAUCUCAUUUUAAUGCCCUUCCAAAGAAAAAGAGGCACUUAUAUAAAGGACCCACAAGCCAUAGUCUCCAUAAUCGGCUCUCCACAGCUUCUCAAAAUAACUCAAAGCAUCCGUAAACCACCAGCAUUAUUCAAAAUGGCUCAAUCUUUUCUUCUUUGCUUGAUCUUGGCGGAAGUUUUUCUGGCUCUGGCCAUUGCUAGUGAAAACACAAAUACUCGACACAUUCUUCACUCAAACCCACCAGCAUUGAGUCCGUCAGUCAGCCCGGAUUCAUACAAAGCUGAAGCGGCUUCAAUAAGGAAACUCGGAAAGCACCAACCCGCUGCAGCUUUCAACCCAUCCGAGUCACCUCAACUUUCAAACGAAACUAAUCAUUCUUCUGAGCAAACAACUUCAAACGAACAAGAGAUUCAUCUGAAGAAGAAUCACCAUUCAAUUGACAGGUCAGUUGCUGGAGGUGGUGUCAUUCUUGGAGGACUGGCUACAACAUUUUUGGUAGCAGUAUUUUGUUACAUAAGAGCCACGGGGAGACGCAAAGCCGAUAGCCAGAUCACAGUUUAAUAGUGCUACUGUUGUAUAUCCAUGUAAUCUGAUUAAUUCUGUAAAGUAAAUAUGAUAAAUUAAAUGAGAUAUGUAAUAUUGAAUCUGGAGUUUUAUUAAUUAGAUGAAUUUCAUUAACGUAUAAAUUUAUUUAACGUUCUUCGCAAAGGCAACACUGAGUCUGAGAUAUAUUAAAUUUCCUAAUGAUUUUGUUGAGCUUUUGAAAAUCAUAUAAACCUCUCUAAUAUCCCCCAUCAACUUGCCGGGCAUAGGCUCAAUAAAUGGGGCUCCAAUUCUACAGUCUAAUCUAAUGGAUUUACAACUGAUGGGCCUGACCCGACCCUGGACUCGUCUAUCUACUAGUGUGCUACGUAUAAAUCAAACAAAAAUUUCUUGCUAAACGAGCCAGCAGCUUGACUUGCCACGUGGACUAGAGUCAACAUAUAAAUCACCUUUUGAACCUUUUCACCUUCUCGCGGUUUCCUUUCGCAAAACCAAAAGCGAAAACCUCUCUCGUAAGUUCUUCUAAAACCAAAGAUAAAAAACAGCAACAAUGUCGAACGACAAAUCGGUGAUGGCCGUGAUAAGAGCGGCGAGGCCAACCUUCAGAAACGACUUCGAUAAACUUGCAUUCGCCGUUCACGCUACUUUCCUCGCGUCCGGACACGUGUUAACCGCCACCGGCCCUUCCGCCGACACGGACUUCACCUCUCCAUCCACCGGUAAUCAAUGACUUGAUCAAACAAAAUAUUUUAUUUUUCACUCGUUUCGUUUUUUGCGUCUUUCAUUUUUAGUCUUGGCUAAACGGCUGCGUUUUGGUUUGUAGACGAAGUAGGAAUCGAUCACUGGAACGAAUUAGAUGAUAAUUACGCCUUCGUGUAUGUAAAACCGGAGAAAGGCUCAAAGAAAGUGUUAGUCAAGUGUCUCGUGAUGAACAAUAAGUUGCUUGUUGAUGCAUUGGCUGACGGAGCUUCUGAGCCUGUGCAUCUCGAAAUCAAGUACGCUUUUGGUUCCUUUUUUAUUUGCGAUUACAUUAUUAUUAUUCAUUUUUUAAAAAUUUUGUAAUUUGUUUUAUUGUUAAUGUUUUGGUGUUUUGUUGCUAGUGUUGCGGACUUUGUUGCCAAAAACGGAAGCAAUUACUCUGAUCAGUUCCAGAAUUUGGAGAAGCUUGUGACAGAUGUUGAUAAAGAGAUUAUCUUGCAAUUAUAUGGUUCCUCAAAACCAGCAAGGUGAUUUCCCUACCGUCUGGUAUAAUGAGUCGGUUAGAUAUAUGCUAAUUGUAACUCACUCUGUAUCUGUACCUGUUUGUUGUGUCUUUGUUGUUACUUAUAUUUGAGAACAAAUUACUGAAGGCAAUUAAGGCAUAUAGUAAAGAAUGAUAAUAUUAAGUUUUUUUAUGUGAUUGAUGAAUUUUCUUCUAGUUCUUUGAUCUAUUGCAGAGAAAAUAGUAUGCUUAGCUGGCUUGGAAUAUGUAGACGGUGACCAAAUUUAUAUAUUUUUUUCAUGCUCAAACUAAGUUCUAGAUUACUAGAUGUCAGUGGUACUAUUUUAUAUGUUUUAUGGGUACCAUUUAACUUAUUGUUGGUCAGGUGUUAUUAUUCAUAGAGAUGUAGGACAGAUUUUUCUGUCCACUGUAUGUUUGUGCAUUCCCUCUUGAUUUUGUUUGAUUGUGUCAAUAUGAUUGGAAUAGAUGAAACAACUGUUGGAAUGUACUUUUGAAUGGUUUGGAAAAGAAAUAACUGUUGCUUCUUUCUCCGCCAUCAGUUUAGCAUUUGAAUGUGGUAUUAUUGACAAGGUUCAACAUACAUGUAAUUUUGCAAUGUGGAGAAUUGCGCUGAAUAUGGAGUAAUAUUGGUUUUGCCAAAAUUUGGAGCUGUCAUGCGGUUUUGUUUAACUUUGAAAUUGCCCAGAGAUGCAUGACAAGGAUGCCAUCUUAUGAAUUAUCUUUUCACAGAAUUUUGUCUUGUGAAUUGCAGCUCGGAAAGAGGUGAAGGAUCAAGGCUAAACAAUCCUGAUUUUGGAUAUUUUGUUCAUCAAGGGCCUCAACCUUUGCCUACUGGGUAAACCUUCGCUUUCUUGUUGCUUCUUUUUUCCUUUCUUUAUUAUUGGGGGGUGGGGGGCCAAUGGAUUAUAUGUUACUGUAUAGCUCAUGGUUUUACUUUUGCACACUGACCCAUUCUUUUUCCUGUACAUUUAGUUAACUUAAAUUUUCAUUUCUCUAGUUCUAGACUUGUGGAGUAUGGAGUUCAUUGCAAUUGUUCUAGAUUAAUUUUAUAAUUCAUUCAAGAAUUUCUUCUGUUAUUAUGAACUCUGUUGUUCAUGUGAGGGAAACAAUUUAUGGUAAUUGUUGAUGGACUGGUAUGGUAUAAGUCUCUCAGUUUUGUUUAUAAGAUAUUUUGCAAGGCAUGUAAAUUCUUCUGAUAUAGUGAGGGAAAAUAAUAGCAUUGGAUAUCUGGUACUCAACAAGAACUCUGAUUAGCUUCCAUCUUAUGUAACCGAAUCAAUGGUACAAUUUGGUUCAACAAUGCCUCACUCUCUAUAGUACCUAAUUAUCUUUUUUAUCUUGAAAUUGGGUAGUGAUAGUCUCGUUAACUGUAGUUGAGACCAUUCUUGAGGCUUUCGCUGCUUGACAGUAAAUUUUCUAUGUCAUUUGAUACUAGGGGCCGAAAUAAUGGUCCCUAGCACAUUACCCAAUGUUCACCAUAGUUGAGACCGAUCUUUAUAAAUUGAAUCAUGUGCAGUUUAGCUUAUGAAGAAGAAGAUCAAGUUCCUUGCUUGUUACGGACUUAGGUUUUUAUGUAAAGAAUGAACUUGUCAUAUGGCAUAUAAUCAUUGUAGUUAAAUUUCAUUGAAAGCCUGGACAGAUAAUGAUGCUAAUGCUAUUCACAUGCCUGUGAUUAAAUUACAGCAGUUUAAAUGCUCAUAUUGCCAAACUUACCUGAUUUCCAGAUUCUAUAGAUUUGAACGGAAUAAUUGGGAUUGGUAUUUUUAUGUAAUAUCCUUCUUCUUUUUUUCUUGGCAAUUUCAUCCUUCGACUUCACUGUUGCACAGGCUUCCCCAAAGACUAACUUUUGUGUAAUAUAUUGCUUUGUAGAACUCCAGUUCCUCCCAUCAAUCCAGACCUUGGUGGUGAUGUCUAUCCCGGGCCCGGUGCUGGAAUGUAUCCUAGAAGGUAUGUCAGUAUCCCAAAAAAUUAGAUGUUUGUCGUUGCUGUUUCUUUUUAAUUGUGACAUGUUUAUAUCUAUUUUAAAUGUAUUCAGUAUUGCAAAUCAUUGAUUGUUUGUCAUUACUAUUUCAUUCUAAUUGUAACAUGUAUAUAUCUACUUUUACUGUCUUUCAGGGGCAGAUUUGGUGGUGAUGGGGGCAUGCUAAUAGGUUCGUAAGACAAGGCAUGUUCUUACUAGAUUGUUUAAAUAAGCUUAUCAUCUCUCUGGAAUUACUGGCUUUUAUCAUUUGGAUACAGGACCUAAUCAUCCUGGCUUUUUUGGUGGAGAACCCGAUUUACCGAGAGGGAACCCAUGGUACUUAAGAAAAUGUCUCUUCUCGUAUGAAAUGUGCAUCUUCUCAGGAUAUAAUUUUUAAUGGAUUUGUGGUGCAGGCCUAUUCCUCCAGGUGCCCGUUUUGAUCCCUAUGGCCCGCCAGAUGUUCCUGGUUUGGAACCUAAUGGAUUUAUCAGGUAUUUGUGAAUUAAGAUUCCCAUGUUAUGCUAACUUGUUAGCUUAUAAAAGCAAAUAGAGGAAAGAGUUAAAAUUUAGUGUUCCUUAUAUUUUAGCAUACUUUUGCAGUUAUAUUGACUCUUUAGAAAUUAGAAACCUAACUACUUAAGGCACUGCUACAGUGUUUCAAUUGGGGCUAAUUGAUUUGUGGUCUAGGGUGAUAUACUGAUAAUAGUGAGUGCAAUCUAGUGAUUCUACCAGAUAUAGUGGUGUCAUCUGGUAUUUGGUUUACUGCCAAUCAUUAAGGGAUUUUCAAUAAGUUAGGCAUCAUCAUUAGAACACAAACAGGGAUCAGGAUAACCUAGAGUUUGAAAUUUGACAUUCUUUGCUUUCUUUUACUUCAGAAACCCAGCACGAAGGCCUGAUGGGACUCAUCCAGACCUGCCGCCUCGUCCAGACGGUUCCGAUUUUAUUUAGGAGAGAAGACUUAGAACAUUUUAGUAUUUUGAGUGCUGUGAAUGAUACUAACAGCCCAGUACAAAGAUUUACGACCUAAUUACAUCAAAACUCUAGUAGUAUAUGCUGAACAAAAUCAAAUGUGAUGCGGGCAUUAAUUUAGAGCAGGGCGUUAAUCUAGAGUAGUGAUGCCCUUGUACAGUUUGGAUAUAAACUUUGUAUUUUAUUUGAUGUGACAAAUAUUUUGGUCUUUUAUAUAAAUCACUGUGUGGCAAUGAUCAAGAGUUUGACUCUUGACAAGUUAUGAUGAAAUACGUGGAUAUAUACUUUAUAUUUCAACUUUGCAUACAUAGCAUUGAUUAUUGAUUCAAGUAUGGUUGGUUAGGCUUACAGAAUAGAGUAUAGAGAUGCAAAAUUUAUAUGUUAAACAUGAAAAUAAUCAAUGAUUGUCUGUUUCAGGUCAUUGUUGAUUUUUUACAACCAUUAAAUGGAUAAUUAUACUGUACUAAUGAAUUGGCAAAAAGCGUAUUGCCAUAGGCAUAUUUUGUAUCUAAAUUUUGUAAUUGUAACAUAAUUCUUAAUUUCAUGACAACAGAACGAAAAAAGUGUUUUCUUGUGACCAGCCCAUUGGAAAACUUUCAAGUGAAACCUUGUCCUAUUUUGUUUGUAAUGUCAGUGAAUAUGAGGCAACUUGAACAAGAGGUGCAAUGUCCUAGACCUAGUAAACUGCAAAUAACCAUCGUCAGUGUAAUUUUAGAAGUGGAGAAGUUGCAGCUUUUGUCAAUACUCUCAUUUUUGCUUUGUUCGUAAUUAUCGCUUGAUUCAAUCAAAUAUUUAUGGUCGACAAGUAUUGACGACGUUCGCAAGUGGUAAUUUAUCUUUAUGAAUCACAACAGAUGUGAUAAAAAAAAAAAAAAAAAUUGUAACACCUCAAUUCCACAUACAUCGUAAUCCUUCUAGAAUGUAGAUUCAACAAUCCAACCACACAUAAACAGUAAGAGAAAGGUUUAAGUUGUCAUUGCAUAAUGAGGGAUUCUAGAGACGACUCACAAAACGUACAAAGAUCAAAAUUUCCAGCCAAUUUCAUCUUAGUGUCAGCUGAUAACGACAGGAUUAAGUGUGAAACUCCCUUAAAUUCAACGACAUGAGAUGAAAUCACACAUAAAACCAAAGCGACCCAUGCAUGCACUUUACUUAUUUUCCUUCAUUUUACAUUAAACAGACAAAAUGAGUAGGGUCCAAGUGAAGCUUCAUGGUAUCACCUACCCUCAUCAGAAACGUAAAGCAAUUGGAGACUUGGGGCAAGUCCAUUUCAUGAUAAUUUUCUAGAACCUCUCACUCUCACCAAUCUGAUUCAAACAGAAAAAAUCCACGCUUCUUAUAAUAAUAUUUAACUAUUUUGUAAUUUCGAUUGAACUGACGCUUCUGUUGCUCUCUUGACUCUUGUUUUCUUAUAAUUAGCAUCUAGUUUCUGGUACGCCUCAAAGAUAAAAAAAACCCCGACUGUCAUAUUAAUCAAAACCCUACAUUUGUCUUUUCAAAAAUAUUGAGAUAUGGGCACGGCCAAGCCUUCAGUACUGCCUCUGAUUCUGCUGAUAACGUUUAUUUUCAUGUCACGUACACAAAAUAGCGUUGCAGAAGCAAGGCCACUUUCAAUCAUCCCACCUCAACAGAGUAAGAAGAAUUCAAUGAAGCUUCUUUCAUUCAUCGUUUCUCUCCUUCAUUUAUGAUAACUGAUGAAUUGUUCUUGAUUAUUCAAGCUUCUUAUUAUGUAUUGUCAAUUACUGUUUGCAGGAUACGCUAAGAUUUUUGCAACUCUUGGGAUAGUUUGCAAGUGUUGUGAUGGUAGUGGAAAUGAAUGCACAAGCACGUGGACGGAGCCUUGCUCUAAGCUUCAGUGCUUGCCUUGGAAGCUGUAGUAGUUAGAUGCUAGUUUUGUACAUUCUCAUAUCAUACACAAAUGAAGUGGGUUCUGUUUCGCCCUACUAAUUGAUGACAUUAACUCGUUGAUUAUAUAGCAGCAAAAGUUUUACUUGCCCUUCUCCUUUCUGCUUUUCUCUUGUUUGUCCCUCAUAGUCUGGUUGGCCGUCACGCGUUUUAUGUCAGAUGUUGUUUAAAUUUGAGUAAUAAUAGAGAGCUAAAGAGUUGAUAUUUAGUGAGUAAAACUUCUCUACCAUCCAAACUUUGAAAAAUAAAUCCGCAAUAUGCGAAUACAAAUCUUUAAUCUGGGGUCAAUUUGUCUCAAAUAACAACAAAUGGGGUUCAAAGAAAAAAAAAAUGUUAAUUUUAAGAAGCCCUAAUUUGGUUUUUUUUUUUAAAAAAAAGCCAACUUCUGACUUCUAAUAACUCCAAUUAUUUUUUUUUCUUUUUCUGCGAUGAAAUAAUUGUUGCUUUGUCUAUCGAAAUAAAUGGCUUUGAAUUUAUUAUUUGGACAAUUGAUCAAGACUUUUGUUCAUUUGAUUACAAAGCUGGAGCCUCUCAUAAGCAACGGCUUGCAUUAAAUUUAUUUUUGGACUGUGCGGUAGACGGCUUCUAGAUUGGAAUCCGAUGUCACGGGGGGUUUUUUUUUUAUAUAUAAAUUUAAAAUAAAAGAAAAUUUGAAAUGAUCAUUUGACUAAGCAACAUUUAUUUAACAAGAAGAUUGAUUCUGAAUAUUCAAUUAUUAUUUAUUACUCCCCUCCUCAUCACCCCUCUAGAAAGCUUGAGAUGUUAAUUACGUAUAAUGAAUAAAUAUAUUUGAGACAGAAUUGAUCGGCAACUCAGCAGAAAUUUCUUUUAUAGCUGAUUAGUUUGUAGAAAUUUUUUAUGGAGAAAUUGAACUUGUCUCAAUUUAACACGAGAUAUUAAUGUUAUUGACCCUCUCACCUUUUUUUUUUUUUUUAAAAAAAUAUUCAUCUAUUUUGUUGUAGCAGCAGUCGGUCGUGUUGUUAAAAUCACACCCACUUUCUGGGUUCAGGCACAUCGAACAGCUUUGAUAGUCAAAUGAAUUUUUUUUUUUUUUUUCCUUUUCCCUUUUCUUUUUAGCGACAACUUUUUUUUAACUAUUUGUAUAAUUUAGACAGUGACAAUGUAUGAUAACGAAAAGUUUUGGUAAGUUUUGGUGGGUGGUUAUGCGGGAUAGCUACUGCACUGUAAAUGGGUUAAGGGAAAUUUUAUAGAGGGGCUAAUUUUUUUUUUCAAUAAUACUAUAAUUAUUUAGUUGAAAUAUUUAAUUUAUAUGCUAACUGAUGUGGCAAAAAGUGUAUUAUUAUUGAUUGAUUUGAAUGAUAAUUAAUUAUUAAAUCUUAUUGUUUAUAUUUAAAUAAUAAAUUUCUAUUAGUGACACAUCAGUUAGUAUAUAAAUUAAUCAUCCUAAUUAAGUAAGUAUAGUAUCAUUCUUUCUCUUUCUUUCUUUCUUUCUUUCUUUUUUUCCCAACAGCUAAACGUACAUUACAACGAAAAUGUGAGUGUUUAUCUCUUGAACCUUGGAAUUAGGGAAAAAUAAAGAUACAGAGUAAUUGGGCUGCCUAGGUGUGAAAAGCUUUCAGUUAUCUUACUUGAGGAUAUAUUAGAAGUACCUGUGUGUGUUUUAAUGUAAUUUUAAUUAAAGUCAAAUUAAAACUAUAGAUCUCGAAGAUGGACAACUUUUCAGAGUACAAUUAGAAGCACACUCUGGCCCAAAAACUAUCACAGUUCUUACGCUAGACACAAUUCUAAUAAUACCCACGGCCCAAAUUACGGACGAGGAGGUGUACUUAGAAAUUAUGAAAAAGCAUUGAGCCUUCGCCCUCUGCGUGGCCCAUCUCGGUUACUAUUUUGAACCUCAGUUUCAUUCAUUGAUCGCAAAGGGCAUUAGUUCGUCUCUUUCAAGCACGGAAUUUGUCAUCUUCGUCCAGGGCUCAGAAAAAGAUAACGUCAGAAUUUCCAAUGACAUUAAGCUAUCUAAUAUCAAGUGGUUGAGAAUUUAAUUAAAUUCUCUAAUUAUCCCCUUAAGAUGUGUUAAACUGAAACAGAUUUGCAGCCGUAUAAUUAUAGUUGGAGCAAAUGAUCUCGACCAUUUUAUGGAUUGAAAAGAAAGGGAGCCAGCGGCUUAUAUGUUGACACACACCAUUCACAGAAACAAUGUUGAUAAGAAAACGAAUGAUGGCAAUAUCUCAAAGUGGCACAUGACACGAACUUGAACGCAUGUAACCGCCCCAAAUGCCUUUCAUGUGCUCACUUUUGUUUGCAAGCGUUUCGGGGAUAAGAGAAGAGAAAAAUGAGGCUUUCUCGAGUCAAUUUUGUCCUUUUAUUUUCGUUUCCUUUGUUUGGAUGGACGUGCGCGCGCCCGCGCUUCCAUGCCUUUCAUCAUGCAAUCAAUCUUGGGUCUCAUAUCUCCUACGUAGUUGAUAAUUCCAUCCUGGCAGGAGUUUUCUUUUCGUUUCUUUCUUUUCUAAACAUUACAUUUAUAAAAAGAACGAGAGAAAGACAAGAGAAACUACAAUCCAAGUUGUCGUUUUACCUCCUCUCUCUCUCUCUUCUGUCAAUUUUUUUUCUCUCUCUCUUCUCUCAGCACAUACUUCAUUCUCUCGUCUUUCUCGCGUUCUUCUUGAUACUUAGCAUUUUCCCAUUUACAAAUCUACAAAUAUUACGCGAGUAGAUCUACUGUAGAAUUGAAAAUCUAGGGGGGCCAAAUGUUAUAGAGAUCAAAGUUUUUAAUUUUUUUUUUCUUUUACGUAGUCUAUUACAAAUCAGAUGCAUAAGAAGAAGUCCUAUCAAAAACUGAAGUUUAACCUAAUGCCUGUGAGGACGUGUCUUGAUCCUUCAGAGUUGAAGUUCAGUUUGAAAAUUUAUUAGGAGGGAAGAAAAAUAUGCUCCCGCACAUACUUAUUGAUUUCUCAACCUCAAGUAUGAGGCAAAAAGGGUAUCUAUUACUUAAUUAAGGAGUAGUUUGAUAAGGUUUAAUGUCAAAUAAGAGAAUUAAAUUAUGGGUACCAUCUUAAAAAAUUAAAGUUAUCGGAUCCAAGUCAUGAAAAUUUAUAGUUUUUCUAUACCAAAAGUCACUUAGAGCCUCUAAGGCUCCUGGCAACUUUGCUCUUGUACUAGAUCAAUUUUGUGAUAACAAUUAAGAUAUUUAGAUUUGAAUCCAAAAAAUUAAUGGUUCUCACUUCUGUUUCUUCAUAAAAUGUCUAUCCAACUUUUUUUUUCUCUCUCUCUCGACAAAUUUGUUGAACAUAUUAAUUACUUUCAUCAUUUACCUAAUAUUGUUUUUUUUUUUAAAGGCUUACCUUUAAUAGUAACAACAAACUCUUACAAAUCAACUUAAGCUUGUGGGUUAAAUAGUUUUUCAUACAAGCUUUUGGAGGCAAAAAAUUGAUGAAGUUUAAUUUCGUCCACAUGCAAACAUCUAUUUGCUCUUAUCUCAAGUUUUAUUUCAUAUUUCACGUGAGGGAGAUUAUUAGAACCUUUUUUUCGAACUUUUUUACUCUAUAACUUAAAUUUUUGAGUUAAAUAAUUUAUCUAACAUCAAUUAGGCAAAUCAAAAUAAAAGAAAAUAUACAAAUUUUGUAUCAUAAAGUUGUUUUAUAAAAUAAAAAUACAACUUCACAAACCAUGGAUAUAUAUAUAUAUAUUUUUUUUUUUCUCUUCUCUGUUGAGAUUAAGUGUUUUCAUAGAGAUAGAAGCAAGAACAAAGAAAGGCAUCUGUUGAGACAGAGAGACAGUGAAACAAACGCGACUCUCGUGGUGGUGCAAUCAAUCUUAAGCGUCUUGCCGCAUGAUGCCGUAAGCAAAGCGAGUAUCAUAUAAUUAACGUGUGUCGUCCUUUUCUUUUUCUGUUCUUAUCCAAAGUUGACAUGUCGUUUGGAAUUCUUUAAUUUGUUAUCAUCUCUAGUGUAUAUGGUGUAGGUAGGGAUGGUAAUUGUACCCGCAAACUCGUAAAUCCGUCUAAAUUCACCCGUCAAAACCCGCCCGUUGUGGGUAAUUUUACCCGUUGCAGGCGGGUUUAGUAUUAUAAAUUAAAACCUGCACAUGGAUGCGGGUGGGUUUGGUAUUAACCUUAUAUCCGGUGGAUACCCGCAUGGAUAUCCACCAAACCCGCAAUAUUUUUUCCAAAUAUUUUUAAUUUAAUUUUAAUCUUAAAAUGUAUAAAGAAAAUAAUGUCAUUAAUCAAAUUACCAAAUAGCCAAAGACUCAAAGUUGUGUAUAUGUGUAUGUGGCUCAUCUCCUAUUUUAAAGUCAUAACCUAAAGAAAACUAAAGGCAUUUCCCUUCGAAUUAGUAUUUGAAAAUAUUAAUCUUAAUUAUUAUUAUAGGUAUUGUGUUGGAUGGGUGCUUAUGGUAGUGAAUGAAAUGAAUAUCUUCUCUUGGAGCUUGUUUUAAAUGAUAAUAUGAAAUGUAAUUAUUAUUUUUAGAUACUAGUUUGUGUUUUUUAAAUGGAUUUGUGUAAUUUAUACUUAAAUUUGAGAAUUUGUGUUGAAUUGAUGUGGAAAUUUUAAUUUUUCAUUUACAUUGUUUAAAUAUAAAAUUGAGUAUGUUAUAUAGAAUUUGAGGUUAUUAUUAUAAAUUUAUAUAUUAAACAUUUGUGAUUUUAAAUACGGAAACCCGCAAAAAAUCCGCCGGAUACCAUUGCGGGUUUGGUAAUUGUUAAAACCCGCUGCGGGUGGGUUUUUUUAAAAAAAUUAAAACCCACUGCGGGUUGCGGGUGGGUUUGAUAAUUUAAAUUUUAUGCGGGUUUGGGUUUGGUAAUGACAAAUCCGCUGCGAGCGGUGCCCAUUGCCAUCCCUAGGUGUAGGUUUAGGUGGCACAUACCACUUUCAACCACCACCCUCUCCCCAACAUUAAUUUCUGAUUAAAUCUUAUUCAAAAUAAUUUAAUUGCGUUGGCCCAUUUUUGUUGAUUGUUUUCCUUAAUUCUACUGACAAGUAAUAUCUAGCCACCCCACCGGCAUUGGCAUUAUAAAUGGAGAUAUUUGUCAUUGACAUAUUAUUGGUGUUAUUUUCUUGCUAUAGUUUGUAGAUUUGUUUUUUACUUGUUAUUUGUUUUUUCCAAUUCUAAUAAAUUAUUGGCAAGUGGCAACUCAUUGUUCACCUUUCCGAACUUAUCUUAGAGGUUUCUAAUUCUUCAAACAUAAUCUUUAUUUUUAUCUUUAUCUUCCAUGUGAUUUUAGGGAUAAGGAGCUUGUGGAUGGAAGGUAAAGGUAUGUAAGAAAAAGAAAUGAUGUUGUUUACAUGUUGAGUCCAAUAUUUGUUGGACCUUGCAAUUAAUUUAAAUCUUAUUAUAACUAUGUUUAAUAGCAUAAUUGUAAAAGUAAUUUCUUUCUUUCUUUUUUUAACAUAUGUAAAAGAAAAACAAAAAAUUGAGGUCUUAGCAUGCAUGCAUGCAUACAUACAUAAGAAUAAUCUUAUUCAAGAUUUUAAACUUUAUUAAAAUCCGAAAAAAUUAUUAAAUUAUAUAAUUUAAUAAUAUAAAAUAAUUUAAUAACUUCAUCGACCAUUAUACUAUUUAAUUAUAUGACUUAAUUACUUUUCUGCUUUAACUAAACCAGGAUCUUAGAUUGUAGUUUAUAUAUAAUUCUUCCCUUAUGCUGGCUGGCGCUUUCAUUUGUAGUUGAUUUUUAUUGUAAAAUAUGGAGAGACCGGUGCCUUUUCUCUCGUGUCAUUGGUUCAAUUUGUAGAACAAGCGAUUCAUGAGAAGCUGUAAAGACGGCAGGGGUAAUAUAGUAAUCUCACUGUAUAGCAAGACCCAACCAGAUCCUACAGGAAGAAAUGCUGGGACCGCGACGAGACACUUGUCAGAAAACCGAGAGCACAUAGAUCAUGCGGCGACUCACAGUGGCCAAAGCCAACGACUAAACCUUCCACAUGGACGGAUGGACCCAUUAAUAUCACGUCGGCAACGUCUCGGCAGUUGCCCACAUCAUUAUCUCCAAUUUUAAAUCUUUAGUUGAUCGAUAUUUCAUUAUUUAAUUACCAAGAUUAUCGAUAAAAGGACCGACAUGCUUAAAAAAUUAAUUCUUAAUUUCACCUCAUUAGAUCCUGAUUAUCCUCAACUGUAUAACUCCCUUAUCCGGAACAGCGAGUCAAUGGCGGAAAUUUUCUUCACUCUUCAUCAUCGUCGUGGGUUGCCAUCACAAUUCACAAACACUAAAAUGGAAAUAAAAAAAAAAUUAAAAAAAAACAAUUGGGACCCAACAAUUUUGGACCGACCGAACCGAAACUCUCAACAAACAGAUAUUUUUAAUAAGGAUAAAUCAUCUGAGUAUAAUGUGUAUCAUUGUCUCGUACAUUGUAUUGUCUCUUUCCAUUACCCUCGUCACCACAGUCCAUCACUACCAGCAAGAUAUCAUGAACAUUGCACGGAUAUUUUAUUGCCUUCUAAUAAUUUGCGUGCUGAUGAUAAUUAUUUAUAUUACGGUGAACGACGUUAUCACAAAAUCGAAUAAAUUAUUUAAAGUAAAAUUAUGUCGCCCGUAUAGUUAAUCGGAAACGGAUAAAUUUAUUCAGAAAGAAAGAAAGAAAGAAAGACCUAGUGGGUAACUGGACUGGAUAUAUUGUCUUUGAAGAUUUCUAAAUAGAAGUAAAAGGGUGGGUCGCUUGGGCGGAGUGGAAUCCACUGAUUGUAUGGAGCAAAUCUGAGUUAAAAACAAAGGUGAAGAGGAGCGAGUGAAGAAGACAGAACAUGUAUACGUAUGUUCGGUCCGACAAGAUGAAAAGAUAAGGUCGUAAUAUUACGAAGCGUCGGGGUCUCAUCGCUCUCUCUCUCUCUCACUUACUCAGAGUCCUUAAUUUUUUUCUCGAUCGCCUGUUGUGCUGUGCCCGUAGUAGUGGCUUUUCUUUUGUCUUUGAAUCCAAAAAGAGACAGUAACAAAAAGUCAAAAAUGGGUUCCAACUUUUCGACUCUCUCAAGUCUCAACUUCCAUCAAACGAACUCUUAAGGCGAAAAAAGGCCGGAGGUUGUUGUUAUCCACUUGGGUACUCGUGGCAGUAAGCUGUUGGAGAUUCAACCCCUGGCCCCACUCCCCAGUCCAGAUUGUUCCACGUGGCGCCCAUCUGUUUAUUCCCUCGACAGGUAUAAUAGUAGUAGAAAAGGAGGACGAAGGAACAACCAACAUGGGGAAACCGCAAAGAUUAGAAUUUACAAGGUAAAUAUUAUUAUAAAAACAAAACAAAAAAAAAAGAGUAAAGAAACAGUUUAAUUGAUAAUUAUUAGAAUUUGGUAAAAAUUCAAAAGUAAAAAAAAAAGUGUUUGUUUUUAUUUUGUUGGUUUUGUUUGACGAGGGAGCCUAUAAAUUGGUGUGCCGUGCGACGGUUUCAUUUCUAACUCCGCGGCGAUCUUCACGUGUCGGUUUAAAAAUUUUCAGUUGCGAGUAGGCAAAGGCUUUCUUGUUUUUUAUUAUUCAAAGUUUUUCAAUUGCUUAUUUCCUUUGACGGUGGGGGUGCUUUGAAUAUACAAUACAGUUUGCACUUCAUACGUAUCUCUCCCUGUUUGUUUCUUGGCGGGCUAAGGCUGAGAGAUAUUCAAUAAAAACAGAGAAGCGUUUCAGUCUUUCAAGAAACAGCAGCCGAGAGAGAGAGAGAGAGAGAGAGAGAGAGAGAGAGAGAGAGAGAGAGAGAGAGAGAGAGAGAGAGAGAGAGAGAGAGAGAGAGAGAGAGAGAGAGAGAGAGAGAGAGAGAGAGAGAGAGAGAGAGAGAGAGAGAGAGAGAGAGAGAGAGAGAGAGAGAGAGAGAGAGAGAGAGAGAGAGAGAGAGAGAGAGAGAGAGAGAGAGAGAGAGAGAGAGAGAGAGAGAGAGAGAGAGAGAGAGAGAGAGAGAGAGAGAGAGAGAGAGAGAGAGAGAGAGAGAGAGAGAGAGAGAGAGAGAGAGAGAGAGAGAGAGAGAGAGAAAUGGAAGGAAGAAAGCAAACAGGUUCCUCUUCUUCAUUGACGAACGAGUUGUUCGGCUCCAAAGAAUCUUCUUCCUCCUCUGGGAUUUUCGGUUCUAUCUUUUCGCCUCCCUCUAAGGUAUUGUGGAAUCAAUUAUCAAUUAUAUUUAUGUGAAAUAAUUGAAUGCUGAGCUAAUAAUAUCAUUAAAGCUUGAUUCUUUUUUAUUCUGACACGCUGGUAUCUUCAUUUCUGUUGUUCUUUUGGGGACCACUCAUUUAUUGAGGAUGUUGUGCUGUGUUGAUUUAGGUGUUAGGGAGGGAGUCUCUGCGUUCUGAAUCAAUGGAGAAAAAGCAUGACUCUUCAAAGGAGGCAUGGAACACCAAACCCACUACUCCUGGUACGUAUGCCAGUUCUUAUAAUUCGUGCAUGCCAAUGCUAAAUUAUGUUUGAAUCCUUAUAUAAUUUGGAAAAUGCUCUGUUAUACGCUCUUGCAUUUUGAUAAUUUCUUCUAACAUGUUGAAGUGAUUUUUCUUUUUUUCUUUUUUGGGUUAUAUUGAUUAAAAUGUUUUUUUGGGGGGCUUAAGUUCUCUUACUUUCCUUUCCAGGUGAUGCAUCGAGAAGCUAUGAAACUGAAAGCCAGGGCACGGCAUAUAAGGACAUGAGUUCCAUGUAUCAGGACCAGAGAGUGCAACCGUGCCAUUUAAGUUCAUCAAUCUAUUAUGGUGGCCAAGACGUCUAUUCUCCUAGACCACCGAAUUCCCAGGGCCCUGGAGUUAAUUCUGUGGUGAGCACCUCCUGCACUAAUUGUGGCCACACACCUUUAAUGAAAAUCUAAUACCAAUUUAAAAAAAUGGAAUUUUAUUGCAUUUUAUUGUUUCUCGUAUUGAAUUGAGGACCAAAUUACUCUUAUUUAAUUGAUUGGUCUUUUAGUUUCGGAAUCUGCUAACAUGCAUUGUGAUGCUCUCAGUUCAAAAAAGAUGGAGAAGAUGAUUCUGGGAGUGCUUCCAGAGGAAAUUGGUGGCAAGGUAUUGUAUUAUAUAAUCAUUCAAUAGAUGUUUGAAUUAGUAUUCUGAAGUUGUACAGAUUGUAACUAAUACCUUUUGUGGUAAAUUUUCUUUGUGCAGGAUCUCUCUAUUAUUAAGAGUUAACUUGCCAAGGGUUGUAUACUCAUCAAGGAAGGUAUCAUACAUCAAUGAAUUUCAUCCGGAAUGCUAAAUGGUUUAUCUUCUUGUGCUUGCAUGUUCCUGAAGUGCAAUUUUGUUCCAGCUUCCUAUUACUUGAUUAAAUCUUCCUUAGUCACGCGCUGUUUAUUUAAUCAUGUCCAUGAAACUUUGUUGAUUGUUGGGAUUGUUGCCAUUUCUAUCUGCUGAUUCUAGUAUACAUUCUGUCGUGCUCUGUCUCACCCUGGUUUCUAAAAUUUGGUCAACAUUUUAUUGUUUUAGUUGUAAUUCAAGAUCAAAAACCUCAGCUUUUUGUUGUUCGAAGAUAAUAAGGACAUAUUUAUUUAUUUAUUUCUUUUGGCCCCUGAAUCUUUUUUAUUGGUUUAGUUGAAUUGUGCUGUAUGAUUUGCAGGUACAUAGGACGAUAGAGUUGCAGUUUUAUCUACCUCUUAUAACUAGUAAAUAGGAGAUAAGUUAUAGCAGUUCGAUGGUGGCAGAGCUGGUAGUUAUUGUUCCUCCAGCUCAACAGCAACAUCUUUAUAUGAACUGAUAAUAAUUGUACUUUAGUUGCCCUUUUCCUUUAUCACUGUAAAGGGUACUUGCCCUUUUCCUGUAUCACUGUAAAGGGUAUGAACCUCUUGUUUUUACUGUAAAAGUAUGUAUGGUUGAGUUACCAUUGAGUAUAUAUAUAUGUGGUCGAUGUUGAGGAUCUUAUUAUGGUUGGCCUCUCUCAGUUUUUACUUGUAUCAAAUUUUCCCUUAAGCUUUUGGAUUGAAAUCAUCUAAAUCUUUUCGAGUCAGUAAACGGUGAGAAUAGUUUUUAACACGCUGUUUCAUGGACACUUUGAGAGACAGCUUGAUUCUAGAUUUCAUCUAACAGCAGCCUUCCGUGUUCGUAUGAAUCAUUUCCUCUUGGGGGAAGAGGGUUAUAAACGGAGGAUCUUUUAUGUUACAUGCACGUAACUUACAAUCCUCUUACAUGAAUAGUGAGUGGUGUGGGCUCAUUUAUUAUUCACGUGAGAGGGUUGUAAGUUACAUGCAUGUAACUUAGCAUUUUAUAAAUUACCCUUUUUGAGCUUGACUGGCAACUGGGGAUAGAUGGACUUUCCAUCUUUCUGUUUUUUCUCGUACCCCCUCGCUUUACAUCCAUUUUAUCAGUUGAUUGUCAGUUUUGCUGGAGGUUCCUGAUAAUGGUACCGCUCAGCGAAACAGUAAGAACCAUAUGAAACUUUCCAGAUUCCAUACCUCAGAAAUUGAAUUUUUUCAGGAUGCCACGCACUCUGAGCAGGGGCCCAGCAAGCGCAAUUAUCUUGCAAUGCGUCCAACUGCUGGUCUCCGAGCAGUCUUAUCUAUCUGAGUCAGGAUAACGCAAGUCAAGGUUAUCUUUGUCCGAAAUGUGACCCACCAUUCAAAGCAGUCUCUAUCCAUUAGUUUAUUUAACAAUGCUUUUCAAUAGUGGUCAGUUCCUGGUCGUUGUGUAAGAUAAUAUAGUUUGCGGACAAAGAUUCUGCAGCCACAAUUUAUCAAUGUUGAUUCCGAGUUUUGAUGUUACUGCGUUAAGUGUUUUGUUUCCAAGGUCCCAUAACAUGCUGCCACAUCGACUGGGCUUUAGAAUAUCUGAGUCAUCUUGAAACUUUAGGGGAUGAUUUCUUAAUUGACAAUCAAAGUGAGAUUCCAAGUGGUGAGUAUUUAGAACUAGAAGACUACUGAAGUUGAGUCAAGUAAAUCACUUUCAUUAUUCUAAUUGCUAAGAAGUACAAUCUAAAACAACAUAGUCAUUUCAUCACACUAGUGACUUCAAUUCAUGGCCUUUAUUCCGGCGCGUUAUCGAAUUCAAGGAAUCGUGCAAGCUGCAAAACCAACAAUCAUGAUAUUAGUGAGUACUUGGGAUCAGCAGAAUUCUAAAACUACGGAACCAACUGGUUUCACACCGGGGUAACAAUUCUUUGAGGCCACGCAACGACCCCAACAGUUUGGAAUAAUAAAUACGACGAGAUCACGAGAUAGAAGUAACCAAGACCAAUAAACAAACGCACUUACGUCCACACUCGUAAUCAGCUGGAAGCUUUGUGAUGUUGCAGCGUUUGGGGAUGGUGAUGGCAACUUGAGGCUUAACUCCUGAUAAUUUAGCGGUAUCAGAUAGAAGAACAGCACAGAGACAGUUCGGAUUCUGGCCUAUUCUCUGCGCAUUUCUGCGGCAGCCUGCUGAGACAGGAACUUUCUCAUCUUGUGGAGCCGUUGCACUAGGAGAUAGCUUCAUUGCCUCAUCAUCCGGUGAUGAAGUUCCACAUUCUCCUGCCCCAUCAACUCUUGCAAGUGUAGCGAUGUUAACAACUAGGAGCAAGCCAACAAGGCAGAUGUAUUCUAGAAUUUGAGAGAAGCAGCCAUUACUUCCUCUGUUUUCCACAAGAGUUCCCCCCCCCCCCCCCCCCCCCCCCNNNCUCUCAUACUGCUACUACGUCAAUAUAAGCUAAUUGCCACUAAUUCUUGCACUGACAACACGACAUGUGUAGAUACCCAUUCAUAGCCAUCAUAAACGAGUUCUUAAUGUAACAAAUUUAUGUGUCAUGACAUGUUUACAUAUUUAAGAGGAUGUUUACAUACUUAAGAGGUUUGAUAAAAUGGGGAUUUAAAUUUAAUGAGAAAUUCAAUUGCUAAUGGGAAGAGAAUGGAAAAGGCGCAAAAGCUUUCUAGUACCUAAGAUUUUUACGGAAUUUUUUUUUUAUUUCUUUUGUUUUUGCUGCUAAGGGACUCAACUUUAAUGGAAAGUAACGAUACAAUUAUAAAUACAAAGAUUUGUAUCUCAACUAAUAUAACAUUAAUAUAAAUUCACUAUUUGAAUGAGAAGUAAUAAUGUUCAAUAAUUAAUUAUCACACGAAAAUAUGAGAUCGUAUGCCACAUCAGUUGAGAUAUAAAUUUUGUAUCCUAACUUUGUAAGUUUAUCAUUUAUUAAUUGAAAUAUGAAAGUUGAUCAUUUCUCAUUCUAUAAAAAUAUCAUAUUACAUUAAUUAGUAAAGAAUGAGAUUUUAUUGGGUCUCCUUUUUUUUUUUUUUUUUGAUUUGGGUGUAUGUAUAGAUAUAUAGAUUGCAUAAAAGAUAACAAACCAAACACACUAAGAAGGCUGCCACAAAAAGCUCGCGACUCCUCAAAACAGUUCGUGCUACUGUGGAUCUAAGUGUGGAAUAUCUAAACUGUGCAAGCAAAUAAUUUAAAUGCACAAAAGCUAAAGAGACAUAACGAUAAUAACUGAUAAGAGAAAAUUUUAAACCUCCUCUUUCCAUUCCUUUUCUCUGUGAAUCUCUAAAUAGAUUGCAAAGGAUUGGUUGCUAUUUACAGGAAGCAAUUAACCAGCUUUGAGCAGUGAAAGAAGUUGCGAUUUGCAUUGCACUCCUCGAAUGCGCAAGUGUGGGGGAAAAAAAAAAUGAUACUUUUCACUAUUCAAUUGCUAAAGUGAUUAGCGUGAAAUGCACGUUACUUUUAUUAAGGGAUGGAUGGAUAAACAUAUCUCAUAGCACGUACUAAAAUUUUUGGACCUUUUGAAUGUUCACAUUAUAUUUAUACUUAUUUGUUGUAAGAUAAAAUCUUAGAUAUUGAUGUCAUUAAACUAUAUACAAACUAAGGUCAGAAGGCAAUAGAGUGAGUACUUAGAACAAGAAGAUUACUGAAGCAUAGUCAAACAGAUAACUUCCAUUAUUAACAGAUAACUUUUAUUAUUCUCAUAACAGAUACGUACAACCUGCUAGCUUUCAUUGCUAGAAAUACAAGCUAAAUUAGCAACAUAUAUAGUCACCAUCAGAUUAGUGACUAUGAUUCCUGGUCUUUAAUUCUUUAUUCCAGCGUGUUACCGAUUCAAGGAAGAGUGUAAGCUGCAAAACAAACAAUUACGAUAUUAUUAGUUUUCUUUUUUUUUUUUUUUUUUUUAAAAAAAAAAAGCAAUGUAAAAAUAAUAAUUAAAGCCAAAAAACCUAUUUAGUUACUUACGUCCACACUUGUAACCAACUGGGCGAUUAGCAAAGUUGCAGCGUUUGGGGAUGCUCAUGGCAACUUGGGGGUUAACUCCAGAUGCUUUAGCGGUAUCCGAAAGCAGAACUGCACAGAGACAGCUCGGGUUCUGGCCAAUUCUCUUCACCUGAGCACAGCAACUUGCAGAAACAGAAGCUUUCUCAUCUUGUGCGGCCGCUGCACAAGGAGCUAGCUUUAAUGCCUCAUCAUCUGGUGACGAUUUUCCACAUUCUCCAGCCCCAUUAACUGUUGCAAAUGUGGCAACGUUAACAACCAGAAGCAAGCCAACAAGGCAGAUGAAUUUGAGCGAAGCUGCAGCCAUUUCGAUCCUCUGUUUUUCACUAUGCACAAAUUAAAUCCUCAACUAUAUAUCCCACAAUGCUAAAACCCCGUCUUAGUCAAGAGUUUUUAUACUGCAAAAAUGAGCUCUGUAUUAGUGGUCGCACUCAUUAUCCACUAAUCAUGAUGGAGCUUGCACUAACUGACACAUUAUAGUUGCAAGCACUUUGCUGCAUAAAAAUUGGUAAGUGAUGCCCAAUUUGCUCUCUUUGGUCUAAUCAAAAGUUGGUAUUUGCAUAUAAAAAUGAACCCAGUUGAUAAGUACCCAGAUGUUGCCAUUUUAUUAACAAUGGAAAGCCUCCAAAUGCUCUAUUUGCAGCCAACUCAUCUUCACUACACAUCUAGAAUUUUAUUACCAACAACAACAGCAACAAGACUACAGAAUCUCUUUCAAUAAAGCUAACAUUUUGCUUUUGUGGAAAUGUACGUGCAACCUUGAGAUAACUUGAAUUGUGCUCUUAAUUACUAGCAGGCCAACUGUGCAAUUAAGGAUAAUAUUUUCUUUAAACUCAAUUCUGUCCCGUGAACUUAUGAACGAACAUGUAAUGUUUCAGCUAAAAUAGCUAUUGAUUAAUUAUCAUAUGCAUUUAUUUAGUUUGGAAGGGUUUCCUUCCAAAAUGCGUUCUAUUUUCUAAGUUCCUAAGAGUGAAAGUGUAUUGGACGUAAAUUGCUGUACAAGGUCUCCAAUUUUCACACAUGUUAUAUCACUUUUCAAAAUUUUCUCUUUUAUUGGAUAAAUUAUCAAUGAAUAAAAAGUCUAGGAUCGAAAUGUGAGUUGAUUUAAUUAUUUCGAGUUGAUUUAAUUAUAUAUACGCAUCGAUGUGAAAAGGAAUCCAACUUAAUUUUCUCUAUGGCAAAUCCCACAUUGUUUAUAACUAAAAAAACUAUGUAUAACGAUAAGAGAUUCCUCAUCACCAUUCCUGAGCUUUUUUCGGCUGUUGUCUUCCUUGGCACUAGAUGAAUAGGGCAAUUUUGGAACUAAAAAAUUUGAAUGAUAUGUUUAGGUGUCAGUUUGUCACAUUUUAUCGCCUUCUUAUAGUGCGACACAUUUCCCAACUUGUGAAUAAAAUUACUAAGGUGCCUUUUUUUUAUUGAAAUUUAAAUAUACAUGAAUUAGUUUGAAUUCUAAAUAGAGUUGAAUGUCUGAAUUUAAAUGAUAUUUUUUUUCUGAAUUGUUAAAAAUAAAUAUAAAUUUGUCUUAUUUCUUAAUUUAAAAAAUCUGAAAACUAUAUUUUUACAUUUGUACCAUUACAAAUUAUAAAUAUUAAAAACUAAUAAACAUCUCAAUGAACAUGAAUAAGAUAAUAUAUUAUUAUAACAUAAAUUAUAUUCAAUUAAAUACAAACCUUUAAUAUUUUAAAUUGGUAUAUAUUAAUUAAUUUUAUUGUAGUUUAUGAUAUUUUUAUAUAAAAAAAUUCAUUAAAAAAAUUGUGCAGAUAAAUAAUGCUAAUUUGAAGAAAAUAAAAGGAUAAAAAAAUAAUAAUAGUCUACCACUAUAUUAUCACAAGUUAUAAAGAUGGGUAAUAUCGCUAAUUAUUAGAUUUUAUUUAAAUAAGGAUGAAAAUUAAUUAAUUAAUAGGAAAAUUUUAGAGAAUUUUUUUUAAUGAUAUCAUUCAAAUUUUUUAGAUUAAACAAAAAAAAUUGACUUAAUAACUUAAUGACCUAAUAUUCUCAUUAAUUUAAAAAAAAAACCGGACUUAGUGUCUUAACUUGCUGAAUUAAAUCAAUUAUGUCAAUAAGUAUUAAAAAAAAAAAAAAGCAAACAGCCCCUAAAUUGGGGAAUUUAAAAACUUGAUUCAUAAGGGCAAUACCACAGCUAAAAUUGCUUAUUUAUAAAAUUGACCCUAAUAUCAAUUUUUAUUUACAAAACUACCCCACUCAAAGAUAAUUUUUUCAAUAGGAAAUUAAAACAAAUUUAUUUUGAGUAGGAUUAAUUGCCCCCAAACCCUAAAAUGUAGACCUGUCCCAGAAUAAAAUAACCAUUCACCGAAGCUCUUCUAUUGAGGGCCUUCAAAGGAAUAUAGGAAAAGCCACUUGCCUUAUUAAAUAACACUGGCGUCAACGAUAACUUUGAAGUAGCUGUAUCUCUAGAGUGCUUAUGAAUACCCAAAAUAUUGGGCCCUUAUCAAUAAGACAAUAAUGUUACAGGUCCUAAUUCAAAAGCAGAAAUUAAGUCCCCUAAUCUACCUCCAACAAUGUAUUUAUAAAUAAUGAGUUUCUUCCGCAAGUUAAGAAUAUAAAUACACUCUUAUAUAACUGAAUAAAAUUCUCUUCUAGCUCAUCAUUCUUAAAUACACAACCCUAUAUUUUACUUAAGAGCUAGAGUGUUUUUUACACUUAAGCACUUAGUAAACAGCAAGCACAAAAAAAAAAAAAACUAUCAUUUAUUCGUGAAGGUAAAGAAAAAGUGAAAAACACCGCUACAAUAUGUAAAUAAAAGAAGGGUCUCAAGAGACAAAUUAAAAAUGAAGUCAUGCUACUCUCACAAGUUGAGCCCAAUAAAGCACUAUGAGCGCGUCACUCCUUCAAUUAUGCAAUAAUUAAGUUGGGGUAAUCUUUGCAUAAUUAAGUGGAGAUAGUUUUUUUUUUUAUAAAACGCAAGUGGAAUAAACGUCUCUUAAAUAUUAGUGAAGAUAAAAAUAUGAAAGUAUUUCAUAAAAUUUAAUGUAAACUAAUUUCAGUAUUAGUUUGAUAGUCAAUAUUAGUAGUAAUCUUAUAUAAUAUAAAUUAUAAUUUGAUUGUAGUGACAGUGUCCAAUUUAAAAAAAAAAAAACACUAAGGUCACUGGUAAGGGGCUAGGACGCAGGUCGAAAGUGUUGCAGGGAAGAUGAGGAAGCUAACAGAAAAUCAAUCAAUUUCUUUUCAAAAUUUUACAUUUGGGUGACAUAAAUUUAUAGAUUUUAUAUUCUGCCUCCUUAAGUUUACAAUCUCUUCAUUUUAGCCUGUACCGAAACAAAAUCUUUGGAUGGGCCACCACUGGUCAUAAUUGGUCAAAUCUUUCAACGACCUUAGCUCUUGAUUGAAUGAACUGAGUAAAAACGGUUUCGAAACGGCUCAAAAUUCUUGUGUAAAGCGGAAAUGGCGGACGCUGACGUGCCAAAGUUGAGUGGCUAAAAAGUUAGUUAAGUUAGUUGAGGAUUGACAGCAAAUGCCAAAUGGUAUCUGAGCGAUUGGUUUUCUUCAUGGAUGUGGCCUGUGGGUCUGAAAGGACGAACCACUAAUAGUUUCGUGUCAUCUUUUUGUUAUAUCCUCUUGCAUUCAUUGUAUUGGAUGUUUAAUGUUUUUAGGCUAAUUACUGUGACAUCUUUGAUUGGUCCUUCAUGCAUGAUUGAUUUUGAAAAAGAAAAGCAAAAGUGAAAUAGAUAACGUUCAUUAUUCUCACUUUGUAUUACAACCUGCUAGCUUUUAUUGCUAGAAGUACAUACAAGCUAAUAAAGUAACAGUCACCAUAAACCCAGUGACUUCAAUCCAUGGCCAUUCAUUCCAAUUCAAGGCAGUGUGUAAGCUGCAAAACCAACAAUUAUGAAAUUAGGAAGCUAGUGACUAAUGAGGCAAAAUUAUUUAAAAGGCCAAGAAAAAAAGUCUAGGAACUAAUCAAGAACACUUACGUCCACACUUGUAACCAACUGGGCGAUUAGCGAAGUUGCAGCGUUUGGGGAUGGUGAUAGCAACUUGAGGGUUAACUCCAGAUGCUUUGGCGGUGUCCGAAAGCAGAACGGCGCAGAGACAUUUCGGGUUCUGUCCCAUUCUCUUCACCUGAGCACAGCAGCUUCCAGAAACAGAAGCUUUCUCAUCUUGUGCAGCCGUUGCGCAAGGAGCUAGUUUGAUUGCCUCAUUAUCUGGUGACGAUUUUCCACAUUCUCCUGCCCCAUAAACUCUUGCAAAUGUGGCAACGUUAACAACCAGAAGCAAGCCAACAAGGCAGACGAAUUUGAGUGAAGCUGCAGCCAUUUCGAUCCUCUGUUUUUCACAAUGCGCAAAGUAAAUCCUCAACUAUAUACCCCACGAUGCUAAAGCCCUAUCAUAGUCGAGAGUUUUUAUACUGCAAAAUGAGCUCUAUAUUAGUGGUCACACUCAUUACCCACUAAUCCGAAUGGAGGCGGCACUAAAGCGUUGUAGUUGGGAGCACUUGGCUUCAGGAAGAUUGGUGAGUCGCAAUGUUUAUUUUGUCCUUCUUGUCCAAUCAAGGGUUGAUAUAUAUUUUCCAUAUAAAUAUGAUCCCAUUUUUAUAUCUUUCCAGAUGUUGCCAUUUGAAUAGCAGUUGAUGGCCUCCAAAAGCUCAGUAUGAAGCCAACUCAUCUUCAAAUCUAGAAGUACUCCAUUACUAAUCACCAACGGCGAAAAAACUAGAGAGCCUCUUUCAAUAAAGCUAUCAUUCUCUGGAUACGUGUAACCAAAUUAUUACUACCUACGACAGACCACAUUGCGGCGUGGCCAAUAUCUAAGGUUCAUGGAACGAGCAGACCAACUUUAAAACUCUAACCAAAUUAGGUUAAUUUCAAAUGGUUCAUAGUACCAUUUCUCAACUUUUGCAUGCAAAAGAACACAUUUUAUGACUUUCAUUCAUUUGUUGGAUGACAAGAUGUAUUAUACUAAGGCCUUGUUUGGGAGUGGUGCGCAAUGGCAUGGCUUGGCUACCACAAUUACAGCACUUCCAUGCGCAAAUUAAAGUGAAAAGUUCUUGGUUUGUAGCUGCUUGGCUGCUGCAGCGCAGCACUAGCAAACGGGAACUUAAAUGAAUGUCAGUUUAUUACUAGGAUGAACAUAGCCACCAAAACAAAAAAAAAAAAAGGCUGAACAAAGACAUUAAAGGCAGAUAAUCUAACAUAGUUUUUACCACAUCCUAAAAUACGAAGUGGGCUCAGAUAUUUAUUGGUGAAUAGGAUAUCGCCGUUGCCGGGGAUCCCGGGUCGCCCGCGUGACAGGCGGUAAAUACUCACCACUAUACUACAACGACUUUGCAUCGAGUGUUUGAAACAAUAAAAAAAUAACUAUAUCAAGGCGAGGUGGGCCAACCCAGGACCGCUUGAGGGGAAGAACAGGAGCGUUGCAGUUUGCUGAACUCGGUCGUACAUGAAAUUUUAAUUAUAAUUUUAUUGUAUUGAAAUACUCCAAGCAAAGUCGUUGUAGUAUAGUGGUGAGUAUUCCCGCCUGUCACGCGGGUGACCCGGGUUCGAUCCCCGGCAACGGCGUACUGAAUUUUUGUAUGGCCCAUGGUGGUGGUGAUUUGGUUUUGAUCAUAUUUGUGAUUUUAAAACCCUCAAAUCGAGUCCACAACAAGGGCAUUUGGUCUAGUGGUAUGAUUCUCGCUUAGGGUGCGAGAGGUCCCGAGUUCAAUUCUCGGAAUGCCCCAUUUCUGUUUUCUUUUUUGCUUCAUCAUCUUACCCAUUUUUUUUAUUUUUGAAGUUUGAACUGUUUUAUUUUACCUUAUAGGGGUGGUAAUUUGUGGGCUUGGGCCAGGCUUUUUCGAAGCUCAUGCCUAAGUUCACACUGUCCAAAUAAAGUUCAGACCCUUUAAAAAUCCGUUCAAUUUGGAUGGAUGAGCUUAGGUCGGACUCAUGCUUUUUUAUUAAUUAUAAAAUAUUAUUUUUAAUUAAAAAAUAUUUAAAUUAAAGAUAAUUAUCUAAUACAUAAUAGAAUAAUAGUCCAAUGUAUAAAAUAUUAGUAAUAAAACCUAAUAAAUAACAAAUACUAAUAUAAAAAAUUAAACUAAUUUAAUAUUUUGAAUUUUUUUUAAUUAAAUUUAUUUUUUAUUUAUAAAUUAAAAAAGCUCAGGUCAAGUCCAAGUUUUUUUGUUAAGCCUUUGUUCAGAUAUAUGCGGGCUUUACAUUUUUUGAGACCAUAUCCAACCCUAACUGGCGGGGCUUUAGGCCCACCGGCCUAGGGUGGACCUGGGCCGGCCCAGACUUUUUUGCCCUUCUGAUUCUAUCAUUCUAAGGGAAUAGCUGCAUAUAUAAGCACAUUCCUGGAUAAGCCAUUACGAAAAAGAGGUACUGGACUCAUUAUCGUUAUAGGUAUCUCAUUACCACAGAUUUUAACAUCAUGAUAAGCUCUCGGUAUCCAAACGUUUACCCAUUGCUAUGAAAAGUAUACAUCAAAUAACUAAGUACGGUGAAAAGCUCUCAAAGCUUUGGCUCAUAAUCCCAUCCUUAAAAUCCCUUCCUCCACAACUCGGUUUUUUGUUGGUGAGCUUACUGCUUUUUUUGUACACUCAAAUGAUUCUGUUUCAGUUUGAGAUGGAGAUGCUUCUCGAAUUAUGUUUAACGUGGAAUCUGCUUCAUCAAUUGAAUUGCUGUAAUCUUUCCCUUUGUUCUCAAUGCUAAGAUAAUCUGUCAAUGCCUUUUUCACACCCAUACCACGCUGGGGAAUCUUGCUGCUCGUGCGGAAUGGAGAUAUAUCUCCCUUUGCGGGGCUAACGAGUGCUGGUGAAAGGGUUGGUGUAGCGAAAGCUGAUUUAUAUGGAGUGCUCGAGAAAGGCACUGAGUAUGGGAUUGAGAUACUCUUAUGAGCAAUCAUACCACCUUUUGACAUUGGAGAGAAAGAGUCUGAAUGUUUGGUCAGGUCAUCCACAUAAAGUAGAUCAUCAAUACGUGCCACAAUGUUAAAUGCCAAGCUCUCCAAAACUCUUGAGUAACUCUCCAAGAUGGACUUCCCAACAUCCUAAAUAAUACAGUGUGGCAUAGUUAGUUUAAACUAACAAUCUAGUAUGACAUUGAAAUUUAAAAGUGCUAUUAUGAAUAAAUUAUUGGACUGGUGCACGAUAUGCGUACCUUGUUAUACUGAAUUUUGCUCAUAUCUAGAGUUGUCUGGGGAAGACCAGGGAACCACUGUUUCAAGCAAAGUAGGAGGCUUUCUGCUCGAUCUGCAAGUAAUUCUCUCUUCUCUGUAUCAACAACAAAUUCUUUGACCAAUCCCCAUGAUGACUUUGAACUGGACCGGGUUGUGCUAUUGGCAGGCUUAGAAUUGGUUCUUUUGCGCCACACAUACAUUGCAGCCUCUACCCGGUUGGCAAUCUCUGUAGCUUGAUGUUCAGAUGACAAAUCAAGGCAUUCAAGCAGAUAUUCCGGAGAAAACUGAUCUGAUGAAAUGUAUCGAUAAAUAAGAUCUCCUAGGCUGACUCUUCCAUUCUGAAACCAAAAUAAAGCUCAGAUUCACAACACGGCCUAUUUGGAUCUCAUAACACUAGAUAUAUAUGUAGAGGAUUUUACCUUUGGAAGAGACUCAAAGUAUGAUUCAGGGACUUCCAUGUCGGCUAGAGUAAUGCUGUUGAUAGCCAUGGCAGCUUUUAGUAUUUGGUUAGUACAAUCACGCUUGUGCUGCAACUGCUUUCUUGUAUUUUCAUGGAGACCACCAAGAGGAACCCGAGGCACAGGUAGCCACCACUUUUCCUCCUGACGCUGUAGGGCUCUUCGGAAAGAGGUUGAGCCAUCAGCCUCUGAGGCUAGAAUCCCUUGGUCAACAUACCAGAACUCUGUAUUUUCGAAACUGUCCAAUAUUUCCUGCCAAAAAAGAUUGAAUUCAGAAUGACCUUAUUCACCUGGAACAAGUUACAAAGUCAAAAGUGUUGCUAAAUCUUACCAGAAGCAUGUUAUCUAAUUUGCGCAGAGCCGGAAGGUUAAUGUAGAGAUCUGAUCUGGGCCUGCAAGUCAUUACCUGCAGAUAAUGUCAAAUAGAUGAUGAGAACAAGUUACAGCAUAUCAUUUUUCUGACCCUCAGAGAUAAUGCUUUUCUCCUAAUAAUACACAUACACUGAUCCAGUUAGCCGUCGUGAAUUAAGAAGCAAAUAAUUAGGAUGUACAAUCCAAUGAAAUUGAAUGACCCCAUGAGUUUUAUAUAAAAUUUGAUGCUACAAAUUCAAAAUAAAUAAAUAAAUAUUAUAAUGCAAAGCAAUUGCUAGUCACUUGGGGUAUUUCAAAAGUGAACAAUGUUAUUGGAAAAUAAAAAGCUUAGAGCUUUACCUCAAGCUUGCUACCAUCUGGAAAUGUUUGCCAAGAGGGUGUCAGCUCAACAAUGUGAUCACUCACACAAAGAAACCAUUCCAUCUCUCUUCGCCACAUGGCUUUCUUCUCAAGGGGAAGUGGUUCCAACCUCCAAAGUUGCCCAAACAAGGUAGCUGCAAUGCAAUAUUGAUCAGACCAAGAGCAAUCACUAUCAUAGAAAAGCCAACACAAAAAUUACAUCAUCAAAUACAUACAAUAAUUAUAGAAAAUUCAUCAAGCAAUAUAUUAAGCAAAGAAAUUUGUAAGCUAGCUUACGUACCACAAAGAUUAGUGAUGGCAUUUGAAAUAGCUAAUGCAGUUGAAACCCCAUUUCCGCAACCUGACAUAUCUUCUCCAAGCAGCAAUUUUGCAAACCUCUCCUUCAUCAUUUCAACGUCUAUAAUGCCAAUCACAAAUAAUCAAACACAUUAUCAAAAGAAAUUAAUUAUAGAGUCUAAAGAGAAACGUAGAAAAGAAAAUACCCGGAAGUGUUGAGCCUUUUUUCUCCAAAUCCAAACGUGAUUUCUCUAUUUUUUCAUUACCAUCAACACUACUACUAUCUUGUGCCUCAGCUUUUUGUACAGGCCACCCUAAUGGAGGAGAAGACGAUUCCUCAGAGCUACUGUGGCUCUGCUCCUCAUGUCCUGUUGUCUCAGAUGUCAAAAAAUCAGAACUUGAACUGCUCUCGCGACCUUUCUCUUCAAUCGACUCCCCAAAUGUCUCCACUCUGCUCACAUUUUCACUAAACUCGUCAUGCUUAAUCUCUUCGUUGCCUUCAGUUUUCUCUACACUCAAACCCUCCAUUGUCGCUAACUCUUCUUCAACUAGCUCGGGCGUUGAACAAAAAACAGAAUUGUUCACUACCAUAACAUUACAUUCAAGCCGUUUCAAGCCACACCCACUUGGGAAUCCAACUCUGCAGUAAAACUUUUUCCAAGAUUUUGACACCCAGAAACCGAAAAGAGAAAAUGGGCUUGAGUUAUCAAAGCCUCUAACCUUCACUGCUGGUACACGAGGCUUAAGCUGGUAGCAUUGUUGUAGCUGUUGAGGGUCUUCUCUUUCUUCUUGGUGAAUGAAAGCGCUAUCCAUAAGGUUUCAUUUUCAAGAACCAUUUCUGCUUCUAUUUGAAGGGUAAAACAGAAAGGGGAAAAAAAAAUUAUGUGUGUUACUUGUGAAAGGAGCGUUGUAAAUUUAUGCUUAAAUCAUGUGUAAGAGACUACACACUGAAGUUCGUCGUGAAUAUUACUGAUGCUUGACAAAACAUAUGACAUGUGAAGCAAGAGUUAGAGGCUCUCUCCUGUCCUUGAAUAUUUAUGAGCUCUGUUUUAGUCUUAGAUUUAUUUUAGGCCACCAUUUUUCACUUUUAAAGCAGAGAGAGAGAGAGAGUCAAUAAAAAUAAAAUGCCUGUGAAUCUGUGGCUCCUUUUCUCUCUCUUUGGCUUUGCUUUUGCUUAGACAAGGCUCCUAAUUAUAAUGAUAAUCAUGUAUUAAUAACACUUAGUUUGGUUCAAAAUAAUAAUAAAGUAAAGGCAAUAGGAAAUUGGGAACCGUGUAAACGACGGAUCUAUCAACGAUGCCUCCCAAUUUAUCCUUCAUUAUGUUUCUAACUUGAACUUCCCAAGACAAUGGGCUACGUUUUAAUUUCUAAACUUCAAGGACUAAACUAACCUUUGCUAAUUAAUUAAACUCCCUUAGUGCCAACUUGUUGCAUGGUAAUCGAAAAUGAAAAUUUAUUUUAUUUUUUUCAUAGACAAGUUUCCGUGGGAAAAUAUAUCUGGAAAUUGAUCGGCUAUAAUCGUUCCUAUGUUUGAAGGGUUCUAAAAAGGAUAACAGAAAAGGAUGCUUUGUCAUGGAGGGCAAUGAACAGGAAUCCGAUGGACGGCAGGGUAGUUUGGUAAUUUAAUCAAUGCAGAGGGGUUUUUCAAUAGCACGUGUCUUGGAUAUGGCCAACAAAUUACUUUAAUUAAUUCCAACAUCAUUAGGGUUUAAGGGCAGGGUGCUAUUCUAUUACGAGUAUUAUCCAAUAUUUUUAGGGUUCGAAGGGCACUGUAGUAAUUCCAAUUAUGUUAUUUUCAAAUUUAUUAGCUCUCUAAUCACUUGGUGAGUCCAUACAGUCUCUUCUAAUUAUUCUGGUGUAAAUAGAUGACCUCUCUAAUAAGUCACAAAUAUAAACUUAUCAAAAUAUGCAGUAGAUGUGUGAGUUAAUGCUCUGAAUUGAUUCCAUUAAAUUUUUUUCAUUAUAAGAUAUGAGUGGAGUUCUAAUUUUUAUCAUAUGGGUGUUCAAAAAAAAAUAAAUUAUACUUUUGUUUUUAUACAAGCUACUUUCUUGUGCCAUAUGCUUAAUUUUGAUAUUACUUUUGUUUCCUAGUAACAUUAAAAAAUAAACAAAGUGUGAGAGAAAGAUGAAAAUAAUUUAUGAAUAGGAAUCUAAUGAGUGCAACAAACUAAACCUGAUGAUUAUCUCAUAACAAACACCAACAAUGAUAACGAAAGUGACAUUAUUGAAGUUGUAGUUCAAGAUCAAGAUCUCAUGACAGGAAUAUUUAAUUUAAGCACACUCUUUACGAUCCUAAUGGCUUUGGUUCCCGUCAGGUUGGUCUUUCUUUUUGUAACUUUCCUUACAAGAUUUGAUGCUUUUCGGCUCCCUUAAUUCUCUCAUCUGUGAUCAUUCUGCCGGUUGUUCAAACUUAACCACAUUUGAAAACGAAGGCUCCUCCCAACGGCUACCAUUACCAGGUUUGUUAAGCUGAUGUUGACAUUUAAUUUGAAAAUACCCCAGAGGGAAAAUUUCAGAAAACUUCAUUUGCAAGCUCAGUUUUGGGUUUUUUUUUUUUUUUUAAAAAAGAGUAAAGUUAUGGUAUAUAACUUUGUUUUAAAGACUGAUCUAUUUUCUUUAUAAAAGUGUAUUUAUAUAUGUGUUUGUGUACGCCCAAAUGUAGUCUUCUUAUCCGGGCUUUAUUUCAAUUUUUGAAUGCUGAACAUUCGAAUGGGCUAGCCAAACUUUUUAGCUCAUAUCAGACAAUGUGCAUGGAAUUGGAAUCUAUUCAAAAAAUUUUGUUACCAGCUGUUGGGUAAAACUAUUUAUGGCAUUACCCGCCUGGGUGCCCGUGAAAGAAGUGAAUGAGAAUGUUUGAAAUAGUGUUUCCAUAACUCAUCCUGUUUUUGAAACUUGAAUAACAAUUUGCAGGUGUUAUUAACCCAUGAAAUUUGGAUGGUGAAUUUUUCGUUUUCGUCUUUUUCAAUACAAGUCUACUUAUUGGUCCAUUAAUGGAGGUCAUUCUAAAGUUAGUCCAUAAUUUUCAGUCAUGACUCGGUCGAUGGAGCAUUGCGUACGCUAGAUAGAAAUGGUGUGGUGGUUUUUAUGUCCUGUUAGGAAGACUUGUAAUUUGUUGGGUGAGAUUUAAGCCCAAGAUCCUACAAAAUUGACAGAGGACAGAAUCUUUAUGGCUUUCUCAUGGACUCUGUUUUAGCCUUGAAGGGCCAAUCAGAAAAGGGCUUUGAGUUUAGCCCAAUCCAAAAUGAAAAAAAAAAGUCCAUCCAGAUUUUGUUUGAGUUUGGUGGUCAAACAGGCUUCAACUUUGACCAUUUCAGCCUGCGGGAUUACAACUGCUUAUCUGCCGCAACAAAACAGUCGCCAUAGCUUGCAUCAUCAGUGAUCUUUUGAUCCCUUGGAUCUUCAAAGUCUUUUGGACUCGCUCUAUACUCGUGCGUGGAAAGUUACCGAAAACUGCCCAGAAAAUUAUAUAUACAAUGAAGACUAAAUGAAUCAGAAUAAUCUACACUAAAAAAAAGGAAUGCGUGUGUGUGUAUACAGUGUUUCUCUUAUACUAGCGUCCUCUUUUUCUUUUUUUUUUUCCUUUUUAUGAAGAUAUAUUAUUAGAUCUUAUGAUUCAGUACAAUCACACUAUUAAAUAAUAUGAUUUUAUAGUGAAUUAAACACUAAUUUUUUUAAAAUCAUAUGACUAAAUAGUGUGUCCACAUAAAAAAAAAAGAGUAUGUCGGUAUCUGAGAAUUUUUAUAUAUGAAAAAAUAAAGGAACUCUUAAUUUAUGAAAAUUAAAAAUAAGUAAAACAUUCAUUCCAAUGCAAUAUAUUUUAUCUUAUAAUGUAUUGAAAUAUGUUUUUUUUUGUCUUUUAUUUUAAUAACUUAAAGAAUCAUUCGUACUUAGUGUUUAUUGAAUUCGAGCUUAGAAUUCAGGGAAGAUUUAUGGUACCAUAAAUCAGUUUACAACAUUAUAAAAAUCGAUUUACAACAUCGUAAAUCCGUCCUACACUUUAAUUCCAAAUAAAAAAAUCUUUCUCAUUAUAUAUAUAUAUAUAGAGAGAGAGAGAGAGAGAGAGAGAGAGGUGUCCUACGAUGAGGAUUAUCAAUCCAUAAUCAAAAUUUAAAUCACCGUCCCCAUUGUAUAUUUUUUUCAAUUUUUAAUGUUCAUGUAUUCAAUUUUCUAACUACUAACCGUUGACAAUUUUGAUCAAAAUCUCAUAAAUACUGUAGAGGAGCUAAAUGAAACUUGGUGGCUAAGUAACAAAACGCUGAUCAUCAAUCCAUAAAUAGGCAUGGGGCAUGGAUAAUCAAACACAAAACAAUAAUAAAGUAACAUAUAUAAUAUGGCUCAAGUGCAGUUGUUUGGAUUAUGGGGAAGCCCUUUCAGUUGCAGAGUAGAGAUAGCUUUGAAACUGAAAGGAGUCGAAUACGAGUACAUAGAAGAAGAUCUUUCUAACAAGAGCCCUUUGCUUCUACAAUACAACCCCAUUCACAAGAAAGUUCCUGUUCUUGUCCACAAAAGAAAGCCAAUUGCUGAGUCACUUGUCAUACUCGAAUACAUUGAUGAGACCUGGAACGAACGCAAUCCCAUCUUGCCUCACGACCCCUAUGAACGAGCCACGGCGCGAUUCUGGGCGAAGUUCAUCGAUGAAAAGGUUAAUGUAAUUUACAAUAUUAUGCAUAAACAUAUGUUUAUUGAAUUAAAUUUCAGUGCUUUUGCUUAUUUCUUGCGGUUAUGAAUUUAGUGCAUCUUUGCUCUGUGGAAAGCCUGCUGGAGUGAAGAGAAAGAAAGGGAGGAGGCUGCGAGAGAAGCCUGCGAGCACUUACAAACGCUAGAAGAUGUGCUCAAAGAUAAGAGGUUCUUUGGUGGAGACAUGAUCGGGCUAGUUGAUAUUGUUGCGAACUUCAUGGGCUUUUGGCUCGGAAUCAUUGAAGAAGCCACGGGAGUUAAGUUAUUGACAGAAGAGAAAUAUCCGAAAUUAUACAAAUGGAGUGAAGAGUUUGUCAAUUGCAGCGCUAUCAAGGAAAAUCUGCCUCCAAGAGACAAGCUUCUUGCCUAUAUGCGUGCUCGUUAUGGAGUGUCCAUAACUUACUAGAAUGUUAAUUCUAAAUAUGGGUGAUGUUAAUGUUACUUCUUGCUACCCAUGUUGUGGUUUAUGCUUCCUUAUAUAUGUAAUGUCAUGUGGCGCUUUUUAGUCUGGUUUUAGUGUCGGCCACACCUAUUGGGCCACUGAAAUAUGAUGUGUUAUGGCAGAUUGCACUUGUUUUCUAUUUGACAUGAAAUAAGACAGUAUUUAAUAUAUUUUCUGGAUUUUUUCUAUUAUGUCUUCAGGUUUUUCGAUAAAAUGCAAGCAAGACUAAAACAAUUUAAAAGGUAGCUCAUGUUUAGCUUGGGCAAAACCAAAGAAAAACUUGUCUAAGAAAGAAUCCAUUGUUCAUAACUCGUUGAAGAAAUAAGGUGUUUGAUGAAAUGCCUGUGAGAGGGAAUUUCGGAGUUAAAAUUCCGCCACUCAGCACCGAUGACUUGGCAGUAAAUAAAAUGGAAAAUGAUGACACAUCACUAAAGUUUAACUACAAGUAACUUGAGUUGGAUUGAAGGUUCAAGGGAUAAUAUGUAUACCAAUAGUAAUGAUAUGGUUCUUCAUUUGGAAUACAAAUUUAUAUCUCAAGUUCGAAAACAUGUCAUUACUCUAAUAACAAUAAAUGAAUGUCAUAUAUAUAUAUAUAUAUGCUUAUUCAUCUUUUCUCCUCAUAUAACAAAUCCAUGAACAAUCUCAUGAACUGCGGCCAACUUCAUUUGAUGACUCAUUUAACAAAUUCAACGUAAUUAUCACAGUUGAGCUUCGAAUUUUAUGUAUUUGGUAUUUUAUUCGUCUUGUGGGAUCCAAAAAAAUCGUAAUUGGGAUAGCUACAAUUGGUUUAAAGCAUAAGAAUGAUUACACAAAGCUUCAAACCAAAAAUAUUCCAGGGAUUUAUGGCCGUUUAUUUAAUCUGCCCCCGGUUGUUGGACCGUCCGCCGUCGGGUAAUUAGCUGCCACUGCCUUUUUUUUUUUUAACCAAAAUUUAUACAUUAGGUCUUGCCUAAUAAUUUUUACCAAACACCAAAACCUUUUCCUUAACAGUUAUAGUUAUUAGGGUGCAUUUGGGAGAGAGGUGUUGUAGCUGUUCUGGAGUAAAAGUUAUAGCUGUGGAGUAUAAGCUAAUGGUGUUCGGUAAAGGUGUUGUAGCUUUUAAAUUGUAGUUGCUAAUGGUGUUUGGUAAAGGUACUGUAACUUGUAAGCUGCAGCUAUUGAUUUUGUUUGGUAAAUUUUAAUAGUUGUGGAGUAGAUGAAUAUUUGUAAUAAUUAAUUUUAAAUAACAUUAUUUUUAAUUGUUAACAAAUCAAAUUAUUUUUCAUACUUCGAAUUAUUUUAUUGACAUACAAUUACGAUUUAUUACUUUACAAAUUAAAUUAAUAUUUAUUUGUUAACAAUCAAAUUUAUUUUUUUGCACAAGUUGUAAUAAAUAAUUUUUAAAACAUAUCAUGGGGCCAAUUAUAAAUAAUUUUAAAUAACUAUUGUUGACAAUGCCAACCGGGCAAUGUAAUUUUAAAAAUUAUCCCAAUAGAAUAUUUUUAUUUAUUAUUUUUCCCCCACAAAACUCUAGAUAUUAUCAUAUUUUUUAGUGUGUUUUAUAAAUUACUUGGUGGACUAUCUAUCCAUUCAAACCCAGUUUAAGUUUUGCUUCGGUUUGUACAUGAUAUGAUUAAUUGAGUAUUAUUUAUUAUACCAAAUAUAUCUAAUAAAGAUCAUACAACAAAACAUAAUAAAAAAUUUCUAUUGUUGUUCCUCCAUUAAACUCGCAGCAAUGCCAUCUCUCAAGAUUAUUAUAUCUUGAGUUGUGUUAUCAAUUGUUUCAUAACUUUCUUCAUGAGAUUCAAUAUUGCUUAUAUGUUUGUUAUUUCAUCAAAAUGAUCAUAAUUUUGUGAAUAUCUUCUGAUAUAAUUAUGUAAGGUCAUGGUAGUAAUAACUAUUUUCACCUGCUUCUUGAGUGGAUAGCUUGGCAUAUUUCGUAAAAUCUUUCAUGUAUUCUUCCAAACCCUAAAAGUACGCUCAAUAACACUUCUCAAGGAAGAGUGCUUGCAGUUGAACAAUUCUUUAUAACCUAUUUGUUGGCUACCUCUACGAAAUCCAGGAAUAACCCUUAUAAGGUCCUAAGUACCCACAUAACUUCGGAUAUCUUGCAUCUACUAAAUAGUAUUUUCCUAAAAAUAAAAAGAAAAAUACAAAAAAAAUAACACAAUCUAAUCAAUUGAAUAAGUAUUUAAAAAAAAUUAGAAAUACAAACUUGGAGGAGGAUUUGGAUAAUUGAAUGCAGGAUUCGUAAUAGUUGUUUGAAAUACCCUUGCAUCAUGGGCACUGCCUUCCCAACCAGCCACUGUAAAUAUGAAUUGCAUAUCAAAUCUACAUACAGCCAUUACAUUCUGAGUUGGUGUCCCUCUUCUACCAAUAAAUAGAAUUCGAUCCUCCGAAGAUAUUGAGGCAGGUAUAUGAACACCAUCAAUAGCACCAAUACAAUCCUAAAAGUAUCACAAGCAUAUAUACAUUAAUCAUUUUAUGAAGUGGUUAGGUUUGUAAAAGAAAAUUAAUAAAUUAAAUUAGCUUUAUCAAUUACCUUAAAGUAAUGUAUAUAUCUUGAAUCUUCAGAUAUCUCUUUGGGAGUGAUAAUAAAGUCAGGAUCCAACAGUUUUAUCAAAUCUACGAACAUGCGACACAGACUAUCUAAUACAUUGUCAAAAUAUCUACUCAUAGUAUCACCAGAAUGUUGGAACCGCUCCAUUAUUGACCGAUUUCCUACACUUUUUCCUAGUAUAUACAAAAGCAUUCCUAACAUCUCAGCGCCAUAUGCUCUCCUUGAACUCUUUAACCCAUAAUUAUCUUCUAAGCCAGUGCAUAAUCUUAAAAAUACAUCAUUGUUCAUUCGAAAUAUGUUAAAGCACCUGCUUACAUUUCCACCAAGUGUUUCUAUCAACUAUUUAUGCCCUAGUUAAGUAGAAUUCAUACAAGGCUCCUUAUGGAUAAAUGUCAAAUAAUAAUGAUGCAUCAAAACAGAUGUUACACAAACAAGCUGGUCAAACUCCUUUUCAUCAUUAUCCAUAUUUUUAGAUCAAAUCUACAACUGAUUAUCUAAAAUUAUAAUGGGAUAAUUCAAACUACUAGCUAGCCGAAUUCAGACUCCACUCUCAAAGUAGAUUUAUGAUUGGCAAUAAUCUUUUGAAUUUCAUUAUGUAUUGUUCGUAAAAAAAAGGGAAUAAUGAAAUAAUUGCACAAGUAAUUGGAUUCAUUGUUGAAAUAUAAAACACCAUUCAAUAAAAGAGUAAAAAAAAAAACAUGAAAACACAUUAAGUCUGAGAGCUUGAAGUUGUGUUCCUUUUCUCUAUUGCAUCAAUGAGACGAUCAAGCUGCCUUGACAGUUUUACAACAUCUCCUACUUUGUUCCCUUUUACAACCACUCUUUUGCCUUUGCUUCCCUUACUAUCAUCAAACACGAUAUACUCAUCAAAGUCAGCAGUACUCUUAACACGAAGAGAUUCAGACGCGUCAUUACUCUCUAAAGGAAAACCAGAUGAGGGAACCCAAACAUGCUCACCCGUAGCCACAUUGUUCAUGAACAUUAAAUUUAUUUUUUUUCUCCAACUCUAAUACCAUUUUCUUUUCCCACCAUUCCUCACUUGCAUCAACUGUCCUCAACCUAUGAUUUCACCAGUUUCUUACCAAUCAAAUUCUUCCACAAUUUCCAAUUAGUUUUAAAAUAAUCUCAUUUAUUUUUCAUUUGAGUUCUGUUGUAAUCUAAUCCAGUUUCUUUAAUGAACUCCUUAAUUAAAUUUUCAUAUCCUUGGGAAGUCAAAUGAGUCCCAGGACGAUGUCCGACAUCCACCUCUUUAAUGCAUAAGUCACAAAAUACAUCUAAAGUCUAGGCGUUCUAGGUAGCCUUACUAGUUGAGCUACAAGACAUAAUUUCAUACACGUAAACCUAGAAAAAAAAUUUCUUUGUCAAACAACAAUAUAGGAAAAAUAAGAAUAUAGAAGUUGAGAAAAUUACUAGAAUCUUGUUAUGGAUGGUGGAAGGAAAAAUAAUUCGAUAUUAAAAAAAUUCAAAAAAAUAGACAAAUCAGAAAAGUUACUUUACUUUACUUGAAAUACUUUUAAUCAAACACUUAGUUUACUUGAAAUACUUUUCCAACAAACAAUAAUGAUCAUAGCCCACGAAUAGAAACAAUUACAAUCAAUUCAAUAAAGCAACAAAAGACAAACCAAAAAAGGAAACAAAGAAAUACAACAAAACAAUCAUCAUAACCAAGAAAUACAUUUAAAGUCUAAGUUUUGCCAUGAUACAAAGAAUUGGAAACUCAAAUCAAAAUUACAGAAUUUGAGGCAAAUGAACACAAUCCAAAUAAUAGAUAUCAUAAACACAAACUUUAAGAAAACAACAUAUACCACUCAUAAGUGCAUACUAUAAAUUACAAAUUCCACAAGUAAAUACAAACGAAAUUGAAACUUGUUAAAAUAUUAGGGCAUGAACUCUGCUCAAAUAAGUUUGAGAUGGAUUUUUAUUAGGGGAAUUUUAUCAAACAAGGGUUGUGCAUGUCUACAAAAAGCAACUACAAAAAUAAAACUACAAUAAAAACAGUGGUUACAAGCAAAUAAAUCACGCAUGACCCAUCACCUAUCAAUUUAUUCUAAACAAAAGCCCCAACAUAUUAUGAACAAAAAGGAGGAAAAUGAAAAAUUGCAUGUAAUAGAGUAAAAGAGCACUCAAAAAUAAACAAUUGGUAAAGGAAAACACGCCAUUGACAAAGGCGUAUGAGAGUGGCCGGUGUUGGAAUCGCGUUGAUGAGAAUUAUCGGUGUCGAAAUCGUGUUGAUGAGAAUUAUCGGUGUCAGAAUCGCAUCAAUUAGAACUGUCACAGUCGGAAUCAUGCUGACGAGAAUGGGUGUUUAAGGUUUGUUUCACACAAAAAAAAUUCAAUUUGAAAUGAAGCUUAAAAUGAGGAGGAUAAAAUUGAAAGUGAAUAAUAUAUAAGGUUAAUUUAGUUAUUUAAUCUACAGCUGGGAAAAAAAAUCUGCUAAACUGCUAAAACCCAGCUACAAGUGUUACCAAACACCUUAGUAGCUAGACUUUGGCAGCCCAGCUACCUCACCACAAUCCCAAACGAGCUCGAACUCUGCUCAAAUAAGUUUGAGGUGUAUUUUUAUUAAGGGAAUUUCAUCAAACAUGGGUUGUGCAUGUCUACAAAAAGCAACUACAACAAAACCAGUGGUUACAAGCAAAUAAAUCACGUAUGACCCAUCACCCAACAAUCUAUAUAUAUAUAUAGCUGAGACUACAAGAGAUGAUGUGGCAUUACUAUUUCUCAUUUUCUUAUAUUAUCUAUUAUCUAAUAUAUUGGUUGAGAUUAAAAAAUAAUUACAUUACAAAAUAUUAAAAAUAAAAAAUAAUUAUUAGAUUACAAAAGAUUACAUGUCUCUUCCUCUUUCUAUUUAAAUUCAACAAUAUGUAACCAUUAAUAAUAAUCAAUUAUAAGUCUUGAAACAUUCAUUUAUUUUAUUAUGCCAAUAAUUAAACUUUAGUGGCUUAAAAUAUAUCAAUUAAUUAAUAUAGGAAGGAAAUUUCUUUCAUCUUCCCUCAACAAUGUCAUUAGAGCCUAAUUUUAAUGUCAUAUUCUCAUAUAUAAUUAUGCAACAUUUUGUUUAGUACCUUUUGGCUUCUUCAAAUUCUAUAAACAUUAAAUAUUUAAGAUUUGUGGCAUCAUUAUUUAUUAUCUUUUUUAUAUUCUCUAUUAUCUAAUAUAUUAAUUGAGAUUAAAAAAUAAUUACAUUACAAAAUAUUAAAAAUAGAAAAUAAAUAGAAAAUAAUUAUUAGAUUACAAAAGAUUACAUGUCUCUUCCUUUUUCUAUUUAAAUUCAACAAUAUGUAACCAUUAAUAAUAAUUAAUUAUAAGUCUUGAAACAUUCAUUUAUUUUAUUAAACCAACAACUAAACUUUAGUGGCUUAAAAUACAUCAACUAAUUAAUAUAGGAAGAAAGGUUCCUUCAUCUUCCCUCACUAAUGUCACUAGAAAUAUUCUUGUGUUUUUAUUUUUUGACUUAUUUGAAUUUUUAGUAUUGUGUGCUUUAUGAAGUACUCUUUUCUUCAUUAGUUAAAUAAUGAUAAAGAUAGUUGGAUGAUAAAGGUUAAGCUUUGUAGGAUAUGGAAGUCUGUUAAUACCAAGAAGAAUUGAGAAUUGAUUAGUGUGAACAUGAUUUUUAUUUAUGAAAAGGUUGUAUAAAAAAUUUUUUCUCCCAUUGUUUUCUCUAAUUUUUUUCCCAAUUGUUUUACACUUAAUGUAGCAUUUUUUGUUUUUCAUAGGAAAAUCUAAUGCAUGCAACAAUUGGGAAAAAUUUAGUGACAGAGUUUAGGCAUAUGUUGAGUUAGGGUUCUUUGUACAGUGUCAAGAAUUUGAAAAUUGUUUCAACUACAGGCGAGUACAAACCACUUUCAAAUCAGUAUAAGAUUAUUUUCUUGAUUGUAACUUCGCUUAAGAGGUUAGAAGAAAGAAUUUUUAAGAUUUCGAUCAAUGGAUUCCAAUUUAUAUCUAUGAAUUUUAUUGAUAUAUGUUUGAAUGAUAACACAAUCCUCUCGGGUAUUUUUUUUAAUUAUUAAUGUUUGUUCAUCUUUACGUUUAUAUUAGAAAUUAUUGAUCCUUAUGUUUUAACAUGUUUAUGUUAUUUUUCCAUAAUAUUAUAGAUGUUGUCGGAAGUUUAUGAGGUAUGGGUGAUAUUGAGAUCGUUGGAGCUGGUUGGAAAAAAAGAAAUAUAAAAGUUCUAACAGAUUAGUAAGUUGAAUAUAAUUUAGAACUUAUUAACAACUACAAAAGGUAUAAGGUUUGUACACUUAUACUAUACACACUAAUAUAUAUUUUUAAAGUUAACAAAAAAUAAUUAACUUUCAUAAAUAACAUUAGUUAUAAGGCUACCUCAUCUUAAAAAAAAUCAAUUCAUUUUUUUUAUCAGUUUCAUCAAGUGCAAAGUAAGAAAAAAAGAUAAUAUUAAUUUUUUUUUAAAAGCCACAUGAAGGGCGGUUGUAUUUCCCAGUUUAUUAUAAACAAAAGCCUCAACAUAUUAUGAACAAAAAAGAAGAAAAUGAAAAAUUGCAUGUAAUAGGGAGCACUCAAAUAUGAACAACUGGUUAAAAAAAAAAAGCCACCACUGAUAGAGGCGUAUGAGAGUGGUCGGUGUCGAAAUCGUGUCGAUGAGAAUUAUUGAUGUCAGAAUCACAUCAAUUAGAACUGCCACAGUCGGAAUCAUGCUAAUGAGAAUGAGAGUUUAGGGUUUGUUUCACAAAAAAAAAAAUUGAUAUGAAAUGAAGUUUAAAAAUAAGGAGGAUAAAAUUGAAAUUGAAUAAUAUAUAAGGCUAAUUUAGUAAUUUAACCUACAAUUGGGAAAAAAAAAUAUACUAAACUACUAAAGCCCAAUUAUAAGUAUUACCAAACACCUUAGUAGCUAGACUUUGGCAGCCUAACUAUCUCAUCACACUCCCAAACAGGCUCGAACUCUGCUCAAAUAAGUUUGAGAUGGGUUUUUAUUAGGGGAAUUUCAUCAAACAUGGGUUGUGCAUGUAUAUAAAAAGCAACUACAAAAAUAAAACAGUGGUUACAAGAAAAAAAAUCACGCAUGACCCAUCAAUUUAUUCUAAACAAAAAUGAAGAAAAUGAAAAAUUGCAUGUAAUAGAGUAAAUGAGCACUCAAAAAUGAACAACUGGUAAAUGAAAAUGCACUAUUGACGGGGGCGUAUGAGAGUGGCUGGUAUCGGAAUCGCAUCGAUAAGAAUUAUUGGUGUCAGAACGCAUCAAUUAGAACUGCCACAGUCGGAAUCAUGCUGAUGAGAUGGGUGUUUAGGGUUUGUUUCACAAAACAAAAUCGAUUUGAAAUGAAGUUUAAAAAUGAGGAGGAUAAAUUGAAAUUGAAUAAUAUAUAAAGCUAAUUUAGUAAUUUAACCUACAACUGGGGAAAAAAUGUGUUAAGCUGUCAAAACCCAGCUACAAGUGUUAUCAAAUACCUUAGUAGCUAGACUUUGGCAGCCUAGCUAUCUCACUACACUCUCAAACAGGCUCGAACUCUGCUCAAAUAGGUUGUGCAUGUCUACAAAAAGCAACUACAAAAAUAAAAAUAAUAGUUACAAGGAAAUAAAUCACGCAUGACCCAUCACACAUCAAUUUAUUCUAAACAAAACCCCAACAUAUUAUGAACAAAAAGGAAGAAAAUGAAAAAUUGCAUGUAAUAGAGUAAACGAGCACUCAAAAAUGAACAAUUGGUAAAGGAAAACACACCACUGACAGAGGCAUGUGAGAGUGACUGGUGUCGGAAUCGCGUUGAUUAGAAUUAUCACAGUCGGAAUCAUGCUAAUAAGAAUGAGCGUUUAGGGUUUGUUUAACAAAAAAAAUCGAUUUGAAAUGAAAUUUAAAAAUGAGUAGGAUAAAAUUCAAAUUGAAUAAUAUAUAAGGCUAAUUUAGUAAUUUAACCUACAACUGAGAAAAAAAUGUGUUAAGUUGUCGAAUCUCAGCUACAAAUGUUACCAAACACCUUAGUAACUAGACUUUGGCAACCCAGUUACCUCAUCACACUCCCAAACGGGCUCAAACUCUGCUUAAAUAGGUUGUGCAUGUUUACAAAAAGCAACUAAAAAAAUAAAAACUACAAUAAAAACAGUGGUUACAAGCAUAUAAAUCACGCAUGACCCAUUACCCAUCAAUUUAUUCUAAACAAAACCCCAACAUAUUAUGAGCAAAAAAGAAGAAAAUGAAAAAUUGCAUGUAAUAGAGUAAACGAGCACUCAAAAAUGAACAAUUGGUAAAGGAAAACACACCACUGACAGAGGCAUGUGAGAGUGACUGGUGUCGGAAUCGCGUUGAUUAGAAUUAUCACAGUCGGAAUCAUGCUAAUAAGAAUGAGCGUUUAGGGUUUGUUUAACAAAAAAAAUCGAUUUGAAAUGAAAUUUAAAAAUGAGUAGGAUAAAAUUCAAAUUGAAUAAUAUAUAAGGCUAAUUUAGUAAUUUAACCUACAACUGAGAAAAAAAUGUGUUAAGUUGUCGAAUCUCAGCUACAAAUGUUACCAAACACCUUAGUAACUAGACUUUGGCAACCCAGUUACCUCAUCACACUCCCAAACGGGCUCAAACUCUGCUUAAAUAGGUUGUGCAUGUUUACAAAAAGCAACUAAAAAAAUAAAAACUACAAUAAAAACAGUGGUUACAAGCAUAUAAAUCACGCAUGACCCAUUACCCAUCAAUUUAUUCUAAACAAAACCCCAACAUAUUAUGAGCAAAAAAGAAGAAAAUGAAAAAUUGCAUGUAAUAGAGUAAACGAGCACUCAAAAAUGAACAAUUAACUCUUUUUUUUUUUUUUUUUUUAUUCUUCUCUGCAGAAGUUUCAUUAAAAGAACAGAAAUAGGAAAAAGUAUUACAAUUACACAUUAAUCGUAUAAAUCUAUGUUUAUAGAGGCCAAGAAUCUUACACAGCCUUUUGCAAAUACAAUUAGACGGAACAUCCUAUCAAAUACAGGAAGAAAGAAAAAAAAAAUCUGACUUAAAUAUCCACAACGAAAUUACUUUCACCGUAAGUAUAACUAGAGUAAAAAUUUAUUUAUUCUCUAUAUUUUGAUGUUAGUGUUCGUUUAGUUCUUAUAUUUUUAAAAAUACCCUAAAGUAUCCCUAUUGACAUCUUUACCAUUACCUUUAUGUUUCUUUUGACUUAUUUUUACAAUAUUACUCUAUUACAAUAAUGUUUCUUUUUUUAGACAUUAUUAAAAAGAAAAAUUAACUUAUCAGUUUCACACCAAAAAAUAUAUAUAUAUAUAUAAUUUUUUGUGGAACACUCUGCAGAGAGUUAAAAUAUUAAUUUUUCUUAAAAAAUUGAUAGUUUAAUUUUUCACAAAAUUAGUUUUUUUGGACACACAUGAGCUUCAACAAAAAUUAAUAUAUAUCUUUCUGCUGUACCGUACAUCCGCCUUGGCCGUACAGCAGAUGUGUUAAGUUGUCGAAUCUCAGCUACAAAUGUUACCAAACACCUUAGUAACUAGACUUUGGCAACCCAGUUACCUCAUCACACUCCCAAACGGGCUCAAACUCUGCUUAAAUAGGUUGUGCAUGUUUACAAAAAGCAACUAAAAAAAUAAAAACUACAAUAAAAACAGUGGUUACAAGCAUAUAAAUCACGCAUGACCCAUUACCCAUCAAUUUAUUCUAAACAAAACCCCAACAUAUUAUGAGCAAAAAAGAAGAAAAUGAAAAAUUGCAUGUAAUAGAGUAAACGAGCACUCAAAAAUGAACAAUUGGUAAAGGAAAACACACCACUGACAGAGGCAUGUGAGAGUGACUGGUGUCGGAAUCGCGUUGAUUAGAAUUAUCACAGUCGGAAUCAUGCUAAUAAGAAUGAGCGUUUAGGGUUUGUUUAACAAAAAAAAUCGAUUUGAAAUGAAAUUUAAAAAUGAGUAGGAUAAAAUUCAAAUUGAAUAAUAUAUAAGGCUAAUUUAGUAAUUUAACCUACAACUGAGAAAAAAAUGUGUUAAGUUGUCGAAUCUCAGCUACAAAUGUUACCAAACACCUUAGUAACUAGACUUUGGCAACCCAGUUACCUCAUCACACUCCCAAACGGGCUCAAACUCUGCUUAAAUAGGUUGUGCAUGUUUACAAAAAGCAACUAAAAAAAUAAAAACUACAAUAAAAACAGUGGUUACAAGCAUAUAAAUCACGCAUGACCCAUUACCCAUCAAUUUAUUCUAAACAAAACCCCAACAUAUUAUGAGCAAAAAGGAAGAAAAUGAAAAAUUGCAUGUAAUAGAGUAAACGAGCACUCAAAAAUGAACAACUGGUAAAAAAAAACGCAUCAUUGACAGAGAGGUAUGAAAGUGGCCAGUGUCGGAAUCGCGUUGAUGAGAAUUAUCGGUGUCAGAAUCGCAUCAAUUAGAACUGCCACAAUAGGAAUCGUGUUUAAGAAUGAGCGUUUAGGGUUUGUUUAACAAAAAAAAUCGAUUUGAAAUGAAAUUUAAAAAUGAGUAGGAUAAAAUUCAAAUUGAAUAAUAUAUAAGGCUAAUUUAGUAAUUUAACCUACAGUUAGGAAAAAAAAUCUGUUAAGCUAACAAAACACAUAUAUAAAUGUUAUCAAACACUUUAGUAACUGAAUUUUGACAGUCCAACUAUUUCACCACACUUCCAAAUAGACUCUUAGCCCAGUGACUUAAAAGUUAAAGCCAUGACAACUCAUUACCAAAAAAGACACUUAAUUGAGAUUUAUACAAAAGUCUUAUCCCAUGUAAAAAAAAGGUUCAGUACAUUAAUUUGAAUAUGGAAGACAGCCAAAUUUAAACAAAUCAGAUUGGAGUUUGUCCACUAAUGAAAGUGGAUAGUUAAUUUUAAAAUAAUAAGUCUGUUGAUGGAAGUGAAAACUAACAAAACAUUAUCAAUAUUCUUGAAAAUAAAUGGGUAAUUGAAAAAUGUUUAUCUUCCUGUGCAAAUAAUUAAGUUGAUGAGUAGAGCUAUUAGCACCUCUUUAAUCUCCUAUUAAAACUCCUCUUUUAUGUUUACACUUUUACCCUCAUUUAAAAUUACAUUAAAGCAUAGUAUAAAAUGAGAGUACUAAUGACGCUAAUGUUCUAACGAAUAUUUUACAGCCCAGUAUUCCUAUUUUGAUAUCAACAUAAAACAAAUAAAAUAAUUUCAGAGUAGUCUCUUGAAACUAAUUAUUAUGAUGCUAUUUUAAUUAUGUUGCUAACUAUUUGAUUUUUUUUUUAAAUCAAUGAACCAUUUUCUACAAUAGCUAGGAUCCACCACUAACACCCCCUAAACUAUUACUUCUGAAGAAGUUAAUAAGAAGUUAUCUUUGUCCUCGGCGAGAUUGUAGUUCAAUUUAAAAAAUUUAUGCUGAACUUGCAGACUGACAAAUGUGUAAUAUAGUUAUUCACUUUAAAAUUUAAUAUAGCAACUUGCGGUUUACUUAUCAAACCACUCAAAUAUUCCUACCGAUAUAAUAUGUUCAGCUUUCUUAUUUGUCACCAUAUACUUUUGAAAUUGUCAAACUCAUAUGGGAACCUUGAGCAAUUGACAAAUUUUAAUGAACGUAACUAGUAAAGAAAAUGAAUUGCGAGACAAAUUUGUUUAAUUCGUGUGAUAUUUAAAAUUUGACAUAUAGAUGAGCCUUUAGGCAAAAGUGAAUAGGGUUAUUUGUGGAAACUAUUUUAGUGUUAAUAAAAGUAAUAUGAGAUUUGAGAUUUGACAUAUAGAUGAGCCUUUAGGAAAAAGUGAAUAGAGUUAUUUGUGGAAAUUGUUCUGGUGUUAAUAGAAGUAAGAUGAUAUUUUAAAUUAUUUUACGUGGUAUGUUUAGAAAAAAUGUUUUAAGAAAUUAAUAAUUGGGUGCCAAUAGCUCCACUCAAAGUUGGUUAAUUAACAAAGGAUCGCUUAUAAGUAAUCCUAAAUUUGCCAUUAUCAACUUUGUAUCCUAACUCUUUUUUUUUUUUUUUUUUUUAUUCUUCUCUGCAGAAGUUUCAUUAAAAGAACAGAAAUAGGAAAAAGUAUUACAAUUACACAUUAAUCGUAUAAAUCUAUGUUUAUAGAGGCCAAGAAUCUUACACAGCCUUUUGCAAAUACAAUUAGACGGAACAUCCUAUCAAAUACAGGAAGAAAGAAAAAAAAAAUCUGACUUAAAUAUCCACAACGAAAUUACUUUCACCGUAAGUAUAACUAGAGUAAAAAUUUAUUUAUUCUCUAUAUUUUGAUGUUAGUGUUCGUUUAGUUCUUAUAUUUUUAAAAAUACCCUAAAGUAUCCCUAUUGACAUCUUUACCAUUACCUUUAUGUUUCUUUUGACUUAUUUUUACAAUAUUACUCUAUUACAAUAAUGUUUCUUUUUUUAGACAUUAUUAAAAAGAAAAAUUAACUUAUCAGUUUCACACCAAAAAAUAUAUAUAUAUAUAUAAUUUUUUGUGGAACACUCUGCAGAGAGUUAAAAUAUUAAUUUUUCUUAAAAAAUUGAUAGUUUAAUUUUUCACAAAAUUAGUUUUUUUGGACACACAUGAGCUUCAACAAAAAUUAAUAUAUAUCUUUUUUGUUUUUUAUUUUAUUUUUGGGUUUAAUUUAAUAAUCCAAUUUUUUUAUUAAUAUCCAAAAAGAAAACAUUACUGUAAGAGUGUAAUAUUAUAAAAGCAUGCUAAAAAGAAUAAAAAAUAAUGGCACAAGUGUCAAUAUUUAACAACAAGAACGUUUUGAGGUAUUCUUAAAAAUAUAGGGAUUAAAUAGGCACUAACCUCAUAAUAUAUGAACUAAACAAGCUUUUACCCGUAUAACUACAAUGGAAAUGCAAUGCACCUAACUUAUUUAUCUCAUAAUUUUACACAGGUGACAGGUCCCUUAUUUAUUAAACCAUGAAGCAAUUGUUUAAUGAAGCAUCUUAUUAGUGUUUAACCGGAUGGUUUAUGCUAAUAGAACCUCAGUGGACUCUCCACAAUCUCAUCAUCUUUUUUUUUUUUCACUUUCCCUGUGGUCGCCAAAACUAUAAUUUGAUAUGUAGAAGGAUAUUGAGGGGUGCCAAAAAAAUGAAUAAAUAAACAAAUAAAUGAGUGGACAAGCAUGCUUCAAUUUUGCUAAGUAUCAUCACUUCAUAAAUAGGCACGCAACAAUAUCUCCUUUCAGUGCAAGUCAAAUAAGAAGACAAAAAUUAUUAUGGCUGAAGUGCAGUUGUUUGGUCUAUGGGGAAGCUUCUUCAGUCACAGAAUAGAGAUUGCUUUGAAACUGAAAGGUGUUGAAUACGAAUUCAUAGAAGAAGAUCUUUCUAACAAGAGCCCUUUGCUUCUCCAGUACAACUCAAUUCACAAAAAAGUUCCAGUUCUCGUACACAAAGGGAACCCAAUUGCCGAGUCACGUGUCAUACUUGAAUAUAUCGAUGACACCUGGAAAGGCCAUCCCAUUUUGCCAGAAAAUCCCCAUGAACGAGCAAAUGCACGUUUCUGGGCCCAGUUCAUCGAUGAAAAGGUACCCCGACAACAGCUUAAGCUUUUGAGUCGAGUGGUUAAAUCUAACAUGGUAUCAAAACUGAGGUCUUGUUUUUUGCGUUUAUGUAGUGCAGGGUUGCCCUGAGGAAUGCUUACGGGUGCCAAGAGAAAGAACGAGAGGAGGAGGCCACAAGAGAGGCGUGUGAGCUCCUGAAAACACUAGAAAAUGAGCUCAAAGAUAGGAGGUUCUUUGGUGGAGACAGGAUUGGGCUGGUUGAUAUUGUUGCAAAUUUCAUAGGCUUUUGGCUCGGGGCCAUUCAAGAAGCACUUGAGGUCAAGUUGUUUACGGAAGAGAGGUUUCCGAAAUUAUACAGAUGGAGUGAAGAGUUUGUUAAUUGCAGUAUCAUCAGGGAAAGUUUGCCCCCAAGAGACAAACUUAUUUCCUUUAUGCGUCGUCGUUAUGGACUCUCUAGUUAGAAAUCAGGAUGUUAAUUAAGACACGAUGUUAAGUUAUCUCAGCUACACACGCUUGUUAACGACAGAGAGAUAACAAUAACAUGGCAGAUUGCUCUUGAUUCUAGUUCUUUUUGUACUAUAGGCUUGGUUUUUUAUUACUUUCAUUUUCAAAAUGUAGCCAAAGUUCAACUUUACUAGUAACCCCACAUAAGCUACCAAUCUUUAAGCUCCAACUUGUCCUAAAAUUAUUUAAGAACUCAAAGCAAGCAUCCCUUUUGUUAUUGUAAUCUUAUUGGCUUGAGGGUCCAUAACGAGAUUUUGAUGUGGUCGAUUUUAGGCUACAUGUCUCAGAUGUAGCAUAAAAUAUAUUCAUAGGCAUUUUAGAAAUUAGUCGUCGACUAGGGUCUCUAUUAAAGUAUAACAUAGCAAGGAUGUAAAUCCUCCGGCUACACAAUAUUUUAAUCCAUAAUAGAUUCUUAAUUCAAAAACUUGAUUUCUUUAUCUCGUUUAUGAUUCCUCACAUUCCUUAUACUAACUCAAGGAUAUGCUAAAAGAAAUAAUUGAAAUAAAUUAUAUGCCAACAUCUAAGAAAAAGAUGAAAUUAAUCGCGAAUAAUUUCUCUUUAAAUUAAGAUAUAGCAGAAUGAUCAUGUCCAAAAUAAUCGAUGGACAAAUAAUAUCAACGCUCAACAUCUCAUAGGUCUAAUUAUCUAGAAUUUUAGACAGUUAUUUUAGUACCCAGUAUUUCUUUUUAUAAAGUUUGCAAAUGCUCUUUCUGUACUCACCAUCCAGUAAGGGAAAAACUGUAAUUAUUGUAGCCACUGUUUUAGCCAACUGCUUUUUAAUUAUUGUAGCCAUGGAUGCUCGCAUUAGUAAACUUCAGUCAACUUAAAUUUUGUUUUUUUUAAAUCUUUGGUUUGUUCAGUAACCAUAUGCGAAGGGUCCAUAGAAACUUAUCACGUUAUUUAAAUAUAAUCAAAAGAGUCAUUGUAUAGUUGCGCGAUAAUUAUUAUUCUUUUGCAUAUAUAGAUAAAUGGCCAAUUUGAUAUAACAAGUGUAUUCACACUCUUUGUACACUUACUAUCCAUAUUCGUCAUAGCAAGUCUUCUUCUACUAAUAUUAAGUAUUGCUAUUAAGGAAGUAGAGAGAGAGAAAAAAACCGCAAAAAGUAAUAAGAAAUACCAAAAAUAGAAGAAGAAAAAUUUGGAGUUAAUGUAUGUUUGACCUCAGUGAAAUUAAAUCUUAUUCAUAAAAGAAUAGGACUAUUGACGCCCUUCCAAAUACCUCUUAAAACUCUAAUAAUUAUUUUUACAAUUUUAACUUUUAUUAAAAUUAAAUAAUAUGACAAUUUCUAAUUAAACCUCCACUCAAAAAUCAAAUAAUUUUCUUUCUUUAUAAAAUCUAACAUUUUAAAAAUUAAAAAUGUUGUUUUUUCCUCUAAUGUUCGGGUAAGAAAUUUACCACCGAUAACUACAAUAGAAAAAAUGAAAACCUAUCAUUUUUUCUUUUAAAUAUAAGAGACCUCAUUAUUAAAAUGGGGUUUAAUAAUAAAAAUUAAAAAAUGGGGUUUACACAAUAAGUUUUAAUUAAUGAUAUUUUUGUUAUUGAUGGAUGUGUUAAAAAAUUUAUAAUUUUUUAAAACAUUCUAAUGGGGUUAAUUAAGAAAAUGGAUGUUAAGAGAUAUUUAGGGAGGUGCCAAUAGUCUCACUCCAUAAAAUCAUUAGAAUAACAUGUGUCAACAUCUCUUACAAAUUUAAAAAAGAUUAGAUUAAGAGAAAAUCCAAAUCGAAUGAAAGAUAUCACCUCUUUCUCCUCGCCCCGAUCAUUCCUCUUUCUUUCAAUUGCUUUUUGGCCGGUGAAAUUAAAUUGUUUUUCUUACUUUUUUAUUAUUUGUUUUUUCUCCACUCAAAUCUUCAUAUCUAUAGUGGUUUGUUAAUCCACUCACACAUUUUUAAAUUUACAAUGGCGAUUUUUAGUUUGUUUAGUCUACUCAGAUGUUCAAAUCUGUGAUGGUUUUAUUUAUCGUAUUUUAUUUUGUGUGUUAUAACGUGGUUUUUCUUACGAGUCACAAUUUAAGAUCUAGGGCAUUUCGUGCUAUCUAAAUGGAUCUUUACUGAAAAUCCAUCACGAUAUCAAUUUGAAGGACCAAAUCUGUUGAAAGAGGAUGCUACAAAACAGACAACAGAAUCAACUAUAAAGCUCGACUCGUAUAUGUGCAUAAAUAUUUGAUGGUGACGGACAAGCCUUCAUCCCAAUCUUCAGUGUAGAAGUAAAAUAGUUCAACUAAUUGAUCGUUGUAAUAAAUUAUCUUUAGUUAAACUGAUCUUGUCUAUAUACCGUGACAUAUGUAAUAUUGUAAUCUAUGUUUCAUGUAAUGAAAUAAAUUUUGAAAAAACAAAAAAAACAAAAAAAAAAACAAAAGAAGAGAAAGAAAAUAAUGUGAUGAUGGUGAAACUUGAAAGGUCAAACAAAUUGUGUUAUUUUCUUUUCCAUGUUUUCACAUAUGAAAUUGGACAGGGCCUGCGAAGCAACUUGCAUUGGGAAGAAAGCGUGACUUUAACUUUCCCUCGCACAAAUAGUUAGGCUUUGGCUGUUCCUGAAAUGAACAAACCAUGUGUGUGUGUGUUUGUUGAAUCAUUGAUAUUAUUUAACAUUAUUAGACGAAAAUCAGUACGCGUGUAGAUCCCAUCUCGCCAAUAAAAAUGCAGCAUGGCACAUGAAAUUUUCUCAAACGCUAUCAGUGCUGGCAUGCAGAUCGAGAUUCCUCUGUUCAUAUAUAAUGCUGCAGCAGACAAAGUUAUAAAAAAGCCUUGUACUAUGGAUGGGACACAGGUUUUCUGAAGCCAUGCGUUUCGGCACUUUGGAUGGCCAUUAAUGAAUUAACAAAUCAAUGAGUUCACAAAAGAAAUAUGUUCUAAUUUUAUUUAUACUAAUCCAGGGGGAAUAAGGUGGUGAAUACACCUUAACCCCAUUUGCUUCC